Molecule: long non-coding RNA, 93861 nt
Filed under: Populus tremula
Lineage: Eukaryota; Viridiplantae; Streptophyta; Magnoliopsida; Malpighiales; Salicaceae
Description: long non-coding RNA (PTRE_LNC003121)
Source: RNAcentral
AUCAAGUACUCAAGUGGUUGCUCUGUAACAUUUGACUUGCCAGAAACAGUUGUCAAAGCACCGCCAUGAGCACCAUCAGGACUGGUAAAGUCUGCAAGCAAAGGUGAUGCAGAUAUCCCAGGAGUGCCAAUUGCAAGGGAUGGAGCCGGUGCUUGUGCAACAGAUGGUUGGUGUACAAUAUUUCCAGUAUUUAAGAGUGAGGAAAUACCAGAAACUGGUUUGUCAGAAUCUCCUGGCAUAGGAGAUGGAGCUAAAGGAGUUGCAGGAGAUGGGACAACAAAAGGCGAGUUCGCAGAUUGCAGAGGUGUUGCAGUUUUGGUUACAGAAGACGGUAGAUUUUGCUGGUCAAUCUGAGGAGAUGAAUGUUGUAAUUGAGGGGAAGCAUGCUGAGGUAGUUGAGGUGAAGAAAUAGGAUAUGAAGGUGCUGUUUUCAUGUGUUGACGUGGGAAAGCUGUGCGUUGACCUGUUGGGAGAUGUUGUUGGUAGACUGCUGGCUUAUUUCCAAUCCCCUGUCUCAUCUCAUUUACAUCAUUCAUCUGUUGCGGCUGUGGAAUUUGGUGUGUCUGCAUCUGUGCAGGCAACUGCUGCUUGGCUUGCUGGUGUAAUUGCUGCUGCUGUAGCAUCUGUUGAUUCUGCAUUAAAUUCUGGCGUUGCUGCAAUCGUUUAAGCUGUUGUGUUUGUAACAUCUGUUGUUCAUGCUGCUGCUGUUUUAGAUGCUGGUGUUGAAUCAUAUUGGAAUUCGACUGAAGGGGAAUAUUUGGCUGCAGCAUACUCACCCCACUUUGUGCUGACAUUGUGUUAACAUUGGUUGGUUGGGAAAUGCUCACGAGAUUCUGUUGUACAGAUCCUACAGGUGUCUGCUGCAAUGAGCUCAGUGCAUUUCCUUGUCCAGAAUCUAAAUUGGAGCCUGGUUGUAUUGGAUUCAUCAUGUUUGAUUGUGACGUCGAAUCCCCAGAUAAAGUUGAAAGAGAAUUAUGCAGCAAGCUUGACAUAUUGUUCUGCUGCAUCUUUGGUACAGAACCUUGCAUAUUCAUUGAUUGCAACUGGGGAUUCAGUUGAUUUUCAUGGGACUGCAAUUGAGGAACAUGAGAUUGGGGUUGAAUAUGAGGUUGGGGAAGUUGUCUUUGCUGUAGAUUAGGAAUAGGCUUCCUGUGUCUGCUUGGGUUUAGAAAACCUACAAUCUGCUUCUCAUAGAAACCCAAUUUCUCCUUGAAAGUAGGUGUGAUGUUGUUUUUAGAGACCUGUAAGAAUGCUAUCAAGCGCUCCAACAUGACCUUGAAUACCUUCAGCUUUUCAAGCUGUUCUGACUUCGGUUGUUGCGGAAGAGGGUCAUGCUGGAAAGCAAAGUUAACAUACACGAGAAUUAAAAAUUGCAUUGACCCUUCGUAGCAAAACUAGUAAAACAUAAGUGAAAAAAAUGUUUCUAUUCCAAUUCUUCUGUGUCAAUGCAUGGUUGUGGGGUGGUUGGGGGUGGGGGGGGGAAUUAGUGCAGAUGAUACAGUGACAAGCAAUGCUGAUGGGGAAAACAAAUUAAUCAAAAGCUCAACUGUGGGGGUUUAUGAAUCAUGUGUGAGCAAAUAAAUCAGAAAAAAUUACAAAGACAAUUUACCUGCUGUAACUUGGUAGCAAUUCUCUGGUACAUUUCAUUUAUUUCAGGCAAAUACGUUUCCUUCAUAACUUUGAUCUAGGAAGUACAUAUAACCAGCAAAACAUUAUCAAUCAUAUGCUUGAUUUCUUCAGGUGCCAGAGUCAGAAAGCAACAUAAGCAAACUUGAGAGAAUUGAUAGAUAAAUAAAUAAAAUGGCAGAGGACAGCAUAUAUUGUUUGAGAUAAAAAUAGCAGAGUGGAAUCAAUGCUGAAAACUCAAUAGAGAAUAUAGUUAUUGAUUGCAUGCAAAGAUGCAAAGGAUUGUGUAGUUACCCCUUCAGACAAGAUUCAGGGGUUGGUCAAGUUCAGUUACUUUGUCUCACGGCAACCUACUCACCAUUGUUUUCUAUUGUUCUCACUCAAGUCAAUGGAUGUCACGACUUUGGUAAACACUUCUUAGCUUUAUAACUUUAGAUUUAUAACCCUUAUAUCCUAAUUACAACCACUCCUAUUCCCGUUUUAGUACCCUCCCAGGCACAAAAAAAUUGACCUCAUCAAAUAUGCAGUUAUGAAUUGCAACUACAGCCAUUAAACGAUUCAGAAUUUCAACCUCGUUUUCUAUAAAAUUCAACAAUACUGGACAUGGUCAUGAUUCAAUGGAUUAGGUCCACUUAUUUUCCUUUCUUCCAUUGUCACAUGUUUCAGAACAAAUUUGAUUGUAAUCUUGAAAAUAACUGUUCACUUAACCAAAUAUAACGAUGACUAUUCAGAAACAGUUCACUCUUGUUUUCAAGUCUGUCUAUUAUAGUAAGAAGUAUUGUCAAUUGGACUUAUUGGAAAUAAUAAAAUAAUAAUUCACCACACAAUAAAUGUAUGGAAAUACAGGGAAAAAAUUGAAAGGGAGAGAUUUGCAAUAGAAAAAAUUGUCGUGUCAGUACCAAGAAAAUAACCCUCUUGACCUAGAAAUCUGAAUAUUUACCUUUAAUCAUCUUAUCAGUAAUUUAUCGUUUCUUAGUUGCUGCAAUCAUGGAACUUACAAUGCUUCCUAACUAAUCACAACCAUAGCUGAAUAAAACUCCCUUGUACCAAAUUCCAGGAGACCUUUUCCAUUGAAAUCUUGCAAGACAAUGACAUACAUGAACAGUAAACUAAAGAAAUUACCUUUUGAUAGAUCUCCUCUUGCCAAUCAGCACCAUUUGCAUGUCCAGUCUCUGCUGUAGAAUCUAGGGAUGCUACAAAAAUUUUGAUACAGCCAACAAAAGAUUAGAAUGCAUGUAUGUUUUGAAUGUUUUCUGCACACAAGGGUAUUUCUGUAAUUUUCACACUUGCUGAAAAUUAUGGAAUAUUGUAGGUCUUGGUUUUAUUUCUAUUUAGUAUUUUAUUGUUCCUAAAGAAUAAGGAGCUUUAAUAGGUUUUCCCUAUCCUAGAUAGAACCAUUAGUAUUUUCUUACAUAGGAAUACAAGUCCUUUUUGGACUUGGAGUACUAGGAACUCCAUCUCAACGUUAUGUAAUCAUUCAAACAGACAGAGAGACCCCCCUCCAACAAGUGAUCAUUAUAUAUUAAAAAAAAAAGGCUCAAACAAUUUAUCAUGGAAGAAAAGCACAAAAGUGACCCUUUACCUCCUAACCAGGAAAAUCUUUAAAAUAAACCAUCUCAAUCAUAAAAAAUAGAUAGCCAUGCAUCACAGUCCUUGUUCCUUAACAAGUUAAGGAUGAAACACUUCACAUGCCUUACAGAAUUAGCAUCGAGGAGGUGAUCAUGAGAUUUUCCAGCAAGGUGAUGAUUUAUCAGCACACCAAACCUUAAGUGCCUCAGAGUUAGUCCACUUGCUAAUUUCUUUCUUCCCAUAAAAAUCAAUUGGCUGAUGAUUAGUUACCCUAGUGUCAAAUGCAUUGUCCAGUUAUGCAUAUAUUUUUAAAAUUCAUGUCCGUUAAAUUCAAAAUGAGAGGUGAACAAUUGGUGCGAUGAGCUGGAGGGUGUGAUGUGGCAACAAACGAGUGUGAUUGCAAAGGUUUCAAUAGCAGUGGCAUCAGUAGCACAUAAAGCUACCAAAAGAGCAUUGCUGACUUGAACCAUUAUGAGAGGUGAAGAGUUGUUGCAAUGCACUGUAUGGCAUUAUGUCGUAACAAAUAUAUGUGUGAUUGCAAUGGCUCCAAUAGCAGUGGCAUUUCUGAUGCCAUAAGUGGCAGCCAUAGCUCAUAAAGCUACCAAAAAGAGCAUUACUGACUUGAACCAUUAUUGUAUUUUCAAGAAAUUUAAAUAAAUAUGUUAUAAUCUAACAUGAAAGCACAAAGCUGCAAAAUUAAAGUUGGAGCAAGGUUAGAAAGCUGCAAGGAUGAGAAAAACUUACUUGAGGACGUUUCUGGAAGGGCUCUUUGAGGUUGAUAUAACUGCCUUUGCUGAUCAAUCACAUUUGACUGUUGAAGCAAGGAGCCUGAUGCUUGAAGCCUUAGCUGCAGAUCAUGUUGUAAUGGAUUUGAUUGCUGUUGCUGAGCUCCAAGCAACUGCUGUUGCUGUAAACCAGUGACAUUACUUUGAGAGCCCAACUGUUGCUGAUGCAUGCUUGAGAGGUUAUUCUGUUGAGCCAUUAACUGCUGCUGCUGCUGCAGAUUUUGAAGGUUAUUCUGCUGCCCUAGCAAUCUCUGCUGCUGCUGCUGCAAGUCCCCAACAAUGUUUUGCUGUCCAAUUAACUGAUUUUGCGACAUGUUAGUCGUAAUUGAUUGUUGCCCCAUUAGCUGCUGUUGUGGAGGCAAUAGUGGCUGCUGCAUCAUUGGUGUUUGCUGCUGAUGAAUACCAGCAGACUGUUGAGGUUGCUGCUGCUGCCUAAGGACUGAUUGUGGAUGUUGCUGGUGCAUUGGUUGUGUUGACUGUUGAACAGAAGAUGGCUGGUUCUGUUGAAGGCCAGAGACAGUUUGCAUCAUUGAAGGCUGCAUAACAGUUGAUGUUGGCAAACCAGAUUGCUGAGAAGAUUGCAACUGAUUUGGCUGUAACAAGUUUUGCUGCUGCUGCUGGUGGAUGUGAGAUUGCACAAGUGAGUGUGGAUGAUUUCCCUGUUGAAGCUUCUGCUUUAAAAGCUGUUGUUGUAUCAGCUGCUGAUAAAGAUACUGCUGAGGAUUUUGGGACUGCUGCUGUUGCUGUGGAGGAACAACCUGUUGCCUGCCUGGCAUUUGUCUCUGAGAAUUGACAAACAUAUUGGAGGGAAUCCCUUGUCCCAUUGAAUUCCCCACUGGGUUCUGUGAAACACCAGAGAUACUCUGCAUGUUAGCAUUCUGUCCAACAGUGUUUGAGAUAGUCUGGGUUAAACCGGAGACAGAAGGCAUUGCUGAUUGUAAACCAGCAGAACUUUGAACUCCAUUAGAUGACAUAAUAUUCUGCAUGUUCUGUGAUAACUGCUGACGUGCUUGAGACUGAUUAGUGGGCAAUGAGAUAGGGAGCGACUGCCCUUGGUUGUGAACUUGAGGCGGCAUACUAUGAGAUGCUGUUCAAGAUAAAAGGCAAAAAGGAAAACCAUGUCAAAGGAAAAAAAGAAGGCAUUGAGCAAGAAAAACAAAUGAAACAAUGACAGUUCACACGUAAAGUUAUGAGGUAAAUAAUUAAGAUGGUUUUACCUCAAAGCAUAAAAGUACAAAAAUAAUCUGUAAUUUUUUUGAACAUUCAUCAAUUACUCAACUUUUUUAUUAAAGCAUGGUAUAUACAUAGCAAUAUGCAGCAAUAAAAUGUAAAAGAGUUUGAUAACAAUGCGAAUUAUAAAACAAAAGGUAAGGAUGUUUAGAAAUUCAAUGCUUGGCUGCAUUAUUACCUCCUGGAUCCAGGGGUUUGUUACCAUUGCCAGUGGGUAUGGUAUUUUGAGACUUGGUCUCCAUUGUAAGCAUCUUCAGAGAUAUUUUACGUAGAUAAUCAGACUGAAAUCAGAUAUCAAUAACAAAAGAUUAGAUCUCUGCACAAUCAUGCUCUUUCUAAUAUGCUAGGCUCUUUGUAUUUGCAUCUUCUGUGAGGAUAUACUUCUGUGUCCUCUCUUUUUAUUUAAUUAUUUAUGUAUUGAUUCGUUAUUUGCAUUUUGCACACUUCCCUUGUACUUGAAAAGGACCUUGGUCACUCUAAAUAAAACACUUGCCAAGAGAAUUAACGAAAAGAUGAGAACUUCUACAAAAUGACCAGUGAGGAAGUGUGGACACACUACACACACAUGUGUACAUGCAUAAAUCCACAAACUUAUGCAUGUGUAUAUUCAUGUCUAGAGAAUAUCCAAAUUAUUGAACCUAGCAUUAGCCGAAUACCUGAUUGGUAGCAGCAGUAUAAAUCUUUUCCUCAAACCGUACGGCAAUUUUCUUAAGUUCUUGUAAUCCCUCUUGACCAGAAAACGGAAGAUGCCUCUUUAACGUCUCCAUUCUACACAUGUAAAACAUUACAUUUAGUUUUUAAUGACAAGGCAGGUAUAGAGAAGUUAGCAGCAGUGAGAAAGAACCAUGAACUCAUACACCACACCAAUAUCAGAAAUGUAUACAACGGAAUCAUUAGCAAAAAGUAAAAACAAAUAAUGAUAUAGCCGAGUGUCGAUCAAGUAAUAUAUGGCAUCAACAUACAGACAUCUAUUUUUACUUCCUUUCCCCGUAUUAUUCCAGAGGUACAGGGUAUAGGAGUUCACUUGGCCACCCUUCUGUCUAAAAUUCUAGUUACGAGCUUCAUGGUUAAUUUUCUUGAACUGGAAGAACCUUCCAUUUAUGGCUAUGGCUAUGCUCCACGGUAUAUAAGUGCAUUAGUUGCAAACCAGGGGAACUCUAUGAAAACAUUACAAUAGCAUUUAGUCUGAGUAAGAAAACUUUUAUACAUGCACUGUAAUUGACAAAGAAAAGAAGAGAAAUCCUUUUAAUUUAUGAAAAUGCAAUGAGUUAACCUUAUCUCACGCUGCAACAUAUACUCUACAGUGCUCAUUGGCUACUGCAAGUGCCAACAGAGAUAUCACCAAAACAUUCAACUUUAUACUGAGAAACUAGGAAACCAUACACUAUUGUGGCUAAUUGAUUUUUGUCUGCUGCUUUUGUACUUUAAGAUCACUAUCAUUUCAAUCCUGUAGAAGUAAAGCAAAUAGAAGGCUCAAAUCCAACACUAUUCAUUUAAGUUCAGUUGCAACUCAAGGUUGAAAUUGAAACACCAAUGCUCAUAGCAAUAGAUUAACCUUGAAAUUUAAAGCGGAACAAGCUUCAUGCAGCCAUCCAAGAGGUCAUCAUCAAAAGAAGAUGUUACACAAGAAGUUCCAACAAAAAUUACUUCCCAGCACUUUUUAUUCCCUCAAGUUCACUUCUUGUGAGAAACAAGUGAAAAAUGAAAAAGACAAAAACAGAGGUGUAUGAUACUUGAGGUUGCCUCAUGGCAGUCCUGCUGAUUUUAAUUAACCUUUUGCCCUUCUCUUUUUCUUUCAUUUAAAUACAAGAUUACUAUUUUUCAGCACUUGCACAUGUUAGCAAACAGAUACUUACAUUUUGUUGACUAUUCUUUGCCGUGAGUCAGGCUGCAAUUGAGUUCUCCAAUCACCUGUGUCCAUCACAGGUUCUCCGCCUGGGGCAGUGGGCCUCCAAUUAUUGGCAUCCAUGGGGUUUUGGCCAACCAAAAAAAAUCACUUCUAUCACCACAAAAAAAAUUAAUUAUAUUGCACGUUAGAAUAGACCCUAAAAAGAAAGUCAGGAACAGCAGAAGAGUAAGAGCACAUCAAAGUCAUGAAAAUUGGAAUAUCAGUUUAUUCAGACUUGAAUAGAUUUAAAAAGAACUUCCAUCUAAUAGCAUGUACUUUAUUAAAGAAUUCUACCAAAUAUGGAUGCAUAAAAUCUGAACAGCCAUAACAAAUAUACACGACCAUUCAGGGCAAGGUGCUAGGAUCUUGGGUAUUUGGGUAUUCGGUAUUAUAAGCAAGAUUUGGGCCUGAAUCUUCAUGGUGCUUCUAAAACCAAGGAAGCAAAAAACUAGCCAGCUAGUUCAUAACUUGCCGCACCAACAGAUGGUGAGUGUUGGUAAACCAAAGCAUAGAGAACUCAUGGUGCUUCAAUUUUAACUUGAUGUUUUCUAGCAACACUUGUGAUACAUCAUCGAUGCAAUGUUUACAAUGACAAACUUGCAUUAAUUUCUAUUCAUUGUGGUUUUAGGUUCAAAGAUUCUGAUCCCAAAGAGAUUGUCUAGGAUGUUUUAAGCUAGGAAAAAGAAGAAGAAAAGGACAAGCAUUAACAAUGAAUAUUUCAUGUUAUCAUCAACUCUAAUGAGCAGACUGAUAAGAAUCAACUUAACAACCCUUGUUGAAAUAAGAUUAAAUUUACAGGCACAUCUUUCUCGGAAUAGACAACACAAUAACCCUGACCAUGCUCGACCUUGAGGUGAGUUAUAAAAUGUUCUUCCUAACUAGAUGCACAGCUACGCCUUUGGGGUGAAGUGAACUAAGUCAUUUGUUUUACACUUCCACAUGCUCUCAAGCUUUCACCUCAUACUCAAGACCAGCUGAGCAGUCCUAAAAAGAAAGAUAUAUCAUCUAGGGUUAUCAAGGCAGACCUGUUAUUUUUAUUUUUUCGCGUUAACAUGACCAAAUUAUAAAAUUUAAAGUUCUUUUCUUUCUUUCUUUUUUCCAUGUGUGAGCGAGCAUAAAACCCAAGGAAAUCGAUUUGUUGUUAAAAACACAAUAAUUUUGAAGAAUUCGGUAAAUUCCAAAAAAGAAGAAUCAACCAAACAGCUCAUUUUUCGGCCAUUCCGGCAGUAAUAUCUCUUCCACUCCAGCUGCUGCAUAAACUAAUUAACAAAUAUCGAUCGAGCCUAAAAGAUUUGAAUUGAUUUCUAUUCUCAACUUUAAAAUAAAACUAAAAAAUAAAAUAAAAUAAAUUUGGGUUCAAGAAUUCAGGGCUUGAUUAUUACAACAAUAACUGUGAGAAAAAUCGGAUAAUAUCAUGUAAAUUGGGGGGUUUGAAAAAGAAAAUAUUAGAAUCGGCUGAUUGUGCGUUUCUUCGAGUUGCGUUCACGAGCAGCGAUUUCAUCGGAUCCGAUUAUAUAUUUUUUUAAUUUACUUAUUAAAAUCGAAUUGCGUUCACUAGCAGAGAUUUCAUCGGAUCGAUUAUUUGUUUUUUUUUUAAUUUAAUUAUUAAAAUAGAAUUUCUGUCUCUGAAUAAUAAUUACAAUAAAAUAAAUGAAAACAUCCAUAAAUUUUAAAAACAAAAGCAUGAUAGAAAAGGAAGCACCUGGCAGAAAUCUGAAGCCUUAUUGGAUGCGGCGGUUUCCGAGAGGCGGAAGAGGGAGGGAGGGAAGGAGGGAGGGAGAGAGCUCAGGCGGGGAGAGGUGAGGAAUGGUGUCCCAAAGUGAAAUAGAUGACUUUAUUCUUUUCCAGAUUCCUUCUAAAAAAAUUAACAAGUGAACAAUCGCUCGUCAAGCAUCCGCGUUCAUUUUCACUUUGAGUAGUAUUGGCCAGUAGUGCUAUAAAGAAGACAAAGUGGUAUAUCCACUUUUUCAUCAAUUACUUUAAGAUUUUUGGAAGAUAUGACACAAGAGACAAAGAAAAUGAUUGCUAUUAUCGACAAUUUCUCUGUUACACACACACACUCUUUGUCUUUAGCUGUAUUUUCUUACAAAGGAUCUUUAGCUAUGCAUUAGAGAUGAACACCUCCAACUUCUUGAUUUUCACUCGUUUUCAUCCCAUUUAAAGAAGUUUAAGUUUGAAUGCUCAUUAUACAAAUUCUAAUAACAGGCAGCUAAAAGGGCUUGUCGAAGCUUUAUUUUCGCGUGUUCGUUAACCAUGUUAUAACCAAUUUCUUUUUAAUUUAUAAUUUAAGAAAAAGUAUGGAAUAUUUCUUGUAAGGAUAUAUUAUACAUAUAUAUAUUUGGUUAGAAGAUUCACUCUUUUACUCACAUGAUUCUAAGUUCUAGGAGAGACUUUUUAAGAGAUAGCUAGCAUCAAACACCCCCAAGCCUUCCUUCCCAGGAGAAAAAAAAAAGGCAAGAAAGAAAGAAAGAACUGAUACUAGAAGAUAGAAGAUAAAGCUACAUCGAUCAACACCUAUAUUUUAUGCGAGGAGUAGCUUCUUCUUCUUCUUCUUCACAAAGGAUUACUCCAAAAAUCUUGGCCGAAUAGCUUGAUUCUUUUCCGAGCUUGAAUUGCCAAUUCCAGAUCUUCAGCUCCCUUCAUGUCCACCACAGAGAAGGUGACUUCAUCACCUUUUUUGAGAACCCUUUUUUUUUGGCAAGCUCAAUCCAACCUCAUGAAGACAGGACUGGUUUAAGGUGAUCAACUCAGUUUUUUGUCUUGUACAACAUCGGAACCUCCACCUCUUGUCAUGGAUGUCAAUACGUUCAAGCCAAAACUAGAAUACCAAGAAAGUUAAUUAAUUCAUUAACUUUUCAGAAUGUUCUCCCCUGCACUCGGCAGAAAAGGCCUCUUUCUUAUAGCAUCUCCACUGGGAAAUGCCAUUUUUGAAGAAAAUGGUUUUUUAAAUAGUAUAAAUAUAACUUUUUGUAUUAUGUACAUUACAAUGGUAAAAAGCUAUUUAGAAAAGUCAUUUAUAUUUUAAUAUAUUUCAUGUUAAAUUUAUUUUUAUAUAAUUAUGUAACUAAUUUAGAUAUUUUAUAUAUAAUAUAAUUAUGAUGUUAUUAAUUAUAUAAUUAAUAUUAGUAAUUUAUAAAAAUAAUAUAAAAUUUAAUGAAAUAAUAUGAAAGUUAAAAGAUAUAAUUUAAAAUUAAACUUAAAAUUUAUUUAUAUGAAUAUUUUUAAUUUUCAGUUUUAUAUGUUACUGUUAAAAAUUUAAUUUUGAAGAUUUGGUUGAACAUUUAUGGGAACAAUAUGGUAACGAGUAGAAUCAUUAGCUUUGAACUUCUUAUGUCAUCAGAAUUUUCAAGUUUUUUAUGUUUUUUUUUUCAUUAUGGUUGUUAUCUUUUAAGUUAAUUAAUCCUACUUAUUGUUGUUUUUCAUUAUGGUUGUUAUCUUUUAACUUAAUUAAUCCUACUUAUUGUUGUUUUUCUAUUGUUGUUUUUCAUUAUGGUUGUUAUCUUUUAAGUUAAUUAAUCCUACUUAUUGUUAAUAAUUAACCGGAGAAUAAUCGAUUAUUGUUUUUUAAAAUUUAAGAGAAGGGUGAGGCACAAUAUAAAAAUUUAAAACUACAAGUUUUUUCUUCAUGUAUUUAUAAAUAAAAUUUUCUAUGUAAAAAAAAAAAAAAAAAAAACUGUUGGCCAACGGCUAUAAAAAUAGCCGUUGGCUAUUUGGCCAUUUCUACAGUUAAAUGUAAAAAUGGUUCUUCAAUUUAUAAAAAGCUAUUUUGGCUGUCACGUUAGCAUUCCCGUUGGAAUGCUAACAGUAAGGAAAGAAGAGCCAUAUUACAUAUGGCUCUUCAUUUGGCAGCUCCAUACAUGGAAGGUUAUUUUGACUAGUUAAAAAAUAUUAUUAUUUUAAUAAAAAUAAUUGGUUUAUAUCGAUGAUAUAAUAUGAUGACCUUAAGGAUUUAUCCAAUUACCCUGUAAUUUUUUUUUCUAGAUAAAUUAAUGGGUUUACAGAUAUAAUUUCAAACUCAAACAAAUCGAGAAAAAGACGUAGUAUACUUCCUUAGGUAUGAGGACAAAGCUAUGAUAAUAUUUAAAUAUUAUUUAGUCAUUGCAUUGCAUUGAUAAUAUAAAUAUUUUUUUCUUUCUUUUCUAGAAACAGACAACCUAAAGAUCAAUAAAUCCGAGAAACGAACGACGAACCAACAAACUGACGUUACAACUAUCGACUAGUGGCUCAACGUCGCAUCACUUUAGCUUUACCUUUCGAUUAUUUUUCUCUUAUAUGUUAUUUAAUUUAAUUGUAUAUAUUUAUAUACUUAUUCACUAUGAGCUUGAUUGAUUAGAUAACAAAAGAAAUUAGCAAAAUGUCCUAAAACAAUCUUUUAUCCCGAGGAUCCAUCAAAAUAUUUUAUAUCUAUUUAUUUUACUAUAUUGUGUUAUUAUGCGAGUUGAAUUAAAAACAAAUUAAGUAAAAAAGAAAUAUUCUGAUUUUUAGCAUUUAUUAAAUCCGAUCCAACAAAUUAAUAUUAAAAUUUUCUGAUCUAAUUUUUUAUCAUACUCGAGUUUUAAAUUUAACUAUAUGAAAAUUAUUUUAAUAUAUUCUAGUCGAGUUAACAAGUCUAAAAACAACCCAGAUAAUAGGUAGAAACAUGGUCUAAUUUAAUUUUUUUAAAAUAUUUUUUUUGUAUUGAAACAACGAUAUAUUAGAUCGAUCAAGGUUUUAUGGCUUAACUUGUUGAACUCGUAAUCCUGGUUAUGAACUCCAUUGAAUUUAAUAAAUUUGUUUAUAAUUGUUUUGUAUAAAGUUAUUGUAAUUUCAAAUAAACUUUCUGGUACUUAGUUAAUAUUUAAUUUUAUAAAAAUCAAUUUCAAAAUUAAAUUUCCCAUUGAGUUUUAGAUAAUCAAUAAGGUUUAAGUUUCUAAUAUUAUAUUUCUAGGUCAGAACCAAUUUUUUUAUUAAAAAAAUAACAUUGUUUUGUUUAAAAAAUUGAUCUAGUUAACCCAAAAAGUCACAAGUAAAUCAACAAUUCAACAAAAUAGAUUUUUAACAUGAUCAAAACCAGAACCAGGUUGGACGACCACGCCAUAAGUUGCAUCUUAUUUUUGUCUUUGCAAUACAAUAAUACUUACAAACAAUAAAUAACUAAUUUGACAAGUACUCGUGUGAUUCACAUGGAUUGAACCCCACAUUACACACGGAACAGACAACACAAUAACCCUGACCAUGCUCGACCUUGAGUUAAGUUGUAAAAUGUUCUUCCUAACUAGAUGCACAGCUACGCCUUAGGGAGGGAGGGACGGAGAGAGAGAGAGAGAGAGCAAAGUGAAAUACAUGACUUUAUUCUUAUUUACUUUUUAAUUUUUUUUAAAUUGAUUAUUUUAAUUUAUUAUAUUUGGUUUUUAUUUUUUUAAUUGAUAUUUAUUUUAUUUGUAAUAAUUUAUAAAAUUAUAAUUUUUUUUUUAAUUUUAUUAUCUGUUAUGUGAAGCUAUAUCCCUAUAUAUAAAAAAAAUGAUUUGAUUGUGCUUGGGAUUGGGUGUAUGCCUACAUACUUAGUUUUCUGAACAGGCCUUGAUCUUUAUUAGGGCAGAAAAUGAGCAACGUAGCACUAACCUUCUAUUCAUGUCUUUUUCCAAAAAGACUUUGACUUGUAGUCUACUUUCUCAUAUCUUGUUUGUUUUAUUUUUAUUUUAAAAGUAUUAUUAAAAAAAUUAAAAAAAAUUAUUUUUUUUACUUCAAUUUAAUAUAUUUUUUAUGUUUUUAGAUCGAUAUGAUAAUAUUAAAAAUAAUUUUUAAAAAUUAAAUAAAAUUUUAUUUUGAUACAUUUUCAAGUGAAAAAUACUCUGAAAAACAACCACUACCACACUCCUAAACAUUUCUAAAAGGAAUACAAGUUUUUUGUUAUUUACAUUUAAAAAAAUUAAAAAAAUAGCGCAGCUCAGCCUCCUUCCACUCAGAGAUGCCUUCUCUAACCUUCAAGCGUCUCUUUUUUCUUUUUUUUUUUUUUCUCUAGCUACUCAUAUGUCAUUGCGGCAACAAUUGCUUACUAGGGACAACAUUAGCUUUUUAGCUUCCAUUGGUUUAUCCAUGCAUUGCCUCUUUCAUUUCUUAACUGAUCGAUCGUUUUUAACAUUCCAUGUUGAUUUUUUUUAGAUGAAGCUCUCAAAUGUACUUGGAAUCAACAACUUAGGUUACAUGAACAUCACCCUUUUUCUCACAGAUACAUAUAAAAGAACUUUGGCAUGCUUAAUUGUCUUACUAUGGCUUUGUCUAAAUAUGAUGAUUGAUCUUUCGCUUAAGAGUUACUUUCCAUGCCAUUGUUCAUUCUUCUCCCUUUCAAUUUGCCUUAGCAUUUGUUGUUUCCCUUUCAAUUCUUCUACUUUUUAUGAUGUUCAAAAGAAAAUUUUCCACCAACUACUUUAAAUGUUAUGUUCAAAGGACAGUAGUUCCACUGUUACUUUUAGCCUGGAGUUCACGAGGAAGCAAUGAGAAACUAGAUUUGCCUUCCCUGCCUUUCCAACUUCCAUAAACAGUUUGAGUGGCUUGCACAAUAGAUAGCUUUUAUUGUCUUUUUUCUUUUCAUUUGUAAUUCACAACAAUAGAUUGGAUCUGAUUAUCUUGGUCCGGAAUAAACAUGAAAAAAAUAAAAAGAAAAAAAGAAACAUACAUUCUCUACUUUAGAUGGCUUGAGCAUCGUUCGUUAAAAAAACAGAUUGGGUCGGAUUAUCUUGGUCUGAAUUGAAAUUUGCAAGAAAAAAAUACAGAAACUUGCAUUGUCUGCUUUAGAUGGCUUGAGCAUUGCUUGCUAGAUUUCAUUAAUUUCUCUUUUUGCAAUGAACUCUUGCAUAGCUGACAGAUCAUGCUACUUUUUUCACGCUAUUAUUGUUCUCUAUUGAACUGCCAAGAUUGGAUAAUGGCCACUGUGAUUAGAGAAACUGAAAUAAUUUAUAGUAUGCAAGUCUAUAAAUUCAUUAUGGCAGUCAUGUUUUUAUCCAAACAUUGCCAAGAGUCAAGACCAAAGUUAAUCAAUAACAAAAAGAUAAGAAAAAAACCCCUAAGAUAAAAGUGACAAAAUUCAUGAAACUCAAACACCAAUAAUGUAAUAAAUGAUAAGAUUAAAAUAAUCAAUUAAAGAAAAAUUAAAUGAACUCAGAUUAACUUGAUUUAUUCAUGACCUGGGAUAUUAAAUAGAAAUAAUCUUAAAAAUAAAAUAAAACAAAUAACAAAGUUUAAGGCACAAUAAGCUAAGAUUGAUUAUAAAAAAAAAUAAUUAAUUUUCAACCAUAUUGUUCAUCCCCUCAUGUUUGAUGUGCUAAGGAUAUAGAACCAAGUAAUUGUUUUUUCCCUGAGACUAAGAGUUAGUGCGUAGCAGAAUGAGCCUUCCUUCUCUCAUUCUGAUCAAUCGUCUUGGAGAGCCUAAGUUCUUGCCUUGAUCAAGACUCCUAUCUUAUCUUAGUUAUUCAACACAUAUGAAGAAAUUUUCCAAAAUCAUUUCUUGACAUAACAUCUUAGUUAUUCAACUGGUUUAGUGGAUUAAUCCGGUUGAAUUAGAUUUAUUUUUUAAUUAUUUUUAUUAUUAUUCAACAUUAGAUUGAUUAAAAAUUAGAUUUAUGAUUUUUUAUUUGCUUUCUAUCAAGAUUCUCCUAAUAUAUUUUUAUAUCUCAGGUUAAAAUUAUGGGGCAAUUGGAGUUUAAAAGGCCUUGCAAAAUUGCUAGUGACAUUUUCAUAAUUUUGUUUUGAAAGGUUAUUUUUUGUGUUCUUUUUUAGAAUAAUUUUUUUUUAAUUUAACCAUUCAAUAAUAGGUUUAUUAAGAAUUUUUUUAUUUGCUUUAUUUGGGGUUAUUAUGGUCUCAUAACCUGGAUUAUGGAUUUAGAAGGUUAACCUGAGUUGAUUCGAGUUAAUCCAAUAAAUUGUUAUCUCAAUAUUGUUUUUGAAAAUAUGUCAUCUUAAACUUUUUUGAGUCAAACUCUAGUCUUACUAGUUGUUGUCUUUGGACCCAUAAGUCGAUCGGGUCAUAUCGGUUCAACUCUCACUUUUUUACUUGUGUUUAAAAUUUAAAUUACAUAAUUUCAAGUUAGUUUAUAUUUAAAUAUGAAUUGAACUUAUGUUUAUUAAGUUUAAUAUAUAUAUAUAUAUAACAGUAUAAUCUUAAAUAGCAUGCUGAAAUGCUCCGAAAUCAAAACAUACCGUUUGAAUUAAAAAAUAAAACACUAUCCGGAACGAGAUUGAUAACCUGACGUGAUAUGUUUAAAAUGAGCAUCAUCGAAUCAUUUAGAGCAACCGUGUACAUAACAAGGGCGUCCCCUUCUCCGUCCAGAGAUUAGGCACUGAAUCUUUCGUUACAGUUAGAGUAGGCGAAGCUUGUCAAUCUUACAAAGGUGGUAGAAUUUGAGGAUUUUUAUUGUUCUUUCUCAUUUUUUGAAUGAAACUGUACUAUCUUACAUAAAAUUUAAAACAACACUGAGAUUUAUACAUAUUCUCUGGUUAUUAUUACUUGCUAAAUGGAAGGAGUAUGGAGAUUUGAAAUUACAAUUGUCGCACCGACAUCGCAGUGCGCCCUAAAAAAUAAUUCUCUUGAAUUAUUAAUGAAAAAAAACAAGUUUCUGGCAUCUUGUUCUUUUAGAAAAAUGGUGUUGUUUGAGGAGUCGCCACCUAGUAUUAUGGUUACUAGAACCCUAACUGGUCAACAGAGAUUCUAUGACUCGGAUUGGUUACGUAAAAGGGAAGAUAUUAUCACCUUAAACGUUCUGCCUAAGCAGACUGCAUUGUUGUUUUUUCUUAAAUUGCUAAAUAUUUAUUAAUUUAUGCUGUGAUGAUUUGUCUAUAAUAUUCCUGACUCUACGCCAGUGAAUAUUCGAGCUCGAAUAAUUCCAACUUUGGCGUUGGUAAAAAUUCGUAGCUACGACAAAAAUUAGAUCAAUAUAUUUUAUUCCCUACUCCAGCGCCAGUGAAUAAAUAAAUAAAAAUAAAUUUAUUUUUUACGCAUGCACACUUUUUUUUAUUUUUUCUAGCUAAACAAAAUAAAAAUACAACGAAUAAAAAUAAUAUAAAUUUAAACCGUAUUUUUAUUCCUGACUCUAGCGUCAGUUAAUAAACCAAUAAAUUUACAUUAUUUUUAUUCAUGCAUACAUAUUUUUUAUUUUUUUAUUUUUUAUUUUCUGUUUUUUCUGUUUUUUUUUUUUCUAUUUUUUUAUUUUUUUUGGGCUGGGUCCAGCUCAGCCCACAUGGGCUGGGCUGGACCCAGCCCGGUUACUGGCCCAAGCCAGUGACCCGGCUGGGCACGCAUGCUGGCAACAGUAAUAAGGUAAGUGUAUUACCUUUGCAAAGUAAUAAGUGAAAUGAAUUUGAAAAGUGGGGAAGAGGAAGAACUUACCUGGUCUGCUGGAGGCGAAGCGUUCUUGUUCUCUGGCUCUUCUCCGUUUUUGUUCGCCUGGCUUGCUCUCUGAUUUAGGAGACGGAGGUGUGAUGGAUGAGCGGCCAAAACUCUGCUUCGGUUCCUUUGUAUGCUCCUGCGUUGUCCUCUUGUUCUUCCUCUGUUUCGGUUUUUUUUCUUGCUGGUUCUCGGUUCCCCUGUUCGUGUUUCCAGUGUCUUCGUCCUCCUGUUUCUGGGUUUCUUGGUCUGCUGCCUUUUCUUCUUCGUCUGUGAGUUCAGUGGUGAAGGGGGGAAGGCGCUGCCCCCUGAGUUACUUGUUUCCUUCUCUAUGGCCUUCUCUGGCUUACCAGAGAAUGGCGCCGAGCGCCUCUGUAUCUUUUAGAAGAAACAAGGGCACAAAUUCUGCUCCCCUCUGUACAGUCUCCCUACCCGGUUCUGCUCCCUUUUCUUUCCUCCUUAUGCAUGGACUAUCUCUGGCUUUUAUAGCCAGAGAAGAAUGCCGUUUCUUUAAGCCAUGAAUUGUGUUAAUUGCAGGUGUAAUGGUGGGAGCGGCGGGGCGCCCGUUUCAGUCGGGAAGAAGAUGAACAGAAAAGGGAAAACGGCGCCGUUUUUGUGUUUAAUGGCUAUUUGCAUUUUAGACCUUGUAUUUUUGACAAUUGUGUAAUUAAGUCCCUAGUUAAAUUAUAAUUGGACCCCUGUAUUUCGGCGCCAUUUUCAUGCUGGUCCUUGGAUUUUAUUGUUUGCAAUUUGGACCUCAAUUAAACUCCAAACUUUGAUAUUUCCUUAAUUAAGUCCCUGAUUUCAUUAAAUUAAUUAAAUCCAAAGUCCAAUUAAGUCGCAAAACUUAUCCAUUCUCCAAUUAAACCCUUAAUUGGAUUAAUUAAAUCAAUUCCAAGUUUAAUUAAGUCUCAAAACUUAUCAAUUCUCCAAUUAAACCCUUAAUUGGAUUAAUUGAAUUAAUUCCAAGCUUAAUUAAGUCUCCAAACUUAUCAAUUCUCCAAUUAAACUCUUAAUUGGAUUAAAUAAAUUAAUUCCAACCUUAAUUAGAUUAAUUCCAACCUUUAAUUAAAUCCCAAAACUUUCAUUCAUAUUGCCCUUAACCUAAAAUUUAAUUCAUUCUUCAUUUAUUUCAUUUUACUUCUUUUUUCAUCAAUUUUUUUUUAUCCUUUUCAAUAAAUAAAAUAAAAAUAAAAAUAAAAAUAAAAUGAUCAAAAAUUGGGUUAUGAAAACAAUGAUUGUUACAAACCAAACUUUUAAAACCGACAAUUGUUCGUUCCUUCCAUUAAGCCCACGUGAUUCAGAUGGAAUGCAAUCAAUCCAGUUUAUACCCAAAGGUGGAGCUUUUCUCUUUCAAUGGUAGUCUUCAGCGGGUGGAGGAUGAACGUGAGGUGGAAUCACCAGGUUCACUGGAUAAAAUCUAUUACGUGUUGAAUGUCAUGUAUAACGGGGUAAGGAAUUAUGAACCUUGAGAGGACGAACAUCUUGAAACUCUUUUAAAACCGUAAUUACUUCUUCAAGUGGUUUCUCUAAAACUUUCUUAACCACUAAAGCAAAUACAACAAACUCUUGAUGAACCUGAUUGUCAAAAUUAUUUGGGCUUAUAAGAUUAAAUCCCUUUCCUUACACAUGCUUUUUUUUCCUCAUUAUUGUUGUUAAGCCUUGGUACUGGUGGUCCAACUAAGUAGAUCUUUCUACUUUUAAGAGUGAAAUAGUAAGAAUUUGACAUACCAAAAAUGACGAUGUCCAUAUCACAGAGACAUUAUAUACCUAACAUAUCCUACAUUUAUUGGAGUCACAUUACACUCUCAUCAUGGUAACUUGAGAAAGUAAUAGGAAAAAUACAUAUCUCUUUGAUUGGUAUGGAAGUGUUAUUAACCCAUGAUUUUUAUCAAUAAUGUAGUUUAUACCUAGCCCUUUUUGCUUUUGUUUUUGGAGGAACGACCGAUGCCCAUUUAACAUUGCAUAGUUUUUUCCCUCGUUCCUCCUAAGAACCAAAGAAAGAUAUGAUAUGUUUCUCAAUUUUGGUAGCAACAAUGGAUGUGAUAGGAAAUAAAGAAAGGUUGUAGAUAGGGAGAUUAUUUAUAAUUGAUUUAAGCAAGCUUAGUGACGACCUUUCCAGGCAGCCAACUUGCUAUUGAUUCUAUUAACAAUAGUUUUCCACAUGAGAUGAAGAUGCACAAAUAGGCAGGCCCAAAUACUUAAAUGGCAUCCCCUCCAUCCUACAUAUUAGAUUGCUAAAGAAGUAACAAUAGUUCUAGUGAUUGAGCUCUUGUGGAAAUUAACCUUCAGCCUAGAAAUCAACUCAAAACAUCACAUAGUUCUUUUGAUGUUUUGAAGAGAUGGAAAAUCAUAUGAACUGAAGAUGAGUGUAUCAUCUACAAACUAAAAGUGAGUAAUUUUCGGUUGAUCAUGACCAAAACAAAUACCUUUUAUAAGUCCCAAAUCACAUCUGUUCUUAGCAUUCUACUAAGACCCUCAGUUGCUAUAUUGAAAAGAGAUGUUGAUAAAGAGUCCCCUCUUCGCAAUCCCUUUUCCAUAAAGAACUCUACAAGAAUUGAAAGUUUUGUUGUCGAAAUACAUUAUUGUAUCCAUCAUCUCCAUCGUGAACCAAAACCUACACAAGCCAUAACUGCCGAGAUACCUGGGCAGUAAUUGUUGUGCGUGGUCUAGGAUCGUGUGCGAUACCACUGAAAGGCGAGUGAUCCAACUCUCUCUUGGGGGUGCUGGGGAUUGGGGGUUAGGCGAGUGGGUUCUCAAAGCAUCUUUGUUUCUGCCUUUGAAAGAAUUGCAAAGUCUUGAUUUGAAGGCUAAUGAAUUAGUUGGGUGCCUUUGAGAAUCAAGGCUGGUUCAUAUUAUUGUGCUAUACUAAAAUUAAAAAUGAUGAAAUGGCUGCUGUUUAACGCUACUUAUUUUGCUUUGAUAUUUCUCUUGCAGGCUUUGGAGUGUUGAAGCCUUGUACGUAUUAAUUUUCGCAAGUUCUCCAACUUCAGAAGAUCUUAGCAUGGGAGUACUGAAUUUGUUGUGGUUGCUGGUGAGGGAAUAAGUUGUUUGCUUCUUGCAUUCUUGGCCCAAAAUUGUGUUAGUUCGAAACUUGUCGGCAAUUUUCUUGAAUGUGUCCAGCUAAUGGGUGCUUUUUAGUGUGUUGACCUCAUAGCUUAGCCUUAUUGUUGGUCGUUUCACUAGUGAAGUUUUGUAACUAUAUUGAUCCGUGGAAUCCUAAGUCUGUCUUGUUUAAUUACUUUGUUUUCUUUUUUGCACUGACCAUCAUGUUGGAGUAUUCUUAUCAAGAAGUUAACAAUGGUAUAGUCCAUCCUCAAGUUCAGUUUCUUAUUCAUCUCUUCCUAGUUUAACAUAAAAAAUGAGAAAACUAUAUAGAAAACUCCUACUAAAACUAACUCUUUUAACUUGUCUCAAGGUGUAUACCCUACAGAGAUAUCCUUUAAUGAUGAAAACCUGUUACUUGGAUAAAAACUCCAUAAACAACAUUUUUUUUAUUAAAAGAUAUAUCAAUAAAAAGAUGGUAAAUUGUAUCUUGGUGGAUAAUGAUUCGACUAUUAAUAUACUACCUCUUAAGAUUAUAAAAAGACUCGAGAUUUAUAUUUAUGUUUAUAUAUAAAAACCAAUAUUGUUUUGACAUGCACACAUAAAAUUAGGUUGAUUCAACUUAACCUGUAAUAUGAUAAAAAACCAUGAUACAAAUCUUACUCUAGGUUAAACCCCGAGCAGUGUCUAACAAGGAUUGUUUGGAAAAAGAUUCUGGAAACCCACAGUAUGCAUAAGGAAAUCACCAGGAAAUUACUCAUCUUGGCCAGUAGUGCUAUAAAGAAGAGAAAGUGGAUAUUCCACUUUCUCAUCAAUUACGACAAUAAUUGACUCCCAGUCAAUGUGGUCCACGCAAAUUGUUUGGUGAGGUUACAUGCCAACAAAACUAAUUUGAAUAUUUUUAAUGUGGAAAAAAUAAUUAAAUGUUGUAGUGAGAUUAUGUUUUUUAUUUAUUUCGAGAUAAUAAAAACAUUAUAUUUAGAAAGGUUUCGGAUUAAUUAAAUAGGUUAUGAAAAUAUAAUUGCUUAGUGGUAUAGAUCAUGAAAAUAUGAUUGCUUAGUGGUUGUUUAAUGGUAUAGAAGUAUUAGGUUAACAAUUAGACAAUAAAGUUAGAAGUUGUUAGUUUAAGUAUUUUACAGGGGCUACUGUUUGAUCCAAAAAAUGAUUUGAAUAGAAACUGUUUUUAACCCAAAUUUUAUACAUAGGAAAAGCUUGUUCUCUCUGGUUUUUAAUACCAUAAAUGGUGCAUUAAUCCAGUUUUCACAGAAAUAGCUAUGAUGAAAAUAGUAAAGAAUACGUGGACGGACUAUCUGUUAACAAUACCCAGGAAUGAUUUCGGGGAUUAUUAUAAAUUAUAUAAAAGGAAUUGCUAUCUGAAUUAUAUACAUGGAUGAAAAGGUAAUUGAGACUAGUUUACAACCCAAAAAGCAUAAUAGAAUUCUGAAUGCUCUAGGAGCUAUGAUUAGUUUAUUAGGUAGCAUGUAGUUAACAAAUUAUUGUAGUUAAGUGUUGGAGGGAUUUUAACAGGUUAUAUGCUUGCGAAUAGGUUUUCUGAGCUGAGAUUUCAGACCAGGCAAAGUAGAGAAGUUAGUAGCAGCGAGCAAGAACCAUGAACUCACAAACCACACCAAUAUCAGAAAUGUGAGGAAUCAUUAGCAAAAAGUUAAAAAAAAAAAUAAUGACAUAAGCAAGUGUCGGUCAAGUAAUAUACAUAGACAUCUUUUUUUACUUCCUCCAGAGGUACAGAGUAUAGGAGUUUACUUCGCCACCAUUUUGUCUAAAAAUUCUAGCUACGAGCUUCAUGGUUAAUUUUCUUGAAUUGAAAGAACCUUUCAUUUAUGGCUAUGUUCUAUAAUAUGUAAGUGAAUUAGUUGCAAACCAGGGGAGUCUAUGUGAAAACAUUACAAUAGCAUUUACUCUGAGUAAGAACACCUCCAUGCAUGUGCUGUAAUUGACAAAGAAAAAAAGAGAAAUCCUUUCAAUUAAUGAAAAUGCAAUGAGUUAACCUUAUAUCACACUGCAAUAUAUACUCUACAGUAUUGAAGUAUGAAAACAUUGAAACGGGAAUAAAGAAAAUAAUUCAUCAAACAAUAUGAGGGUUGUUUGGAAAAAGAUUCUGGAAGAGACCACCAGUAUGCGUAAGGAAAUCACCAGGAAAUUACUGCAUGGUUGCUUUUAAAAAUCAAAAUGGUACACAGCAAGUCAAGCAUCCGCGUUCACAACCUUUUAAUGCUUGAACUCAUCUUAGCCAGUAGUGCUAUAAAGAAGAGAAAGUGGUAUAUCCACUUUCUCAUCAAUUACUUAAGAUUUGUGGAAGAUAUGAUACAGGAGAUAAGAAAAUGAUUGCUAUUAUCCACAAUUUCUCUGUUAUAUAUAUAUAUAUAUAUAUAUAUAUAUUUGUGGAAGAUAUGAUACAGGAGAUAAGAAAAUGAUUGCUAUUAUCCACAAUUUCUCUGUUAUAUAUAUAUAUAUAUAUAACAGAGAAAUUGUGGAUAAUAGCAAUCAUUUUCUUAUCUCCUGUAUCAUAUCUUCCACAAAUCUUAAGUAAUUGAUGAGAAAGUGGAAUAUCCACUCUCUUCUUUAUAGCACUACUGGCUAAGAUAUUAAUGAAUCCUAUAUAUUAGGCGUAGUUUCAUGAAUCCUUUCCAUUAGAUAAUCAAUAAUAUUGUAUAUAUUCUUUUUGGAGAAGUAACUCAUUUCACACCCUUCUUGUAGUUUUCCAUUCAUUUUCACACCCCAGUUGCCACCUGCUUUUCUUUCCACUCACGCACACAGUUAGUGCAAAAAAGCACUACGACAAUAGUUGACUCCCAGUCAAUACGGUCUACGCAAAUUGUUUAGUGAAGUCUUAAAUUGUUUGGUGAGGUUACAUGCCAACAAAACUAAUUUGAAUACUUUUCCCAACCUGGCGAAUAGACUAAGAGCUAAACAAUAAAAUAAAAUAAUAUUCAAAUCUCAAAACAUGGAACCUGCACAAUAUAUGCAGAUAAAGUCAUGGAAAUGACCAAAGUGUUAUAAAAGAGUGUCUUGGGAACUUACAGUAGAUUUCGUUGGAACUCUUGUCUCAGGACAGUAGCAUAGCUUCUUGAAUCUCCGUUUCUAAUCGGAACAGGGGAGCAACGAGAAGCUUGGAGUGGUCGCAGAUUGUCUUUCUUUUGCUCAUGAGGCUGCCUGUCGAAACGCUGAAGAUUUGCCCGCAGCUUGUAGGAAUCAAACCAAAGCUCCUUUUAAGAAAAUUUAAUGACCAAAAGGACGAAAAUCAUAAAAAUCUGCCUUGUGUUUAAAAGAGACACCUCCCUUCUGUUUCCUGAACAUGUCAGGUCAUAUUUUUGGCUGCACAACUUGUAUCCCUAGCGAUCCCUCCUCUUUUUUAAUUCCUGUGUGCUAUUGUUUUAGAUCUAUGUAAUAUGCUGAAAAUAUUUAUUUUCAGCACACUGCUCAUCUACUAUUUGUUUAGUUUUCUUCUUGGGCAUAAUCAAGGGCAUGCGAGUCAUUACAAUUUUGAUCGGCUCCAAUUCGAUUGAAUCAGAACCUAACAGACAUCGGUGUGGUAUAGAAAUUAAGAACACAUCACAGGGAAUGUAUAAAAUGAAAUUAAUGAAAGAAUCGGGAAUUACCAAGCUUAUAUCCAUCUACAAUCUAGAACAAAAUGGACUUUGGUUUCUUACAUCAAUUUUCUUCAGAGUUCACAGCUAUGACAAUAAGCUACCAAAGACAAACAUGUUCUUGAAAAAUUUGGUAAACAAACUUAAAUCAUCUGUAACAUUUACAGACUCUUAUGUAGAUAUCUUAUUGGUUGGGAUUUACAAUUUACACUUUCUAAUUUAUAAAACCAGGAGCAAAUCACAUAUAAUACAGUUCGUCAAAGGUUUCCCUGUCAAAAUGGAGUUCCUGGUGGGUUCUUGGACACAUGCAAGCACAUUGCAAAGGCUCCAGAAUUCACAAAUCUCCUGAUGGAAUGACCGCUGGCUAUCCCAUGCUAUAGCUGGCUAUAUGUGAGGCCUUAAUUUGCCUAGGGCCAUAUGAUCCACAUAAUAAUUUCUAUUUAAACUAUUUUUAUAAAAAAAAUAAAACAAUCAUUUAAUUCUUCCUUUUUAAUUUAAUAUAUGAUAACUUGAUUUAUUUGAUAGGUAAGAUCUAAUGAUUUGAUGUUUUAAAAAGUACAUUUGAUUUGUUUUUAAUGUAUUGUUGAAGAAUUUUUAUAUAGUAUUUAGGCUUGAUCCAAUAUAAUUUUAUUUUUUUAUUAACUUCAAGUAGAUAAAAAAAAUUUAAAAGUUUUUGAAAGAGCUUCCAUGCUUGGAAUUUUAGUUUGUAGCAAUGGCCUUCUAUAGUUUGUAAAUAAAAUGACGAAAUUUGAGAGAAUUAGUUUUUCUAGAAAUUUAUAGGAUAUAAUUAAUAACUUGACUUUAUUUUAAAAGGAUUAAUGGACAUCAUAAAUUUUCAACUAAUAUAUAUAUAGGAACUGCAUGGCCACAAAAAAAAAAAAAAAAGUAAGCAUUUUCAAUAUUUUAGCUAACCGACUUGGAUCAUUGAUGAAGUGUUUAUAGAAAUUAAUUUUUUUACGACCCUCCUUAAUUUUCAUUUGAAAUCUUGAAGGAUAACACAAGAAUUAUAUUAUUAUAAGGUAAAACUAUAGAGAAAGUGAAGAAAAUAUUAGAGCAAAAGACGAUUUUCCAACCCACUAAUCAAUUCCUUCAAAGAGGAAGAUUCUCUAUUUCUUGAAAGGCUAAUUUUGCACUAUUGUUUUCUUGCGGAAUGCAUUCACACUACAUUUAAUGUUUGAUUUUGCCAACACCAUUAAAAUUAAAGCAUGAUUUUCUAAACGUGAUUUCCAUAAAGAUAGAAGGGAGGGCUCUGUGUCCAUCAUCUUCAUGGGAAGUGAGCUGGCUAGCGCUAACUUUUAUUCAUGUUUUUCCACAAAGACUUUGACUUGGGGUCAACUUUCGGUUAAUGUUUUUUAUAAUGUUAGAAAAAUCACUUUAAUUAUUCUUUCAAUCUUCCCGUGUGAUUCACUGCUUGGUGAUUCUAAAGUCGCCUAUUCAAACUUUAGCACAUUAUACAACUAAAUUUAUUCUUUCACUCGGUGUUUAUUAUAUAUUAAAUUCGUUAAUCGUUAGAAAACUUCGUGAUUAAUAAAUUAUCUUUGUCAGAGUUAACUGUUUUUAGAUGAGUCUGGAGUUAAUAAAAAUAUAAUAUGUUGAUACAAUGAAAAAUAUUAAGAGUUGAUUAAUAUUGUUAAGCCAUAUAUGUUUAUAUAUAAAAGUCAUUUCUUUUAAAUGUAUGUAUUUUGAAUUUAAUAUUAAUAAUUAUAAAAUUUAUAUAGUUAAUAAAAACAGCUUCACUUUUGUUCUCUUGUCUUUCUUUCACUAUUGUUCUUUUUUCUUCUUCUUUUGAACUGCCUUGUCUCUCUUUCUUUUCUAUUUUUCAUCUUUCAAUCCUUCAAGAUUCAAAACACAUUGCAAUUUAUGUUGGGAAUAUUGAUGAAAAAUUAAAUAUAACCAGAAAAAAAAUACAAAAAAAAUAAUAUUCUAGUAAAGCAUUUACAUUUCCAUUGAAAGAUGCGUCAUUUAUUAAUCUAAGGUCCGUUGUCCAUUAAUUAAUUGGCGGUUGCAUUCUAACACUUGAGAUUUAUUUUUUAUGCUUAAGCAUUUAAUUAUAAUUUUUUUGUAAACUAAAUUGAAAUUAAAGCAUAUUAGUUAUCCAAUCCCAAGCUUAUGGGGCAAUUGUCUCAUGGACCUAUCUCAUAAAAAAAAAAAACGCUUGAUAGCAAUGGUCUCCUGGAAUAUAUUGUGGAAAAAAUGCAAAUGGCAAUAUAUAGUCUCACAGACCCAUCUCACACUACAAAUUCAUAUCCUUCUUACUUGUUGAUUGUGUUACAAAAAAUAGGCUCUUUAGAAAGAAAAAGAAGAAGACUUGUUGCCAUGACAAUGACAAGAAGUCUUGUAAAAAUAAUAUUAUUUAUGGUUCAUUUUAUUAACGAUACUUUUUUAUUUUGUCAUCACCAUCAAAAUUAAGGCAUGAUUUUCCACACGUUAUUUCCAUAAAGAAAGUAGCAAGUCUUCUACAUUUGUCUUUAUUAUUCAAAGUGAACUACCUAGUGUUAACCUUUGAUUCAUAUUUUUCUGAAAAAAAAAUAGAAACAAAACAGACAUGGGUUCAACUUUACAAGAUGGGAUACAAGUUUUCAGUUAAUUACUUUUAUGCAAUUCAAUUUUUUCUACAAUGUGGUUUUAAGCGUUGUUAAAUUUAAUUCAAGCCUAACAUUUUAAUCUAGAACCUAACCCAAUUUAGGUUUAGAAAAAACCAAAUGAAAGUUGACUCAAUCAAGCCUAGUUGACCAGAUAAAUCAACCCACAACUUAGUCAACUCAGUCAGAAACUAGUUUUACUUUUUUUAACGACGCAGUUUUGAUUUUUUCUUAAAAAAAUCUUAAAAUGAUACAAUUUUAGAUUAAUUAACACCAUUCAACAUAAGCUAACUUGUCCGAUUUAUAACCCAAAUCUUGAUCCGAGUAUUAGGCCAAUCUAUGACCUAAACCUCAUCUAGGUAUUAAAUCUAAUCAUGUUAAAUAAUUUUGGUUUUAAUAAACAAGACAUUCUUAAAAAAAAUGUCAUAUAUAAAACAUUUAAUUGCAUCCAAAUUGAAACAUUCACAAAUUGAUAUAAUAGUUAUUAAUAUUUAUUUUUAAUAGAUAUAAAAUAAUUUUUUUUAAUAAUUGAUUAAUAUUGUCAAAUCAUAUAUGUUUUUUGUGGUAUUUUUCUUUAAUUUCAUCUCUUAACAUUGAGUUUACUUAUCCUGAUCUCAUGAUCCAGAUUGAAGACUUGAUGGGUUAACUCAAUUUUUUUUUACUAUAUAUAUAUAAUGUUAUUAAUUCCUCCCCCUGUCUUGUAUAUAUUGUCCUCUGUUUUUCUUUUAUGCUAGCUAGCCUCUAAUUUUGGCCCUACCACCUUUCUAUAAUAAUACUCGACUAUUAAAAAAAAGAAAGAAAAGCAGAAGCAGAAAUAACUCGACAAUUUCUCUAAUGUGCAAAGGAGUGUUUGACGAGCUAAGGAUAUAGAGCCUUCCUUGUCUCCUUCAGGUCAAUCGUCUUGGAGAGCCUAUGUUCUUGCCUUGAUCAAGACUCCCAUCUUAUCUUAGUUAUUCAACAAAUAUGAAGAAAUUUUCCAAAAUCAUCUCACCCACCCCUCAGCCCUUUGUCAAUAAUUAUUUUCACAUUCUUAAACAUUUCAUCUUAAGUAAAAAAGAGAUGGAAACAACAGAAUUAAGUGAGUUUUGAUAGUACAAUUAUAAAGUAAAAAAUAUUUUAUGCAGAAUCACCCACGAAUAUCGAUAACAAUGCUGAAGUACUACAAUAAUUUUUUUAUUAUAUUUUAUUUAUAUAAAUUGGAUAAUUAGUAACCAAAAUAUAAUUUAAUGUAAAUAGACUAAGUGCUAAACAAUAAAUUAAAAUAAUAUUCAAAUCCUAGAAUAUUCCAAAAAGAAAUAAAAUAAUAUUCAAAUCUCAAAACAUGAAACCCUAAAUUAUUAUGAGAGAAGUAUAAUUAUAAAGUCAUGAAAACAAUCUUACGAAUGUGUACAAUAUUUUUAUUUAUUUAUUUAUUUUUAUAAAUUGAAUAAUUAGUAACCAAAAUAUAAUUAAAUACAAAUAGACUAAAGGCCGAACUAAACAAUAAAAUAAAGUCGGAACUACAUAAGAUAAUAUUCAAAUAUAUAUUAUCGACAAACACACCAUAAACAUAAAGGCCGAAGUGUCAGACUGUGGCACUUCUAGGUUAAUUCCGUUGGAUCAUUUGAAUAGUCAACAAUGGUGCGAGGUACUCUAGGAUACUUAGACCUGAGUACUUGCACACAAGCCAACUGACGGACAAAAGUGAUGUUUACAGUUUUGGAGUGGUUCAUGUGGAACUACUAACUGGGAUGAAGGCAAUUUCCUUGUAUAAGCCUGAGGGCCUUUAAGUGCUCAACAACAAAAUAAAAUAAUAUUUAAAUCCAAGAGUAUUCCAAAAAAAAAAAAAAUUCAAAACUCCAAACAUGGAACCUGCACACAAGAUAUGCAGAUAAAGUCAAGGAAAUUAAAUGGCCAAAGUGUAGUAUAAAUAGGACCUCUAUGGUUGCCCAAAGGCACAUCACAAACAACAAUAUUCUACGUAGUAAUUCAUAGAAUAUUAUCUAAGAUGAUGAUGAAAAGAAUGGGGGCUUGGAUCAUGUUGCUAGCAUUGUUGACUUUGGUUGGCGAAUGGUCUGGUCGUUGUUAUGGAUGUUUGGAGGAAGAGAGGAUUGGUCUCUUGGAGAUCAAAGCUUUGAUCCACCCAGAUGGCUUUUACUUGAGAGAUUGGGUGGACAGUAGUAAUUGUUGUGAGUGGCGUAGGAUCGAGUGUGAUAACACUACAAGGCGAGUGAUCCAACUCUCUCUUUUAGGUGCAAGGGUUUUCCGCUUGGGCGAUUGGGUUCUCAACGCAUCUUUGUUUCAGCCUUUUAAAGAAUUGCAAAGUCUUGAUUUGGGAUAUAAUGGAUUGGUUGGUUGCUUGGAGAAUGAAGGUUAGUUCAAUGUUUCUGCACUUAAUUAUAAUCAUAAAAUAAAUGAAGGUUGGUUGGUGUUUAAUGUCAAUUAUCUUGCUUUGAUGAUUCUCUUUCUAGGCUUUGAAGUCCUAUCAUCAAAACUGAGGGAACUUGGCCUAAGUUAUAAUCGAUUUAAUAAUGAUAAAAGCAUUUUGUCAUGUUUCAAUGGUAACCUUUCCAUUCUCAAGUCUUUGGAUCUGUCACAUAAUAAGUUGACAGCUGGAUCAGGUAGCUUCUAUGGUAACCUUUUAAUUAUUUAGCUUCGAAACCUUUUCUUUUCUCCUUCUCAUAUCAUUUAUUUCUACGCAUUUAAUUAUUUCCUUCCAAUAUGCUCUUGAGAAACAUCAUGCAGGUCUCAAAGUCUUGUCAUCAAGGUUGAAAAAGCUGGAGAACCUUCAUCUAAGGUUUAAUCAAUACAACGAUAGCAUUUUUCCAUCUCUAACUGGAUUUUCAUCCCUCAAGUCUUUGGAUCUUUCAGGCAAUCAGCUGACAGGAUCAGGUAUAAUACACAGUUUCUACCUAAAUGCUUCACAUGACAUUCUCUUAAUUAUAAUAUUGUUUCUUUAUCAAGAAAAAUGAGGACGACUUUAUAACUACGCAAAGAGGCACAUGGAAUGAGGUCCAGGAGGCAUAUAUUUUAUUCUUAUUUUGGCCCUUUUAUGCCAAAAGUGUUGUAAUAUUUAGAUUAAAUUAGCAAUCACAAGUUCACUUCAAAACUCUCCUAUAAAUAUAUAUUUUAUAUUUAUCUUUUUAAAUAAAUAUAUUUUUAUAUAUUUUUUAUGUCUUGAGAUACUUAGUCGAACACAACUCUAGGCAUUUUUUUUUAAUGAAUUUGAGUUUGAAUGGGUUUUGAAUAACAUAAUAAGAAGCUCUCUCCAAGAAUAUUGUAAUUAAGAAAAUUGUAAUUAUUAAAACUUGGAUCUUAACAUCAAUUAAAAAAAAAAACUAUCCAAUACAAAUCAAUCGUGUUUUAUCAAUAAAGAGAACAACAUAAAACCCACAUAUUUGAUAUUUAAUUCUUGUUUGUAGCCAUUUAUUAUUUCCUCUCUUUUUAACCAUGGUUUUAUAUUAUUUUGGACCUUUUUUUAAUCAAAAUAUUAUUCUCGGUGGAGGAUAUAUUGCCUUAUGGUCAUGGUGAAUGGUGAAAUAUUUGGACUUUAAGAAAUAAAACGUAAAAAACUUUAUAAUUCUUUAAUGCCAUGGAUAAAAUUGGGAAAGUACUUGCUAGAAAACAGAGGCAGUUAGAAACAAAUUAUAAUUACUAAAUUAGUGACAACUAAGCAUCUUGCUAACUAAAUAGAUAGAGGAAUUAAGUUACGAUUAUUAUUCUUGUUUUAAUUACUGAUGAGAACUUAGCUUCCAUCUUUUUAUGUAUAAGUUUCUUUAUCAUAACUUAGCUUCCAUCUUUUUAUGUAUAAUUUGAGAAUCAUAUAGCAAUUGAACAACAACAUCUCAUUAAUUCUAAUUAUAUAUAUUUAGUUUCUAUAUAUUAUUGCAUAUCGUGAGCUCAUAACUAUGACUUACUCUUAGAAACAACUCUUUGCAGGUUUUGAGAUCAUAUCAUCACAUUUGGGGAAACUUGAGAACCUGGACCUGAGCUAUAAUAUAUUCAUCGACAUCAUUUUCUCACAUCUGCGUGGACUUUCUUCUCUCAAGUCUUUAAAUUUAUCAGGCAAUAUGUUGCUAGGAUCGACGACUGUCAACGGUAAAGGUGUGAAAUCUUUGGAUUUUUCAAGCAAUUUUAUCCAAAAAUCAUCUCACUACAAAAGUAUCAAUUCUUUAUCAUAGGUUUAAGAACUCGAUCAAGAUAACACUUAAUUUCACUACUUACUUGAUUGUCUAUUUUCAAUUCUACACAUCAUAGGUUUAAGGACACUGGAAUUCCUGCAGUCAUUGCCAAUAUCCCUGAAGACCCUUUCUCUCAAGGAUACUAAUUUAAGUCGAGGUUAAUCAUAGUUUAGUUUCUUAAAAUCAUAAUUAAUAAUAUUGAAUGGAAUGGCCAUUCUGUACCACCACUAUUUUCAUCAUAUCUUUUUUCUUCUUCUUCUUUUCACAGGGACUUUCUUCAAUUCUAGCACCCUUGAAGAAUUGCAUCUAGAUAAUACUUCUCUCCCAAUAAACUUUCUCCAGAACAUUGGAGCAUUGCCUGCUCUUAAAGUUUUGUCUGUUGCUGAAUGUGACCUCCAUGGCACCCUACCCGCUCAAGGUAAAUUAACAACUCUCCAUCCGCCUAUAAUUACAUCAUCAACACUAUUUUGACUGUUUCGAGAUAAAUUGUACAGGUUGGUGUGAAUUGAAGAAUCUGAAGCAGUUAGAUCUCGCUAGAAAUAAUUUGGAGGUUCACUCCCAGAUUGUUUGGGGAACUUGUCAUCUCUACAACUAUUAGAUGUUUCUGAAACCAAUUUACUGGAAAUAUUGCCUCUAGUCCUCUUACCAACCUCAUAUCCCUUGAAUUCCUCUCACUAUCAAAUAACCUCUUUGAAGUUCCCAUUUCAAUGAAGCCUUUUAUGAACCACUCAAGCCUCAAGUUCUUCUCCAGUGAGAACAACAAACUUGUAACAGAACCUGCUGCCUUUGAUAAUUUGAUUCCAAAGUUCCAACUAGUCUUUUUUCGCUUGUCAAAAACAACAGAAGCACUCAAUGUAGAAAUUCCUGACUUCCUCUAUAACCAAUACUUUAGAGUCCUUGAUCUCUCCCACAACAACAUCACUGGAUUGUUUCCAUCAUGGUUGCUUAAGAACAAUACACGAUUGGAGGAACUAUAUCUGAGCGAGAACUCCUUUGUUGGUACUUUGCAAUUGCUAGAUCACCCAUAUCCGAAUAUGAUCGAAUUAGAUAUAUCCAACAACAACAUGAUCGGUCAAAUUCCAAAAGAUAUUUGUUUGAUCUUUCCAAAUGUGAGACUUAAGGAUGGCUAAGAAUGGAUUCACAGGUUGUAUUCCUUCUUGUUUAGGAAAUAUUAGCUCUUUGGAAAUUUUAGAUUUAUCCAACAAUCAAUUGUCCACAGUAAAACUAGAACAACUAACAACAAUAUGGUUUCUCAAGCUGUCAAAUAACAAUUUGGGUGGGAAAAUACCGAUCUCGACGUUCAAUUCUUCUAACUUAGUUUUUCUCUACCUAGGUGGUAACAACUUUUGGGGUCAGUUAUUAGAUUUAUCAUUAUAUGAGCAAAAAAUUUGGAUUGUAUUGGAUUUGAGUAAUAAUCAUUUUUCAGCAUGCUUCCAAGGUGGUUCGUCAAUUCUAUGGUCCUUAGAUCAAUUGAUUUGUCCAAAAACAAUUUUAAGGGUCCGAUCCCAAGAGAUUUUUGUAAGCUUGACCACCUUGAAUAUUUGGACCUUUCUGAGAACAACUUGUCUGGAUAUAUACCAUCUUGUUUCAGUCCACCAUCUCUAAUCCAUGUGCAUCUAUCCAAAAAUAGAUUGAGCGGUCCAUUAACAUAUGGAUUUUAUAACAGCUCUUCUCUGGUUACGAUGGAUCUUCGAGAUAACAGCUUCACCGGCUCCAUUCCAAAUUGGAUUGGCAAACUUUCAUCAUUGAGUGUUCUUGUUCUGAGGGCUAAUCACUUUGAUGGUGAGCUCCCUGUUCAGUUAUGCUUGUUAGAACAAUUAAGCAUUUUGGAUGUUUCACAAAACCAGCUCUCUGGUCCACUACCCUCCUGUUUGGGCAAUCUUACUUUAAAGGAAAAUUCCCAGAAAGCGUUGGUAUCCCAGUGGUUUUUUUCUACAGGUCCAUAGAAAAAGCUUAUUAUGAAACAAUGGGUCCACCACUAGUGGAUAGUAUUUUCAACUUGGAAAAUCAUAUGUUUUUAACUUUACAGAAGAAGUGAUGGAAUUUACAACUAAAAAUAUGCAUUAUGGUUACAAGGGGAAAAUUCUCAGCUACAUGUCUGGUAUUGAUCUCUCCAAUAACAACUUCAGAGGAGCAAUCCCACCAGAAUUUGGAAACUUAAGUGAGAUACUGUCAUUAAACUUAUCACACAACAAUCUCACUGGAUCUAUCCCUGCAACAUUCUCAAAUCUAAAGCACAUUGAGAGUUUGGAUGUUUCUUACAAUAACUUGAAUGGUGCCAUCCCUCCACAACUUACUGGAAUUACCACACUGGAAGUUUUUAGUGUGGCACAAUAACUUGUCAGGUAGGACACCCGAGAGAAAAUAUCAGUUUGGGACCUUCGAUGAAAGCUCUUACGAAGGAAAUCCUUUCUUGUGUGGACCUCCAUUGCGCGUAGCGAGGAAGCAGUGUUGUCGCCCAGUGCCUAAUGAUGAACAAGGAGAUGAUGGUUUUUACAUGGAGUUUUCUACAUCAGUUUCGGUGUUGUUACAGUUGUGGUGAUGACGAUUGCAGCAGUUCUCUACAUCAAUCCAUAUUGGCGACGCAGGUGGUUGUACUUCAUUGAAGACUGCAUAGAUACUUGCUACUAUUUUGUGGUGGCUAGUUUUCGCAAGUUCUCCAACUUCAGAGGAUGAAUUUGUUAUGAUUGUAUGCCUAGCUAUUGGGUGCUUUCAUUUGUAGUGUACUGUCUCUAAGCUCAGCCUUUCUAUUUGAUUAGUUAUUUGGGCUAAAUAUAUAAGUUGGACUUGUCAUUCCUGAAUCAUUAGGAAGGGAACUGAUUUGGAUUGGUCAUUGACUCGGAUGUGAUGACUCUUUCAACUCUCAAGACUUGUCCGAAAAUAAAUUGCCAAAACCACUACUAAGUAGAAACAAAAUAUUCUAUGCCUAUGUGACAACACUUACAUUUGCCUUUGUUUCAAGGGCGACCUUCUUUAACAGCCUUCCUGGUCGUUUCUAGUAGCUUCUUUGCUCUGCUCCUCAUUUCUUCUGAUUCUUCACCCAUCAUAAUUUGACUUCUCUACAGCUUCACUUUUAACAUGAUCUCCAUGCAUUCUAGGCCAUUCCUUAACUCCAGUCACCAACUUUUCAUUAUAAAAUUGCUCAGCAAUUAUUGCCCUUAUGCCUUCAAGAGUUGAGUUCCAUCCUCAAUGAGUCACAAAUGCACCUAUUGCUACAUGAUCAAGAAUCAAACCUUGGGAAAAGAGUGUCUUGGGAACUUACAGUAGAUUUCGUUGGAACCCUUGUCUCAAGACAGUAACAUAGCUUCUUUAAUCUCUGUUUCUAAUCGGAACAGGGGAGCAAUGAGAAGCUUGGAGUGGUCGCAGAUUGUCUUUCUUUGGCUCAUGAGGCUGCCUGUCGCGCUGAAGAUUUGCCCGCAGCUUGUAGGAAUCAAACCAAAGCCCCUUUUAAGAAAAUUUAAUGACCAAAAGGAAGAAAAUCAUAAAAAUCUGCCUUGUGUUUUAAAAAAAUCCAGUUAGAUCAAAGGAGAAGAUAUAUUAUAUAUUCAUAAAAAGCUUAAAGUAGAUAAACAUCAAACAUUGAUUAAACAUCUAACAAUGCAAGUAGCAAGGUAAAAGUGCUGCUCAUAUCAACCAGGACUUGUUAUGAAGGAAUAAAUAUUUUGGUGCUUCAAGGGUGGUUUUUUUAAUUUAUGUGGAAUCCAUUAGUAGAAAAGCAAGCUAUGAAGGCUAGGCUAAGAGAAAAUUGUCUACAUUACCAUCUCAUUAUAAGGGACAAUAAAAGAGGAAAAACAUUUUCGCCAAGUCGAGAAAGAGCGAAUGUAAAAGCUGAUGUUGGAUUGCGAAAAAACAUAAAUGGAUUCAAUUGAUUUUCAUGGGACUGCAAUUGAGGAACUGGAGGCUGUCCUAGCUGUAGAUUAGGAAUAGUCCUCCUGAAUCUGCUUGGGUUUAGAAAACUUACAAUCUGCUUCUCAUAGAAACUGGGUGUUGUGAUGUUUUUAGAGACCUGUAAGAAUGUUAUCAACCUGUAAGAAUGUUUCAAGCUGUUCUGACUUCGGUUGUUGCGGAUGAGAGUCAAGCUGGAAAGCAAAGUUAACAUACACGAGAAUUAAAAAUUGCAUUGAUCCUUUGUAGCAAAACAUUAGUGAAAAAAAUGUUUCUAUUCAAAUUCUUCUGUUGUGUUAGGUAGGUGAUUAGUGCAGAUGAUACAGUGACAGCAAUGCUGAUGAGGAAAACAAAUUAAAACAAAAGCUCAACGUGGGGAAAUUGCAGAUAAUCAUGCAUGGGCAGAUAAUCUGCAAGAAAUUGCAGAGAAAAUUUACCUGCUGUAACUUGGCAGCAAUUCUCUGGUACAUUUCAUUUAUUUCAUGGAAAUAAGUCUCCUUCAUGACUUUGAUCUAGGAAGUACAAAAAACCAGCAAAACAUUAUCAGUCAUAUGCUUGAUUUCUUCAGGUGCCAGUCAGAAAGAAAGUAACACAAACAAACUUAAGGGAAUUGAUAAAAAUAAAAUAACAAAAAGAGGGCAGAGGACAGCAUAUAUUAGUUGAGAUAAAAAUAGCAGAGUGGAAUUAAUGCUGGAAACUCAAGAGGAUGUCAAUAUUGAUGGAAUGGAAAGAUGCAAAGGGCUGUUUAAGUACACCUUUAGACAAGAUUCAGGGGUUGGUUAAGUUCAGUUACUUUGUCUCCCUGCAAACUACUCAUCAUUGUUUUCUGCUGUCAAGGCUCAAGUAAAUGGAUGUCACAACUUUAGCAACGCUUCUUAGCCUUAGAUCCUAAGCAUGACCCCAUGUAUCAUUAUCAAGAACCAUUCUUAUUCCCGUUUUAAUACUCUCCUAAGCACACAACGAUAGGACUAGUUGGAAAUAAAUAAUAAAAUAAUAAUUCACCACACAACAAAUAUAGGGAAAAAAAUCGAAAGGGAGAGGUUUGCAAUAAAAAACUGUCGUGUCAGAACCAAGCAAGCAAUCCUCUUGACCUAGAAAUCUGAAUAUUUUUACCUUCAUUCAUCUUAUCAAUGAUUAAUCAUUUGUUAGUUGUUGCAUUCAUGGAACUUACAAUGCUUCCUAACCAAUCCCAACCAUAGCUGAAUAAAAUUCCUUGGACCAAUCUCAGGAGACCUUUUUCCAUUGAAAUCUUCCCAGACUAUGGCAUGCAUGAACUCCAUCUAAUGAACAGUAAAUCACAGAAAUUACCUUUUGAUAGAUCUUCUCUUGCUAAUCAGCGCCAUUUGCAUGUCCAGUCUGUGCUGUAGAAUCUAGGGAUGCUAUAAAAAUUUCAAAGCGGGCAACAAAAGAUUAGAAUUCAUGUAUUUUUGUGUGUUUUCCAUAUACAAGGGUAUCUCUGUAAUUCUCACACUUGCUGAAAAUUAUGAAAUAUUGCAGGUCUCAGUUUUAUUGUCCAUGUAGUAUUUAAUUAUUCCCGUAGUAUAGCGAGUUUCAUUAGGUUUUUCCUAUAUAGGAAUACAAGUCCUUUUUGUAUUAGGAACUUCAUCUAAAUGUUAUGUAAUCAUUCAAACAGAUGGAGAGACCCUAUAAAUUCAGAAUGACAGGGUGAACAAAUGCAUGUGUGAUUGCAUGUGUGCACAAGUGCAAUGCACUGGAGGGCAUCGUGUGGUUGCAAUAGUUCCAAGGGGAAGCAGUGGCACAUAAAGCUACCAAAAAGAGCAAUACUCUGCAUGUUAGGAUUCUGGACAACAGUGUUGGGGAUAGUCUGGGUUACACCAGAGACAGGAGGCAGUGCUGCUUGUAAACCGGCAUAACUUUGAACUCCAUUAGAUGCCAUGCAAUUUUGCAUGUUCUGUGAUACCAACUGCUGACGUGCCUGAGACUGAUCUGUGGACAAUAGGAUAGGGAGAAACAGCCCUUGAUUCUGAACUUGAGGAGGCAUACUAUGGGAUGCUGUUCAAGAUUAAAGGUAAAUGGGAAAACCAUGUCAAAGAAAAAAAGAAGGCACUGAACAAGGAAGACAAAUGAAACAUCGGUAGUUCACACAUAAAGUUAUGGGCGAAAGAAUUAAGAUGGAUUUGAUUCAAAGCAUAAAAGUGUCCUCUUGACAAUUUUUGGUUUGGGGGAAGACGAGGCAACUGAAAACAAAAAUAAUAUGACAAUUUUCAGGGUGGGGGAAAGAAAAGGAGGAGGCAGAAAACGAAAACAAUCUGUAAUAUUCUUGCCUAACAUUCAUCAAUUACUCAACUUUUUUAUUAAAGCAUGCUAAACACAGCAAUAAAAUGUAAAAGAGUUUGAUAACAAUGUGACAAACAAGACAAAAGGUAAGAUGUGUAGAAAUUCAAUGCACGGCAGCAUUAUUUUAUACGAAAAAAAGAUCAAAUACUUUCUCCAGGAAGAAAAGCAAGAAAGUGACAUCUUAUCUCCUAAACAGGAAAAUCUUUAAAACCUACCAUCUCAAUCAUAAAAUAUAAAAUAGCCAAUAAUGACAUAAGCAAAUGUCUAAAAAUUGUAGCUCCGAGCUUCAUGGUUAUUUUUCUUGAACUGGAAGAACCUUUCAAUUAUGGCUAUGUUCCAAGAUAUAUAACUGAAUUAGCUGAAAACCAGGGGAGUCGAUGUGAAAACAUUACGAUAGCAUUUACACUGAGUAAGAACACUUCUAUGCAUGUGCUGUAAUUGACACUUCUAGCAUUUAAGUUUGCUUCUUGUGAGAAACACAUGAGAAGAUGAAAAAAAACAAAAAAACCAAAAGAGAGCGUGUGAUACAUGAGGUUGCCUCAUGGCAAUCCAGCUGAUUUUAAUUAACCUUUUGCCCAUCUCCUUUUCUUUCAUAUAAAUAAAAAAUUUGCUAUUUUGCAGCACUUGCACAUAUUAGAAAUCAACUACUUACAUUUUGUCGACUAUUCUUUUCCGUGAGUCAUCAAACAAAAAGAAAUCAUAUACAUUAAAAGUAGCAUUAACAUCAUACUAACAUUGAAGAUCAACUUUAUAAGCAUUAUCAUUGAUCUUCUCAACGAUAUGAAAAGGACCAUCUCCUCUUGACAUUAACUUAGAUCUCUUUUGCUUAUGAAACCUCUCUUUUUACAUAUGCUUAAAUUGAAUUGGAAUUAUUUUAUUUGUUUAUUCACUAGCAUUAGAGUCAUGAAUAAAAAAUAUUGAUCUAAAUUUAUUUUAUAGCUGCGUAAUAGUUACCAACGCCAGAGUUUGAAUUAUUCGUAGUCGAAUAUUCAUUGGCGCCAGAGUCAGGAAUAUCGCAAGUAAACCAUCAAAGCAUAAAUUAAUAAAUGUUUAGCAAUUUAAGAUAAAAUCAGCAAUGCAGUCUGCCUCAGGCAGAAUGUUUAAGGGGUGAUAAUAUAUUUCCUUUUGUGUAACCAGUCCUGAACCAUAGGAUCUCUGUUGACCAAUUAGGGUUCCUAAUGACCAUAAUACUAGGUGGCGACUCCUUAAACAAGACAUUUUUUUUUCCCUAAAAAAACAAGAUGCCAGAAAUAUAUUCUUUUUCCAUAAUCGAGAAUUAUUUUUAAGGCCGCUGUGAUGUCGGGCGCGACAAAAUUGCGACUCCGCUGGGGAAAUUAGGACUAAGCUUUGUUUUUUUUGUUUUUGUCUUUUAUUGCUAAAUAUGUUUUAUAGUUUUUGGUUUUUUUUGUGUUGUUUGUGUUUAUCAAGUUUUAUUUUUAUUUGUUAUUUAUUGUUUGUUAUUAUUUAUUAUUAUGUAUUUUGUUUUUUUUUUGUUUUUUGAUUUGCUCUUUUCAUUGUUUUAGCACGCAUAAUUAUUCAUAUUUAUCAUGCAUAUAUAUAUUGAUAUGAAUAUAAGGCCUUCACACAUCACUCCUCAUUAUUUUUUUAUAUAUACGUGGGGUACCAACUUUAAGAUAAGUGGAGUAAUGGCACCCCAAUGGCUUUAGCUUGGGUAAGGCUCGCAAAACUAUCUAACUCUCUCAUGAUUUGUUUGCUCGAUAGUGGUUGAUAUGCCAAACUGAUUUUACUCAGGGCCUCUAUCUUCACACUGCUUGUAAACCUCAUAUCAAACCUUUCGAGGACGAUCACUGAGCAUGCUAAAGACCUUUGAGACUAGAUAGCAAAACUACCCAGAUGCAUCUAAUGACUAGAGCCUAUUCUUUAGAAUGGUCCUUGUAUAAUUUCACUAAGAUAAGUAUAACAUGUAAGCAUUUUCAUUAUAGGACUUUCGGGUGAUAUAAUGACCGUUAUUCGUGAGGUAACAACUAUUGAGUAUCGACUCGAAUCUGAAUCCUUGCAAAUGACCGAGGGAGACUGCCCUAGACCAAAUGCUAGUGGGACACUGCUACUCAAAGAUGUCAGGUGCAUAAUAAAGGACACUAGCCGAUUGUUUUCAUUCACUAAGUAUCAGAUAGACAAAGCAGAAUUUGCUAUGAAGUAUGGGAGGAUUUUGCACCUUUUGAAAGUGCCAGUUUUGCCAUCAGCUAUAAAAGCCAUGAUACAUUUUUGGGAUCCCGAUUACCGUCGUUUAACUUUCUGAAAUGUCGACAUGACACCUACCAUUGAAGAGUAUAGUGUGUUAACUGAAUUCCCAUAAGAUGCCUACAAAGUGUACUUUCACCAGAGAAUUGACGACACCAUGGAUGAGCUUGCCUAACUGCUAGGGAUCCCUCAACUAAUACCGUAUAGAGAGAAAGAUAACUCUGGGGUUCUUAGAUGGAAACGACUAGAGGAGUUGCUAAUUGCUAAAAAAGCUAACCCGGGUGCUAAAUUAAAGAAACAUAGAAUAUUGGCUUUGGGAAUAUUUGGUUUAGUUCUAUGUCCCUCUACUAUAGGAAUUAUCAGUUUGGAAGCUGCCAAUUUGUUUGUGGAAUAUGAAAAGACAAAUAUCAACCCAUGUGCCAUGAUUUUGGUUGAAACCUUCCUAUCUCUUAGUCAUUGCAAGAAAACGGGUAAAGGUUCCAUGAGGUGUUGUGUCUCUUUACUAUUCAUCUGGUUGGUAAGCCAUAUAGAAAAUAAUUUCUGGUGGUUUGACCAAAAGCCACUUGAGUUAUUCAUAUUGUCGCACCCGACGUCGCGGCGGCUCUAAAAAUUAAAAAUUCUCGAAUUAUGGAAAAAGAACGGAUUUCUGACAUUCUGUUCUUUAAUGGGGAAGUGUCUUGUUUAAGGAGUCGCCACCUAGUAUUACGGUCACUAAGAACCCUAACUGGUCAAUAGAGAUUCUAUGAUUCGGGACUGGUUACGUAAAAGGAAAGAUAUUAUCACCCCUUAAACGUCCUGCCUAAGGCAGGCUGCAUUGCUAGUUUCGUCUUAAAUUGCUAAAUGUUUAUUAGUUUAUGUUAUGAAAAUUUGCUUAUAAUAUUCCUGACUCUGGCGCCAGUGAAUAUUAAACUACAGAUAUUUCCAACUCUGGCGUUGGUAAAUAUUACGUAGAUAUCAGAGUGAAUAAAUUUAAAUAAUUACCUUUUUUAAUCCUGACUCUGACGUUGGUGAAUAAACAAAUAAAAACCAAUUUAUUUUUUAUUUUUUACUCAUGCAGAUUAUUUUUAUUUUUACGUAGCUAAAUAAAAGUAAAAAUAAAAUAAAAUAAAAUUUUAUUAGUAUUUUUUAUUCAUGACUCUGGCGUCAGUGAAUAAACCAAUAAAUUUAUUUUAUUUUAUGUUAUUAUAUUUUUUGCAUGCAAUUUUUAUUUUUUAGCUAAAUAAAAUGCAACGAAUAAAAAUAAUAUAAAUUUAAACCAGUGUUUUUAUUCCUGACUCUAGCGUUAGUGAAUAAACCAAUAAAUUUACAUUAUUUUUAUUCAUGCAUAUGCAUUUUUUUAUUAUUUUUAUUUUAUUUUAUUUUCAUUUUUUAUUUUUUUAUUUUUUUUUGGGCUGGGCUGGGCUAAAACCCAGCCCAGCCUGGUCACUGGCCCAAUCCAGUGACCAGGCGGCUUUUGUCUGCCAGCGUGCGUGAAUUGUUCACGCACGCUGACUACAGUCACCGUUAAUUAAAUCUCAAUUGCACAGUACUGGAGGAAUUAUUUUGCAAAAAACUAGAAAUACUUACCUGUGAGCAGGAUGGAGGCGAGGCCGUGUUGUUCCUCCUUUCGUUUUCCAAGCUUCUUCCCCUGGUUUUGGAGGCUGGCGCUGGGAGCAGGAUGGAGCUGAGGGCGUGUUGUUCUUCCUGACUCUGUAACUAUUGGAGACGAAGAUGAAGGUGAUGGAGAAAAAGAGAAUGUCUUGAAGGGCAGCGUUAAUUAGGCGAAGAAGAUAAGUCUUGCCAUAGUCCACCGAUAGCUUGAAUGUAUCUGGAUGAAGACAGCGAUGGAGAAGCAGACGACGUGAUGAUUCUAGCUCCGGCCGAAGAACGUCCUUCUCCUCCUUUUUAUUUUCAAACCCACUCCCCUCUGUUUUCUUGUUCUUUUCAGUUUGCCUAUUCUGCUUGAAUCCGUGGACAAAGACAAGUCUGGGUUUUGCUUGUUCUUUUCAGUUCUGCCUAUUCACGCUUGAAUCCAUGGACAAAGACAAGUCUGGGUUUUGCUUGUUCUGUUUUUCUCUGGAUUUUCUGGUUUAAUUGCUCUGUUUUUCUGGGGUUUUUCUCGGUUUUUUGGGUUUAUUUUCCUCCUCUGCGUAUGGUUUUUAGUCUCUCAUUUAUAGAGAUCCCCAAGCUUGCCUCUAAUCAGUCCUGCCUUUGCAGGACUGUAUCCUCCACGAACGAGAUCGUGUGCAAGGGACUCGGUCCACGAUUGAAUUUGUUGCAGAUUUUCAGGUCUCCGGUUGAAUCGGGAUGAAGAAGAUCACACGGUUGUUCCACCAACAACGGCGGCGUUUUGGCAGCAAGGGAUUCUACCACCGACGACGACGUUUCAAACAGCAAUGGACACUUCCAUUUUGAUCACUGAACUUUAGAAAUUUGGCAAUUGGACCCUUAAGCAAAAUAAAAAAUUUCUUUUAAUUUUUCCUUUUAUAUGAUAAAUUUCACUUAAAUCCCUAAAUUGGUGCACUGUUUACAAAACAGACCUUAAUUCCUGGAUUAUUCAAUUUGAUCCUUAAUUAAUUCUUUUAAUUUUUCCCCUUUUGGAUAAAUUUCAAUUAAGUCCCUGAAUUUAUUUAAUUAAUUAAAUCAAAGUUUAAUUAAAUCCACAAACUUAUUAAUUCUUCUAAUUUCAUUAAUUAAACUAAUUUAAAUUUUAAAUAAAUUUCCAAACUUAUUAGUUCUUUAAUUUCUGACCAAUUUAUUCUCAAAUCUGAUAUUUUUAUCCCUAAACUUUAAAAUUUGUUGUCUUAACCCCAUUGUCAACUAUAUUUUUAAUCAUUGAUUUUGUAUUAUUUAUUCAAAAAAUUGGGUUAUAACACAUAUCAAAAAGAGUGGGAGAGUUUUUCUAAUGCCAUAAGUGGCAGUAGUGGCACAUAAAGCUACCAAAAAGAGCAUUACCUGGCAUUUGUCUCUCAGAAUUGGCAAACAUAAUGGAGGGAUUCCCUUGUCCCAUUGAAUUCCCCGCUAAGUUCUGUGAAACACCGGGGAUACUCUGCAUGUUAGGAUCCUGGACAACAGUGUUGGGGAUAGUCUAGGUUACACCCAAGGUUGUUAAAAUCACGAUUUUAACACGACAUGGAAAGCGGUACACAAACUCGGAUCGUAAAAUCAUAAAAUCGUAAGGAAUUUUAAAAUACAUGAAAAAAAAUUCAUGCUUCAAAUAAAAAUUCAUACAUAGUUCAAGCACCUUAAAAAACAUGCUUCAAAUAUAAAUUCAUACAUAUUUCAAACCUUCAAAUAAAAAUUCAUACAUAGUUCAAGCAUCUUAAAAUACAUGAUUCAAAUAAAAGUCAUACAUAAUUUAAAAUAACUUUUCAUUAACGAAUAAUCAACAAACUUAAAACAAACAAUCUGCUGGUGUGUCAUGUAAACUGAAACCAGCUUCAUUCCCUUUAUCUUCCUCAUCAUUCCUUAAGCAUUCAUCAAUAUCAUUAGCAUCAAGAGGAUUAUUAGUAUAACUACUAGUACCAACACCAAUAUCAUCAAUUUGAAUAUCCAAAUCAUCUUCAAUACCAUGACUCUCCAUUUCAACAUCAUUAGGAAUUUCUUCUUCAUCACUUUCAUCUUCAUUACCAUUUUGUCUUCGUGUUGCACUGUCAAUAGCAUCAAGAAAAUCAAAGUUUGGAUGUUUUUCUCCCUCAGUUAUCCAAUCAUCAUCAGAUGAAAGAUCAUCUUCUAUACCAAAAUCAUCAGCUUGCUUUUUGACUUGGUUAUUAUUCAAUUUCAGAUUGCACAUUACAAAUACCAAGUCAUUCAUUUUUUUCUAGUGCAAACGAUUUCUUCGUUUUGUAUGAACCUAAAUAAACAAUUCAAAUUUAUAAGAUUUUUAUCAAAUAUUUCAAUAUUUAAAAAAAAAAAAAAAAAAACUCACCAUUUCAAAUGCACUCCAAUUACGUUCACAUCCAGAUGAAGUACAAGUCAAGCUUAGAACUCAGAUUGCAUACCUUUGUAAUUCUGGACAUUCAUCCUUAUAAGAAUCCCACCAUUGAGCUGAAGUUUUUUUUAUCUCUAGUUGUCUUGGCAGCCUCAAUGCCAAACAACCCUUUUGCAUCCUUGAAUGAUUCAAGUUGCAAGUCAAUUUUGCACCUUUCACUUGCAUUAGGCACCAUCCUUUCUAAGCAUUGAUAUAAUCCAAUUUUAAUGUUGGCAUUAACCUUAAAAUUGGGAUUAUAAUGAUAAUGAGGAUUCAAAUAAUAAGCUGCUACAUGUAAUGGUCUGUGGAGUUGAAGUUCCCAUCUUGCAUCAACAAUAUUCCAUAUAGGUAUAUAACUAUAUAUAAAAAAACAAUAAAAAUAUCAUUACUUUAUAUAUGACAUUCAUAUUUAUAAAUGACAACAUUUGAAAUAAAAAUUAGCAAGAUAUAUACCUUUUUUUCACAGAACCAAAAUUCACUUGUAUCUUCUCUUUUGCUUCAUCCAUUAUAUAAAACCCAUAGCUGAUUUCUCAUCAGAAUCAACUAAUCGAAGAACUUUAAUUAGAGGAAACGCUGCCUUAAUACAUAUAGUAACAUCAUGCCAAAACCUGCUAUCCAAAACACAAUUUUGAAUUCGUUUCCCUUCUUCUAUUCUUGCAAACCUGCAUGAACUCCACUGUUUGGAAGUAAAUAUGGUCAUCAACUGCAUUUUAUGAUCAUUCAAACAUCCCAGAGUCAAAUAUGUAGUAGCAAACCGAGUGGCAGCAGGCCUAAUCAAAUCCCUUCCUUUCGUAAAGUGCCUUAACAUGGAAAUAAGAAUAGUUCUUGAAUAUAUGAGGUGAUUCUCCUCCCCUUAGCAAUAGUUACUUGAUGAACCUCUAACUUCUUCUCAAAAUCCUCUAAUAUCAAGUCAAUACAAUGGGCAGCACAUGGUGUCCAAAACAAACUCUUUCUUUUUUCCAUCAAUAAUUUUUCCGCUGCCUUAUAAUUUGCAGCAUUAUCGGUGACUACUUGGACAACAUUUUCCUCCUCAAUCCUCUCCACAAUGGCAUCUAACAUCUCAAAUACCUUAUCAGCAGUCUUGGACAUAUUAGAAGUAUCCACCUGUUGCUACCCAUAUUUUGACCCAUGUUUUUGAUAUAUUUUCAAAAAAAUCCAAAAAUAGAGAAAAACAAAGAAAAUCCAAAAAAAUAUGUUUUUUUAAUAUAUUUUGGUCAUUUUAGGAUUUUCAACGUCGUCUAAAAAAAGAAUUUAAAUUUUUAAGGGUCUUUCGAACGCGUUCGACUUUUCAACGUUGAUAUUGCUCGUUUUCAAAGAAAUACAAAAACAAAUAAGAAAAAGUCAAAAUUUACAAAAAGAAGGAAGUUGAGGGACCAAGUUUGAAAACUUGGCAACAUUUUUGCCUAUAAAUACUGGUUUCCAACACUUGCAAAAGGAGGGGGGCAAUUUUGACAACAUCUGAAAAAAAAUACAAAAAAAACCCUAACUUAAACCCUCUCCAAAACGACCGCCCCCCACUUUAGUUUUUGAUUUCUUUUUUUCUCUAGUCGCCGGCUGACUUCCUUCUCGCUGCCUCUGAUUAGUCCCCACCAAAACAAAAACCAACACCAACUCUCCGCCCCUAACGGCUGCGCCUCCUUCCCUCACUCUCCCUUCCCCUAGCCAAGACCAGAGAACCAAAGGAGCGGCGCCUGAUCUCCCUCACCCCUCUCUCGGUUGCAGCAAAAUCGACCAAAUCAGCCUCAUUUUCCAACAACCCGACAACCAGCCACAUUUCCACAGCCCCCAUCUUCCACAGAUCUGCCUUCACUCCAGCCGCCCAUAAAUUUGGGCAAACCAGCGGCGUCUCUGCAGCAGCGCCGUCCAAAGAUCCAGCAGACCCAGCUCCUUCUUCCAGCAGCAACGGCCCCUCCCAGUACAGCAGCGCCGUCUUCCUCCAACAGUAGCCGAGCAUGGCGGCGCCCAAGGAGUCAGAUCAGUCGGCCGUCUCCAGCUUCUCCCUCCCUCAGCAACAGCACCAGCACCGCCACCGGUUUCCUGCUUCAAUCGACCACCGACAGCUCCUCAUCCACGACCGAUCUGCCACCGGAGAAGAAGAAGAAACCCAUAAUAGACCAAUCUGUAGAAGAAACAGAUCCGAAACCGAGAAGAAGAAAAGGAGAAGCUGAUCUGAUAAAAAGAAAAAAACCGAAGCAGAUUUAAAGAAAACGAAAAUAAAAUCUAAAAUCAACUGUUUGUGGCCCUUUUUUUUGCAUUUCUUGUUGUAUUCACCGCCGGCGAGGAAGAAGGGAGGAUCUCCCCUGCUGUCUUGUUUUUUUUCCGGCGGCGCGUGAGCCCACGCGCCGCCAGUGGUGGGGGCGCGUGGAGCAGACGUUCCACCACCGUUCAGUUGCCCUGAAAAUGCUCCCAGCACUGUUUUAGCGGUGCAGAAGGUAUUCCUGUGAAUUCCAGAUUGUUUUAGGGUUGUUAUUGUAAUUUUAAUGUAAUUUUUGUUUGAUGUAAUAUUUUUUAUUUAGUCUUGAAUUUUUAUUUGUAUUUUUAAAUAUGGAUGUAAAAGAAAAGAAAAGAAAAGAAACAAAAAUAAAAUAGUGAAAGUGUAUGUGUAUGCUUGUAUUUUGUUUUAUUUAUUUGUAUAUAUUUUUUAAUGAUAAAAUUGCGAAUAUAUUAAAGAAGAAUUUAAUAUUUUGAUCGGAUCACGGUUAAGAAUUAUUAUCUUAUACGUAAGUGAUAUUUCUAAUUUCCGAUGAAAAGACAAUUAUUAAAACUUCUUUAACACGUCAAAGCUACGAAGCAGCUUACCUCAGGUAGGGUGCGUUAGGGGUGCUAAUAUCUUCUCUAACCACAACCAGUCCCUUACCCACGAAUCUCUGACAAGACCAGUACAUCAGGUUUCCUAGUUGCCCUCCAUGAAUUACUAGGUGGCGACUCCCAACGAACCGAUUCAAGCAAACGCAACAACAACGAGAAAGAUCGCCAGCCCGAUGCCGCGCAUGGAUUUUUCGACGUGCGACAGAAUGGCGACUUCGCUGGGAAGGUACUGUUUCUGACAUUAUUGGACUAAGCUUUGUGUAUUUGAUGUGUUUAAGUUUUUUGCAUUUUUAUCUUUUUGUUAAUAUUUUUUUUCCAUGCAUUUUAUAGAAUUGUUUCAUGCAUCACCUGUAUUUAUUUUUGAAAGCACACACAAGCUUCUAGGUUAGGUGGGGAACUAGCGAUCUGCCCUAAGACUAUUGGUCAGGGUUCAGAUGCGUGAAACACCCAACUCAUAUCUGAGUGCCUGCUUGGUAAUGGUGGGUAUACGUGCCUUAACCAUUCCUUGCAACGCCCCCAUACUGUCUUUACGAAGAACGUCACUAGGCAGAUAUGAGACCCUUUUGAGACCAGAUAGAAAACUUACCCAUGUUCACAUAAUAAAUAGAACCUGUCCUUAAGUUGUAUGUGUUAUCAUUGUUUGCAUCAGGGCAAACCCUUCUUGAAGCAUCUUGAACUCAAGACUUGUGGGUGACACAUUGGCCGUCACUCAGAAAUUUUUUCAUUGUAGAGUUUGGGCAAAAAUCACGAUUCUUGCUCCAUCAUACAAGAGUUACGACCAUAUUGUCACCCCUCGAAGGGCGAGUUCAUCAUAUAGAUUACAUGUUCAUACAUUUGUCAUGCAUGCACCAGAAUGAAAAGUAGGUCCCCUACGAGUCUACAACACCCGACUUUGAAUGAAGAAAAACUCGGAAGAUGAAGAGUAUGCUCGUCGUAAUUUUUGAAGACAUGUGUGACUUGCUUCUAGCUUACUCGAGUAGAUACUGAAAAAUAACUCUAGGAAAGUUCCUUCCAACCGACCUAUCAUCUUUGUUCAAAUCCCAACAAUGACUCAGCCCAAAGAAAUUGGGGGCAAAAUUUGUCAAGAGCCUCGGCGCAAUCAUGUAUUUUCGAAAAAGCUUUGGUGGGAAGGCUAACCAAAGGGAAUUGCACUACCGGUGCAUAAUGGAGCCUAUUCUUGUUCUGCAAAAAAAAAAAAAAAAAAACUUAGUUUGAUCAUGCCUGCAAAAUUUCUUGAUUUUUAUUUCAACCUAUUCCAGUUUUUGUUGGUAACUUGGCUCAAAAUUCCACAACAUUUUCCUUGUCAAAUGAGCCUUUUCUUGUUAAUAAGAUCAUGUGUUUCCCUGUGUUCAUAAUAUACCUUCAUUUUUGUUGUUGUUUCAUACAAAGAACAUAUUGAGCAUAACCUUUAAGCAUGAAACCAUCACACCAAGAAUCUUUGGGUGUGUUUUCCUUUCUUUCAAAACUAUGCAUAAUCGCACAUGUUCACAAGGAUUUUUGGGAAUUCAAAGUUUAGUACAGAAACUGAAAUCAUGUUGAUGUUUGUCCAAAACAAACGAGUUCUGGAAAUUCAGGUGAUUCCUUAGAAAGGUAACCAUACACCUAGAAAAACCCAAAAAAAAAGCAAGAACCCAUGAAGUGACUUUAAAAGCUGAGUUUUAUUUGAAUGAAUAAUGAGAAAUCACAUUACAUACUCGCAUGAAAGUAAGGCUUACCGAUCCUAAAUGCAUGAGUUUGAAAUGAAGAAAGGCCAUUUUGAUAAUCUUUUCACGAGGCUAAAAUAUAUCAUUUGCAGUCCCCUUUUGAGCCUAAUGCUUUUCUUGAGAUAAAUAACCUUGGCUAGGAUCACACCCCACACUGGGGGCAAGUGCGAUGACAUAGAGAAAACCUCAAUGAUCGAAAGUGCCCAAGCAAUACUAGGGGCAUAAAAGAAAAUUCUCAAUCAUCAAAGGUGCCCGAACAAAUCUAGAGGGACAUGAAGAAAAACCAAAGGAUCAAAGUUUUGAGCAUAAAAAAAAAAAUAUAUGAUGCUCAAAACCAUAUGAAGAAAACAAAAGCAAAGAGAAAGAGCCCAAACCCAUCACUAGGGGGCACGAUAGACAAUUUUCGAAAGACAGUCAAAUGACAAAAGGUCAAGAAACAAGCACAAGUGAUCUUUAGUCUUCAAAUCCCUUAAACACCUUUUGAGCCUACAAAUAUCAUUUUCUUCAUAACCAAGAGCCCAAGCCUACAUUACGUGCCUAAUCAAGCCCUUUCUGAUCAAAGGCAAGCAAUCUGGAUCGGUAGGCAUGCUUUCUCAUGUGAACCAAAUCAUUAUUCAUGCAAAUAAAAUAUAUGCUUUGAACCUCGGUUCUCAAUAACCCUCAAAUUGAAAUUUAAACCUUUUCUGACAAACCAGAUGUCACUCCAUAUUUUUUUACCAAAAGCCAAAAAAAAAAAAAAAAAAGAAGUUUUCAUCACUUCUGAUAACCUCUCCAUAGGAAACACUUGAAUUUCUUCAGAAUGAGUUUGCUUUGAAUCGAUGUCAAAAUAAUUUCUGUGUCUGGAAUAACUUUGGAAUUCCAAAAUUUUUGCAUGAAAACAAUUCCUUGUCAAACCUUCCUUCACAUAGCCUUAUCCCCAAACUUGAUUUGAAUACUUGGGGGCAUGAUCAAGCUAGGGGGCAAUAAAGAAACAUAUGAUAGGGCUGGCUCCAUGAUUUUUCUAAGAAAUAUCGAGCAAAAUUGGCAACCCUUGAGAUAAAGACGGAGUACAAAGAAGUAUGAUGAUAUCAAGUCUUUCCUAGAGGUCAAAAUCACAAGAGUGACUCGAGUAAGCAAGAGCGAAAAGCCAUCGAAGUUCACUGCCAGCACUCCAACUUUGAGAAAAGAAACACACCAUGAAGAAAUGGGGACCUAUUAUUUCAAAUCAGGUAAGGAUGCAUGCAUAUCAUCUAACCUAAAAAAAAAAAUUGCACAUAUUUUUUAAUUGUUACAGGAAAAUCCUUAAUGAGGUCUAGCAAGAUGUUGGAAAAAGAAAGCAUUGUGGUGAUGAUAAUAAAGAAUCGAUUUUGAUCAUGGAAUAAAAGGACGAUGGGAUGAACCCUACCAUUAGGAAAAUCCCAAAGAAAUGAAAAGAUCAACCUUGCAAUCGGGAAGCCUCGAGUUUUCAACUCUUGCAGUCAGGAAACACCGAGUUUUCAAAUCCUAUGAUCGGGAAUUAUCAGGAAGCACCAAGUUUUCCAGCCCUUCUUCUGUCAUCCCCUCAAAGACUUCGCCAGGUAAGUCCUAUUUUUCACACUUGUCAUAUCACAUCUUCCAGUUGGGUUGGUCACCCAUGACAAUGAGACCGCGUUUUUCACAUUUUUUCCAUCCGGGUAGGUCACCCAUGACAAUGAGACCGCACUUCAUCAUAUUUUUUCCAUCUGGGUAGGUCACCCAUUACAAUGAGACCACACUUCAUAUUUUUCUAUUUUUGGGUAGGUCACCCAUUACAAUGAGACCGCACUUCACAUUCUUUCUAUUUGGGUAGGUCGCCCAUCACAACGAGACCACUUCAUCAUAUUUUGUCCAUCUAGGUAGAUCACCCAUUACAAUGAGACCACACUUCAUAUUUUUCCCCCUGGGUAGGUCACCCAUAAGAAUGAGACCACUCUUCCUCUUUCCACUUGGGUAGGUCACCCAUUAUAAUGAGACCACUUUUUACACAUUCUUUUGUUCUAGUUGAAUGAGGUCGCCAGAUGGGAUCUCAUGUAGCUUUGGUUAAAGGGAAUUGCUAGAUGGGGUUUCAGGUUGAUCGAGCUACACACAUUCCUUGGUUAUGGUUAAAGGGGAUCGGCGAAGGGAUCUCAGUUUAACCUAAUUGGAAAGGAUUUUGGUUCUGGUUGAAGGGGAUCGACGAAGGGAUCUCAAUUCAGUCUAACCACACAAACCUUGGUUAUGGUUAAAGGGGAUCGGCGAAGGAAUCUCAGUUUAACCUAAUUGGAAAGGAUUUUGGUUCUGGUUGAAUGGGAUCGGCAAAGGGAUCUCAGUUCAGUCCAACCACAUAGACCUUGGUUAUGGUUAAAGGGGACCGAUGAAGGAAUCUUAGUUCAACCUAAUUGGAAAGGAUCUUGGUUCUGGUUGAAGGGGAUCGACGAAGGGAUCUCAGUUCAGUCUAACCACACAUUCCUUGGUUAUGGUUAAAGGGGAUCGACGAAGGGAUCUCAGUUUAACGUAAUUGGAAAGGAUUUUGGUUCUGGUUGAAGGGGAUCGACGAAGGGAUCUCAGUUCAGUCUAACUACACAUUCCUUGGUUAUGGUUAAAGGGGAUCGGUGAAGGGAUCUCAGUUUAACCUAAUUGGAAAGGAUUUUGGUUCUGGUUGAAGGGGAUCAGCGAAGGGAUCUCAGUUCAGUCUAACCACACAUUCCUUGGUUAUGGUUAAAGGGGAUCGGCGAAGGGAUCUCAGUUUAACCUAAUUGGAAAGGAUUUUGGUUCUGGUUGAAGGGGAUCGACGAAGGGAUCUCAGUUCAGUCUAACCACACAAACCUUGGUUAUGGUUAAAGGGGAUCGACGAAGGGAUCUCAGUUCAGUCUAACCACACAAACCUUGGUUAUGGUUAAAGGGGAUCGGCGAAGGAAUCUCAGUUUAACCUAAUUGGAAAGGAUUUUGGUUCUGGUUGAAUGGGAUCGGCGAAGGGAUCUCAGUUCAGUCUAACCACACAGACCUUGGUUAUGGUUAAAGGGGACCGACGAAGGAAUCUCAGUUUAACCUAAUUGGAAAGGAUCUUGGUUCUGGUUGAAGGGGAUCAACGAAGGGAUCUCAGUUCAGUCUAACCACACAUUCCUUGGUUAUGGUUAAAUGGGAUCGAUGAAGGGAUCUCAGUUUAACGUAAUUGGAAAGGAUUUUGGUUCUGGUUGAAGGGGAUCGACGAAGGGAUCUCAGUUCAGUCUAACCACACAAACCUUGGUUAUGGUUAAAGGGGAUCGAGGAAGGAAUCUCAGUUUAACCUAAUUGGAAAGGAUUUUGGUUCUGGUUGAAUGGGAUCGGCGAAGGGAUCUCAGUUCAGUCUAACCACACAGACCUUGGUUAUGGUUAAAGGGGAUCGGCGAAGGAAUCUCAGUUUAACCUAAUUGGAAAGGAUUUUGGUUCUGGUUGAAGGGGAUCGACGAAGGGAUCUCAGUUCAGUCUAACCACACAGACGACUCUGGUUAAAGGGAAUCACUAGAUGGGAUUUCAGGUUAACCGAGUUACACACCGGUUUUUGUUCUUGUUAGAUCGCCAGAUGGGAUCUCAGGUAAACCCAAUAAAAAGGGCAGGUCGCCCGUGAAAAUAGACCAGUGUGAGAGUGUGGGCCGGUCGCCCCUGAAAAUAGACCAGAGUGAGUGUGUGGGCCGGUCGCCCCUGAAAAUAGACCACUUUGAGUAUGUGUGGGUAGGUCGCCCGUGAAAACAGACCAGUGUGAGAGUGUGGGCCAGUUGCCCCUGAAAAUAGACCAGUGUGAGUGUGUGGGCCGGUCGCCCCUGAAAGAGACUAGUGUGAGUGAGUGGGCCGGUCGCCUUUGAAAAUAGACCAGUGUGAGAGUGUGGUCGGUCGCCCGUGAAAACAGACCAAUGUGAGAGUGUGGGUCGGUCGCCCCUGAAAAUAGACUAGAGUGAGUGUGUGGGCAGGUCGCCCUUGAAAAUAGACCACUUUGAGUAUGUGUGGGCAAGUCGCCCGUGAAAAUAGACCAGUGUGUGGGCAAGUCGCCCAAGAUAAUGAAAUCAUUUUUUCUUUUGUUUUCUUUACAAAGCUUACUAUGCAAAAAUCGAGGAUUUUUGCUUCGUAAGCAUUGUAAAGAGGGGGCAUCUAUUGCUACCUAUUUUUUGACCCAUGUUUUUGAUAUAUUUUCAAAAAAAUCCAAAAAUAGAGAAAAACAAAGAAAAUCCAAAAAAAUAUGUUUUUUAAUAUAUUUUCGUCAUUUUAGCAUUUUCAACGUUCAAAAAAAAAAUUUAAUUUUUAAGGGUCUUUCGAACGCGUUCGACUUUUCACGCGUCAUUCUUAAAAUCGUUGAUUUUUCUCAUCGAGUCGACGUUGAUAUUGCUCGUUUUCAAAGAAAUACAAAAACAAAUAAGAAAAAGUCAAAAUUUACAAAAAGAAAGAAGUUGAGGGACCAAGUUUGAAAACUUGGCAACAUUUUUGCCUAUAAAUACUGGUUUCCAACACUUGCAAAAGGAGGGGGCAAUUUUGACAACAUCUGAAAAAAAUACAAAAAAAACCCUAACUUAAACCCUCUCCAAAACGACCGCCCCCCCCUUUAGUUUUUGAUUUCUUUUUUUCUCCAGCCGCCGGCUGACUUCCUUCUCGCUGCCUCCGAUCAGUCCCCACCAAACAAAAACCAACACCAACUCUCCGCCCCUAACGGCUGCGCCUCCUUCCCUCACUCUCCCCUCCCCUGGCCAAGACCAGAGAACCAAAGGAGCAGCGCCUGAUCUCCCUCACCCCUCUCUCGGUUGCAGCAAAAUCGACCAAAUCAGCCUCAUUUUCUAACAACCCGACAACCAGCCACAUUUCCACAGCCCCCAUCUUCCACAGAUCUGCCUUCACUCCAGCCGCCCAUAAAUUUGGGCAAACCAGCGGCGUCUCUGCAGCAGCGCCGUCCAAAGAUCCAGCAGACCCAGCUCCUUCUUCCAGCAGCAACGGCCCCUCCCAGUACACCGCCACCGGUUUCCUGCUUCAAUCGACCACCGACAGCUCCUCCUCCACGACCGAUCUGCCACCGGAGAAGAAGAAGAAACCCAUAACAGACCGAUCUGUAGAAGAAACAGAUUUGAAACCGAGAAGAAGAAAAGGAGAAGCUGAUCUGAUAAAAAGAAAAAAACCGAAGCAGAUUUAAAGAAAACAGAAAUAAAAUCUAAAAUCAACUGUUUGUGGCCCAUUUUUUUGCAUUUCUUGUUGCAGGUAAAGGUAGUAUUCACCGCCGGCGAGGAAGAAGGGAGGAUCUCCCCUGCUGUCUUGUUUUUUUUCCGGCGGCGCGUGAGCCCACGCGCCGCCAGUGGUGGAGGCGCGUGGAGUAGACGCGCCACCACUGUUCAGUUGCCCUGAAAAUGCUCCCAGCACUGUUUCAGCGGUGCAAAAGGUAUUCUUGUGAAUUCCAUAUUGUUUUAGGGCUGUUAUUGUAAUUUUAAUGUAAUUUUUGUUUGAUGUAAUAUUUUUUAUUUAGUCUUGAAUUUUUAUUUGUAUUUUGUAAAUAUGGAUGUAAAAGAAAAGAAAAGAAAAGAAAAGAAACAAAAAUAAAAUAGUGAAAGUGUAUGUGUGUGCUUGUAUUUUGUUUUAUUUAUUUGUAUAUAUUUUUUAAUGAUAAAAUUGCGAAUAUAUUAAAGAAGAAUUUAAUAUUUUGAUCGGAUCACGGUUAAGAAUUAUUAUCUUAUACGUAAGUGAUAUUUCUAAUUUCUGAUGAAAAGACAAUUAUUAAAACUUCUUUAACACGUCAAAGCUACGAAGCAGCUUACCUCAGGUAGGGUGCGUUAGGGCUGCUAAUACCUUCCCUAACCACAACCAGUCCCUUACCCGCGAAUCUCUGACAAGACCAGUACAUCAGGUUUCCUAGUAGCCCUCCAUGAAUUACUAGGUGGCGACUCCCAACAAACCGAUUCAAGCAAACGCAACAACAACGAGAAAGAUCGCCAGCCCGAUGCCGCGCGUGGAUUUUUUGACGUGCGACACCACCGAUGAUAAAAAAAAAACCGUUCCUUAGGACUAUUAACCAAAAAGUUACAAAUACAAUGUCUUUUUUUAUCUAUCCAUCCAUCAAACAUUAUUGAACAACUAGUUUUUUUCCAUUCUAGCUUGUAAUCCUCAAGCAAAUUCAUUGUUUGAUCCACUUCUUACUUCAAAUACUUCUCUCUAAUAUCAUAGUAGGAUGGAGGCUUGAAACCUGGCCCAUGCUUUGCAACCAAUUCAAGUGCCUUAAGAAACUCAAGAUUUUUUACACAAUUAAAUGGAAUUGCACUAGUGCAAAAAAACCUUGCAAUUUGUUGACAUGCUUCUUCUCUAAUAUCCUUUUUUAGCAAUUGAUUUAAGGUUGUUUGUGUACUUCCACUCCCACUAGCUACUCUCUUUCCUUUGUCCUUGGAGCUAAUUUCUUUUAUUUCAUCAUCAUCAUCAUCAUUUACACUAUAUUGAAGGGCCUUUCUUUUCUUUUCAGUUGCUUCUAAAUUUUUCACCAAAACACCUAAAAUCAUCUGCUUAACAUUUUCUGGUAUUUGCUGACAUGGCUCAACAUUCUUACGAGUGCAAGCCAAAUGCUGUUUAAAACGAAAAAUACCUCCACUAAUAAUUUUUUGACAAUACUUGCACUGAAAUUUUCUAGAAUUCUUAUCAAUAUCUAUCCCAUGUUGCCAUCCCACAUCAAGCCUAUUACUAGAAGAAUUUUUUCUAGAUGCAAUAAGCUCAACAAUUCAAGAAUCAAUUCAAAUCAGCCCUGUAAUCAAUCCAAACAUUUUAUAACAGGUUACAAACUUUAUUUUAAUAUACAAUGCAAAAAAAUAACAGCCAAGAACCCAUCUUCUAUAUUAUUAUCCAUUACAGGUUACAAACUUACAAGUUACAACCCUUUACAACUCAGCAAAGGCAGCAUAAAAACAAUCAAUCAGCACUCUAAAUUACAAGUUAGAACCCAAAUCCAUUCAUCACAAGUUACAACCCAAAUCACGGUUAAAUUACAAUAAGUCCAUUCAUCACAACUCAGCAGAAGCAACAACAACACUCUAAAAUAAAUUACAAUAAAUCCAUUAUCCAUUCAUCACAACUCAGCAGCAUCAUCAUCAUUCUGAAUUACAAUAAACCCAUUCAUCACAAUUCACAACUCAACAACAGCACUCUAAAAUAAAUUACAAUGAAUCCAAAUCCAGGGUAAGAAAAAACAAAGUCACAGUGUCACACACGAUUAAAUUUCAAUCUAAAAUUCACUGGCAAACUCUCAAAUUUCAAUCUAAAAUUCGCAGUCACACACACAGGACAGUAGGACACGAGAAUAUUAACAUAGUCACAAAAACUUGAGAGUCUCAAUAAUAAACAUCAUUAAACUGUAAAGAAAUGAAAUGGUAAGAAAUUAAGCAGCUUACCUCUGUUCUAAGCAGUUAGCAAUGAGCACUGAGGCUGAGAAGAGAAACGGACUAAGAAACAAGAUAAACAAUGAAUUUUUGCAGCCAAAGUUGGAGCCUGUGCAUUCAAUCAAACUAACAUUAACAUCAGACUAAGAAACAGAUAGGGACAAAAAAAACCCACUUGAAGACUGGAGAAAUAAGAUAAACAGUGAAUUUUUGCAGGAGGGAGGUAAACAGUGUAACUUACCUCGUGAAGACUGGAGAGACGCCGUUGACCGUUGUUGUUGUGUGGACUGUGAUUCUCACAAUGGCUGGUGAAAAGAACGUCGUCGAUGAUGGAAAAAUAAUGCAGAUGAGGGGCGAGCGAUGGCUGUUGUGGAGUACCGGUGGACGGUGGUUGAUUGUUGCCUGAGAGUAGGACUACAAAAGAUUAAGAGACUGAGACCGAGACUGAGUCACUAAGGAAUGUGAAAUUUGGGAUUUUCAAUUGAGGGAUUUUGAUGUCUGAGAACGUGAAAAGAAGAGAAGAGAGAAGCCAAUAGGCGGGCGACACCUGGCAGCAACAUUGAAUUUUUAUUUCCUGCGGGUAAACUCGUUCAAUUGGUGGUGAAAUCGUGAUUUUACACGAUUUCACCCGAUUUUAACGAUUUUACCCGAUUUUACUCAUUUCCGAGUUUUAUGUACGAUUUAGCACGUAAAACCUCUAUUAACUCGUAAAAACGUACGAUUUUACAAGUUGAAUCGUGAUUUUAACAACCUUGGUUACACCGGAGACAGGAGGCAGUGCCACUUGUAAACCAGCAAAACUUUGAACUCCAUUAGAUGCAUGCAAUUCUGCAUGUUCUAUGAUUACAACUGAUGGCGUGCUUGAGACUGAUCAGUGGACAAUAUGAUAGGGAGAAACAGCCCCUGAUUCUAAACUUGAGGGGGCAUACUAUGGGAUGCUGUUCAAGAUAAAAGGCAAAAAGGAAAACCUGUCAAAGAAAAAAAGAAGGCACUGAACAAGGAAGACAAAUGAAACAUCGGCAGUUCACACAUAAAGUGAUGAGCGAAAGAAUUAGGAUGGGUUUGAUUCAAAGCAUAAAACAUCAUCUGACAAUUUUCAGGGUUGGGGGAAGAAGAGGCAGCUGAAAACAAAUAAAAAUAGGCCCUAAAAAGAACGUCAGGAACGGCAAGAAGAGUAAAUGCACAUCAAGAACAUGAUAUUUUUUUUUUAUCAAAUCUUUUAUAGAAAAUAUCAUAUAAAUUCCGGUUCACUUUUAUUCUUGGUUGUAAUAUCAAAAUAAAAUAUUGAAUAAAUCACGAAAUAAUAUUUCAAUUAUACUACUAAUACUAAAAAGCAGAAAAUAAAUUGUUUUAAUGCUAAAAAAUUGAUUGUUAUCUCAAUCUAAUUUUUAUUUUUGUUAUUAAUUUAUAUACAUGUUUUAUGUUAUGUGGAAACUUAUUGUAAAAAGGAACAAUCAUUUUAUGAACUAUUUAAGGUAAUAUUCCAACAAUCUUAAAACAAUUUAUUUUCUAAAAUAUUUGUUAUGGGUGUGUGUGUAUGAUGAUCCGGUUAUAUAUAGAAUAGAUAAUCUAUCAAGAACAAAUUGAUUAUAUGUUCACAUGGAUUAAAAAAUAUAGUUUAAUUUUAGUACGGAAAGUAAAGUGUAUAUAUCUUCUGUUAAAUUCCAUGAAUAUGUUAAAUUCCUUAUCGUUUGUCAUUUGUGUACUUGUUGCAUUGAUUGUACGGGGACAAAAAGUUUAUGUUGCAUGGUAGUUUCCUUUGUUGUUGUGUUGAUAUGAAGAAAAAAAAAAUAGAAGAUGGGGAAAAAAAAGUUGCAUUAAUAGAAAUAUAAUCGGAAGGAUACAAUUAAAUUUUUAAAGGCUCAACGUGAAUACUAAAGCAUAAAAGAGAGAAGAUGGGGAGGAAAAAAAAACUUUGUCGCCACCGAGCCACCAUGAAUAUGAUAACACACGCCACACCAUCAACUACACCAUCAUAUUACACGUUGAACUAUCACACGUCUUCUUGAUAACGUGGUGGCUUAUAAUGUGCUGACACGUGCAUACCUUUUUAUUGAUUUAUUAAUAUUUUAAUACUUUAAAUUACUAAAUCGCUCUUAAAAGCAUAUAAAUAUUACAAAAAAAAGCUAUAUUGCAAGGAUGAAAACAUUAUCCCAAGGCAACUUUAGAUUUUUUUUUUCUAAGGUUAACUUUAUCAUUUUACAAUACACAAAACAUGGAAAAGACUAAAAAAUACCUCUUGUCAAGGUCAAUAUUUUUGAACUCUCAAGGGUAUUGACCUCAUUUUACUGUGCAAAUAAAAUAGAAGAGACAAAAAUAGACCCUAACCGAAAGGUCAAUUGUUUUUUUUGCUUGCAAGGGCAACGACGUAGUUUUAGUGUGCGAAAAAGGAGUAAACUUAUUAAAUUAUCCCCAAUCAAUUUACAAAUAACAUUUAGAUCACUUUAAAAAGAUAGCUUUACCUCGUUAGCAAGUCAAUUGUUUUGUGUAGAGAAGGGCAAAAGGUAAAUAUAUUGAACUAAUCCAUGAUAUUUUACCUCACAGUCUAUAAUGAAUCACUUGAAUCAUUGAUCUCUUUUAAGUGUUAUAUAUAUAUAUAAUUCUACUUUUUUUUAGUUCAUGUUUAGAUUUUUAGAAUGCAUUUUCUAAUCAAAUCUCUAUUCUAUUGCACGCAUAUAAUUGUUUUUAAAAUAUAUUUUUUUUAACAUUUGACAAUGCUUUUGCAAUAAAAAAAUUAGGAUAGCCGGUAAUAUGGGUCACUUGUCUAGUUAGGUACAAUAAUAGUGUUUCAUUUUUAUAUGAAUAAUGAAACACUUUAUUUUUUAAAAUUUUUCUUUCUUUUUUAUUUGGUUUUGUUUUGUUUUGUUUUUUACAAAUUAAUCCUUAUUUUUUAUUUAAUUCUUUUUUUGGCCUCAUUAUAUAAGAUAAAGCUUUCAAUUUAAUUAGAAAUAAACUACUAUACUAAAAAGUUAUGCUUCUCUUUAUAUAUAUUUUUUGUUUUUUUAAGUAGUCCUUAUGUUUUUUUUGCUUCUUGAUUUAGUGUUUUUUUCAUUUUAUUUCCUUUAAUUGUUUACAAAUCGGUCUUUAGACAUUUUCUUCCCUUUCUUAUUUAACUUUUUUGUGGGUCUAAUUGUAUGAGAUAAAUAUUUUAAUUUAAUUAAAAAAUUAUUUAUUAUACUAAAAAAGUUAGGGUUUUCCCUCCUACUUUACUAUUCAUAUCCUCUCUCUUUUUUUUUUUUUAAAAAUAAUCUAUCUUCUAAUUUUUUUCUUCUUUUGAUUGAAUGAUUUUUGUUGUUUUUUUUUUCUUUAAAUUUCACUUUAAUAUUUUGUUGAUUUUGAAUUGGUCAUCUUAAUUUGUUUUUGUUUCCUUUAUAUUAAUUAUCGCAGUCUCAAACAAAUAUCUUUAAAUUUGUUUAGUGUUUAAUUUUGUAAGUAUCUAUUUUAGUUAUCACAUAAUUAUAUAAAAAAUAGAUUUUAAACCCAGUGGAGUUCAUGAUCUAGGUUGUGCAUUUGACGAGUUAAACUACAAAGCUCAAGUUGAUCUAGUAUAUCAUCAUAUCAAUGUUAAAAAAAAAGAAAAAAGAUAUUAUCUCAAUUUUCUUUCUUAAAAUUCAAACCAUGUUUGUAUUGGUCAUUUGAGUUGCCUUAAUUUGCACAUGUCAAGCCAACUAGGUCAUGUACAGAUAGCUCCCUUGCGAAUUAAUUUUAAACCUAUGUUAGGUAAGAAGUCUAAGUCGAGAGGUUUCAAGGUUGUCAACGGGAUCAAGUUUAAUAACAAUAUCAUAUUGUUCCUUUGUUUUUAAACUCUACCUUCCAUUCUUUAAAUUGAAUCCUUUUUGGCUUUUUUUUUUAUUCCAUCCUUUAAUAUUUUGUUGAUUUUGAAUUAGUCUUGUUUCGGUUUGCUUUCUAUGAUAUUAUUGCAGUCUCAAACAAAUGUCCUAACAUAUCAUUAAGCAAAAAAUAAUUGAAAAAAAUUAAAGUUGUUAAACCAGGUGGAGUCCAUUAUUCUAGCCAUGGGUUUGGAGAGUUAAGUCACGAAACCAGAAUCGAUUUAAUAUGUCAUCAUAUCAAUGUUAAAAAAAAUGUCAUUUUAAAAUUUUAGUUUGGACCUACCAUGUUGACUGGAUCAUGUUAGAAUAACUUUCAUAUUAGUUAAUUUUAAACUUGAUAUAUAUAGAUAAAGAGUCAAAUCAAAAGAAUUUAAAAUUAAUCAAUUAGAUGGAGCUAGUUUCUUAAGCCUAAAUGAUUAUUUUUAUGUUGCGCAAAACAUAUAGUAGUUCCUUCCAAAAUAUUUACAAGUAAAGACUCGUGCAUAUUAUGAUAAAAAUUUUAUUUAACCAAUGUCUAUUUUUUUAUGAAACAAACAAAUAAAUCCCUCAAGUUUUUUAAAUAAUUAAUUGAUUUUUUAAUCAUAUUUUACCAUCAAGUUAGUGGAACAAACUAAGAAAAUAUUGCUGACAUCUCUAUAUUUGACUAACGAAAAACGAUUUCACUGUUCAAUGUCUCACUGUAAAAAUGGUACUUCGUAAUUCUAUGGAAGUUUAAUGUUAUUUAUGUGGAAAGAGCACUUUGUGGUUUUAGGAAGAUAUUUCACUGUUCAGUGUCUCCCUUUGGAAUUUCCAUGUUGAAUUUUAUUGUAUAUUAUUUUCAUAGGUUUUUUUGCUUGACUUAAUAUUCAAUAUGUAUGUUAAUUAAGUAUGCAUCCAAUGUAAUUUUAGUUUGUUGUAAAAAUAUAUACAUGCAUGAAUUUUAUUUAAUAAACUUGAUUAUUGUCGCACGUCGGAAAAUCCUGCGCGGCAUCGGCUGACGAUUUAUGUCUCGUCGUUUGUAUUGCUUGAAUUGGUUCGUUAGGAGUCGCCACCUAGUAUUUAAUUGAGGUUACUAGGAAACCCUGAUUUACUGGUCAUGGUCAGAGAUUCGCGGGUAAGGGACUGGUUAUGGUUAGGAAAGGUAUUAGCACCCCUAACACACCCUACCUGAGGUAAGCUGCUCCGUGGACUUGAUGUGUUAAAGAAGUUUUAAAAAUUGUCUUUUCAUCGGAUUUUAGAAAUACAACUUCCGUACAAGUUUGUACUUCUACACCGUGAUCCAAUCAAAAUAUUAAAUCCUUCUUUAUUCCUACAAUUUUAUCAUAAAAAAUUCACAAACAAAAUACACACACCACAUUCAAGCUUCGUGAGCUUGAUGUAAUUUUUAAAAUAAAAUUUUAGUCCAUUUCUAAGGCUUCGAUACAUCAGUUAUUAAUUCCUAGAAUAUAUGUAGAAACAUGUUCUUACAUUUUCAUGGAAAAUACAACAUGAUUUUAUCCAUCCUUAGAAUUUGUGCAUUAAAAUAUUAAAAACAUUUUUCUUUUUGUCCUUUUUUAUUUUUUAUAAUUCAAUAACAUAAAAAAAAAACCAACACACACACACUCUUUUUUAUUAUUAUUUUCUUUUCUUCUUUUUUUCUUUUACAUUCACAUUUACACAAUACAAAUUUAAAACAAAUAAACAAAAAUUACAUUAAAAUUACAAUAAGGGCUUCAAAACCAUCUGAAACUACAUGAAUGCCCAUCUGCAAGCUGGAACAGUGCUGGGAAACAGUUGCGGCGCGUCUUCCCAUGCGCCCCCGUCACUGGCGGCGCGUGGUUCAGGCGCCGCCGUCAAAAAACCAACAGCGAAGGGGUGUCUGAAAACGUGUUCCUCCCCUCUUCAAUCUCCUGUUGCCCGUCACCUGCAAAACAAACCCAACACACAACAGCAGUUGAUUUUAGUCCUUGUUUUAGAUCUGAUUUUGAAUUUUUUUCUUCUGCCCGUUUCGGAUCUGUUCGAUUUCUGGUGAGGAUGGCCUUCAACCCUGUUGGUGGCGGCUGGGUUUCAUCUUCUUCUCCUCUGUUUCGGGUGCCAGAUCGGGUGGCGCUGUUGGUGCCGGUGGAGACGAGGCUGUUCGGUGAUACUGCUUGUGGUCGGGUCUGUUUGCUGACCCGGAGAGGGAGGCUAGUGAACGGCGAGGAGAGAAUCGUGAGGUGCUCUCUGGUGUUUUUCUUUCUGCGGGUUGGGGGCCGCCGUUCUCUUGGUUAUGAGGCUGAUUUGUGAGGGGAUGUGGUUGCAGCUGUGUUUGGGCUAAGGUUGGCUGCGACGAGGAAAAGGGGAGAGUAUGGGUUUCAGCCGAUUUUGGCUUUUUGGCCGAGAGGAAGACUAAGGAGACGAGAAGAGGGCUGCCUUGGCUUCUCUGGUUUCGGCUUUGAAGAUGAGAGAAAAUGUGGAAAUGGUGAUUGUCAUAACCCAAUUCUGGGUUAUUCCCCCAAAAUAAAUUCCCCCAAAAUAAAAUAAAAAAAUAAUAAAGACAAAAAGAGAAUAAAGGCUGGCAACGUCGAGAAAGUAUGUCGGGAAAUCAAAUUGCAAUUUUUGGAGGAGAUUCAAGAUCUAUUGGCGCCCCAUUGUGCCCAAAAUUGAAGAAGAAAAAUGCAAAUUCAAGGUUAAAUUAAAUGAUUAUUGGACGAAUUUGCAUAAACAUUAAGUCCAAGGACAUAAUUAAAUUUUUAAUAGGUCAAUUUGAUUUAAUCAUGGGCCAAAUUGAAUUUUAAUUAUGUUUAAGAAUUAAUUUGGGUCCAAUUGGAGGAUUUAAUUAAGUGCAAGGACUUAAUUAUACUUUAAAUGGGUCAAAUUAAUUUUAUCUUGGGGCUUAAUUGGUGAAAAAUUAAGUUUGGGAGCUUAAUUUGGGCUUAAUUGAGAAGAUUGGAAUUUUAAGAGACCAAAUUUAAUUUUUACCAAGUUGAUUGAUUGAAAUCAGGGGUCAAAUUGCAAGAAAAUUGAAGUUUUGGGGUCAAUUAGGGGUUAAAUUGACAAAAUCCAAAGACAAGGACCAACUUGCAAAAGACGCCGAACUAGAGGUGUCUAAUUGACAAAAUCCGGGGGACAAAUUGAAAGAAAUUGAAAGCUGGAGGGCUAAAUUGAAAAUCAGCAAAAAUUCCUAAUUUUUAUCCCAAACGGCGUCGUUUUGGUGUUGAGGGAAGGGACCAGACGACACGUCGCCUGGUUACUGUUCAUCUUCUUCCUCACAAAGCUGCCCGAGUGGUUGCUUUCCAGGCGCGUUUUCUCACUCGUGUGGCCCCCAAAUCCGACAAGGCGUGCACCAACAUGUUCCCCUGAAACAUCUUUAUCUCGUAGAGUGGUCUGGCCGGGUGGAACAACUUGGAAACAACUCUGUUUUGUUGGCCCAAAGUGGCACCCUCGGGCGGUCUGCAGCCUUGGAUUGCCAAAUUUGGCAGUUCGAGGUGCACACUUUGAACCAACGGAUUGGAUUCCUCGAGUCGAAUCAAGGGAUGAGAAUUUUUCCCCGUUAAAUACCAUAUUACCCUCUUUCGAUCCCUAUAAAUAGGACCAAAUUUCAUGCUCAGGAGGAGGAGAAAACGGAACCCAAAGUUGGCCGAAAAUCAGCUUUUCCUACAACCAGUCCUCUCUCUUUUUUUUUUUCCUCUCCGCCGUGGCCUCUAGUUUACACCACUGAUCUCGCCACCAUCCUUCCCCUGAAACACCACAUCCCAUCCAUCACCCAGCCACCUCACUGAAGCCAGUAACAACUCUCUCUUCUUCUUCCUUUUCUACUUCGAAGAUGCACGUGAACAGUGCAACGUGAAUUUUAAUUCACGUUGCACCGUUCCUGCAGCUUAGUCACUGGGCUGCCCAGUGACUAAGCUGCUAUGGGCCGGACCUGCCUUGGCCCAGCCCAGUCGGCUGGGCCGGGUCCAGCCCGUCCGAAAAUGCAAAAUAUGUUGGGGCCGCGCCUGGCCCCAAUUGUUUUUAGGCCUAUGAUCAAUACAUCUGUUUCUGGGCCUGUCUUGGGCCCAGCCCACAUGCUUUAAUGUAUUUAAUUACUUAGUCCAUAGUUAAAAAUAAAAAUAAAAUAAACGAAAAUUUUUCCAAAAAAAAUCCUUUCAGAAAAAUUUGUAAUUUUCUCAAUUAUUUUUCAACUAAUUUUGCUUAAUAUUGGGUUGUAUACUUACAUUGUAAGAUACAAGCCCGGUAUUAAAAUACCCGAUUUUUUCAAAAUAUUUUUAAAAAAUAAAAAAAAUUUCAAAAAAGAAAAAAAUAUUUUAUCGCAUACGGCCAAGUCCUAAAAAUUUUCCAUGCAUGUUUUUUUUAAAAAAAUUGCAUCGUUCUCAUGUUUUGAAAAUAAAAAAAAAUGGAUAUCAUAACUAGUUUAUGAUUAUCCAUUAGUGUUCGGCCAAAAUAUCAAAAACUUUUUUUUCAAUCUUUUUCUAGGAUCCAAAUGUAGACUUUAUUAUUUGAAAGGUGUAAAACUACACGAUAAAGUACACCUUCAAGUAUUAAAGAUACAAAAGGGGUAGAUAAAUGUCAUUCGGACUUCAGAAUGGUUAAGAUUUAACCCAAUAAGGUAGAGACUCCCUCACGAAGAGAGAUCUGCCUUGAACCUUAGAAAAGACCAGCGAAUAGAAACUCGACCUAGAAAAAGCAAUGAAACAAUAAUGCAGCUUACCUUAGGUAGGGUGCACUGGGGGUGAUGCGUCUUCCCCUUGCACAACCAGUCCCUUACUCAGACUCUCGCAGACCAUAGGUUCCUAGUGACCAUAACACUAGGUGGCGACUCCUAGCAAAACAAAUCAAUGCAACAACAACGAGAGACAAAUCGCUAGUGGACGCCACGCGGAUUUCGACGUGCGACAGAAUGGCGACUCCACUGGGGACAACCAUGUCUGGUCGGACUAAGCAUUGAUUGUUUGAUUGUUUUCCUUUUAUUGGUCUUUAAUUUUAGCUUGCAUUUUUACUGCUUUAGCAUGCAUUUUGCAUAUAAAACCCGAUUCGUGAAACAUCCAACUAUGAGCUGAGUGUUUACUUGGUAAUGGCGGUCACACUGUGCCCCAACCAUUCCUUGUAAACCCCUACACUACCUUCACGUGAGGUGGUCACUGGGCAGUUCAUAGACCUUUUCAAGACCAGGUAGAAAGCCUACCUAUCAUGUAAUGACCUAGAACCUUCCUUUAGAGCAUGAACUCUCUUGUUAUUCAUUUUUGCAUGGGUUUUUUCCAUUCAUACCAAAUGUGCAUACAUUUGCAUCCACACACAUACAUCCAUCCAUUGUAAAUAACAUACAUACAUGCGCCAGGUUGAAAUAUAGGUCCCUAAAGAGCCUACCACACGACUCCGAGCAAGAAACAUGGAAGGUGAAGAGCGUGCUCACCGUGACGCCCAUUUCCAAGAAGAGUUAGAGUCUCUAAAAGCAAGCGUGGCUCGCCUCACUAGCUUACUCGAGCAUACACUUAGAAAUGCCUCUGUGAAGGUCCUUCCAACGACCUACUAUUUCUGUUCAGCUCCAACAAUGGCUCAACCCGAAGAAACAAUGAGUGAACAUGGUCAAGAACCUCCACACAAUCCAGCAUUUGUGCACUCAACGCCAUCAGCACCAGCCCCUGUAGUCAUAGAUCCAUUUGCCAAUGAGUCUCACAAGACCAAGUCAUCUGAUGGCAUUGGUCAAGAUAAAAUGGCGGCGUUGGAAGCUCGAAUUAGAGCCAUUGAAGGGGUAGAUUGUACGAUCCAGUACGGGCAGCAGAAAUGUGUCUGGUCCCAAAUGUGGUUGUCCCAAAAAAGUUCGUGUUCCUGAAUUCAUCAAAUAUACCGGAACGCAAUGCCCCAUGACUCAUCUCAAAUCCUACUGCAACAAAAUGGCAGAAGUAGUACAUGAUGAAAAACUACUGAUGCACUUUUUCCAAGAUAGCUUAAGUGGGACAGCAUUAAGUUGGUACAUGAGAUUGGACAACACAAAGAUCCAAAAAUGGAAAGACUUGGUGGAUGCUUUUGUCAAGCAAUACAAGUACAAUAUGGACAUUGCUCCUGAUAGAACCAGUCUGUCCAAUCUAGAGAAAAGGGACAAGGAAAGCAUAAGGGAAUAUGCUCAAAGAUGGAGAGACCUAGCUGCUCAAAUACAUCCUCCGCUCCUAGAUAAAGAGAUGGUCACUCUGUUCGCCAAUACACUCAAGGACCCAUACUACGAGCAUGUGAUGGGUAGUUCGGCCCAGCAAUUUACUGAUGCUGUGGCAGUAGCUGAGCGCAUUGAGCAAGGGGUAAAAAGUGGUAGAAUAUCUGUGCCCACUGAGAAAAGAGGCUUUGAGGGUAAAAUGAAAGAGGUCGACUAUGUUGAAGGUGGUUACAUGGGUAGGAAAAACCCAUUCCAAAACUACCACACUUCACCCCAAAUCGCCAACAUCAAUUUCAACCCUUCAUUUCCUACCAGAAAACUUGAGUUUCAAACCAAACACCAAAAAACCCAAGAACAAUUACCUCCAUUACCAUUGCCCUUAAAUGAGAUGUAUCAAAAGCUACUGAGCAUUGGGCGUAUAGCUCCUGAACCCUUGACACCUUUACAACCACCUUACCCUAAUUGGUACAAGCCCGACCUUACUUGCGAAUACCAUGCUGGCGCCGCGGGACACAACAUUCAUACUUGCAAUGCCUUUAAGAAGAGGCUUAUGCAUCUGAUUAAAGUCGGAUGGGUCACCCUCGAAGGAACUCCAAACAUAACUUCGAACCCUCUACCCAAUCAUGCUUCAGGUAGUGGAUCGGUGAAUGCACUAGAGGCGGAAUGCUCUAGAAACCUUAAAGCACCAAUGGAAAGAGCAAGAUGUGAAGAAGGCAAUGUGCACUUUUGAGGAUAGAGGAUGAAGUUCUGCUAUAGAAUGGGAAGAUGAAGCCUACCCAAUUAUUGCAUUUUGCUUGAUCAUGUUUGUUUUAACCCGUUUUAGUCUUGUUGGCAAUUUGGCUCAUAAUGCCACAAGACUUCCUUUGUUAAAUGAGCCUUUCCUGUUAAUAAAAUCAUGUGUUUUUUCCGUGUUCAUACAAAUAACAUACUGAGCACACCCUUCACUCACAAAACCACUCAUUCUUUGGUGUUUUCUUUCCUCCCUUCAAAGACUCAUGUUUUCAUAAGGAUUUUUGGGAAUUCAAAGUUUAGUACAAAAACAGAAAUCAUGUUGAUGUUUGUCCGAAACAAACGAGUUUUGGAAAUUCAGGUGAUUCCUUAGGGAGGUAACCAUACACCUAGAAAAAAAAAACACUAUGAAGUGACUCUAAAGCUGAGUUUUGAUUGCAUGAAUAAUGAGAAAUCACUUUGCAUACUCGCAUGAAAGCAAGGCUUACCGAUCCUAAAUGCAUGCAUUUGAGAUGAAGAAAGGCCAUCUUUGAUAAUCUUUCACAAGGCUGAAAUAUAUCAUUUGCAGUCCCCUUUUGAGCCUAAUAAAUUUUUCUUGAAAAAUAACCUUGGCUAGGAUCACACCCUACACUGGGGGGCAAGUGCAAAAAAAUCCAUAAUGAUUGAAAGUGCCCAAAUAACUCUUGGGGGCAUGAAAAAGUCUUCAACGAUGAAAGUGCCCAAACAAUACUGGGGGGCAUAAAAGAAAAUUCUCAAUCAUCAAAGGUGCCCAUACAAAGCUAGGGGGCAUGAAGAAAAAUCCAAAGGAUCCAAAAAUUUGAGCAAAAAAACAAGGCCAAUGCAAUGAUGCUCAAAAUCAAAUGAAGAAAACAAAAACAAAGAGAAAGAGCCCAAGCCCAACACUGGGGGGCACCGUGGACCAUUUUACAAAUCAAUUCCAAGGUCCAGAAAUGUAUGAACAAAAGAGUUUGGGAUAUAAGCACUAGUGAUCCUUAGUCUUAAAGUCCCUUAAACACCUUUUGAGCCUACAAAUAUCAUUUUCUUCAUAGCCAAUAGCCCAAGCCUACAUUACGUGCCUAAUCAAGCCCUUUCUGAUCAAAGGCAAGCAAUCUGGAUCGGUAGGCAGUGCUUUCUCAUGCGAAAUAAAAUCAUUAUUCAUGCAAAUAAAAUGAAUGCUUUGAAAACGGUUCUCAAUAACCCUCAAAUUGAAAUUUAAACCUUUUGUGACCAACCAGAUGUCACUUCGUGUUCUUCACAUUUUCACCAACGGUUCUCAAUAACCCUCAAAUUGAAAUUUAAACCUUUUGUGACCAACCAGAUGUCACUUCGUGUUCUUCACAUUUUCACCAACGGUUCUCAAUAACCCUCAAAUUGAAAUUUAAACCUUUUGUGACCAACCAGAUGUCACUUCAUAUUUUUCACCAAAAAUCAAAACAAAAAAAAAUUUCAUCACUUCUGAAAACCUCUCCAUAGGAAUCACUUGAAUUUCUUCAGAAUGAGUUUGCUUUGAAUCGAUGUCAAAAUGAUUUCUGUGUUCUGGAAUAGCUUUGAAAUUCCAAAAAUUCUGCAUGAAAACAACUCCUGAUCAAACCUUCCUUCACAUAGCCUCAUCCCUAAACCCGAAUUGGAUACUUGGGGGCAUGAUCAAGCUAAGGGGCAAUCAAAAACAUCUGGUGGAGCUGGCUCUAUAGUUCCCUUUCGAAGAAACUAUUGGGAAAAAUUGGCAAUCCUUGAGAUAAAAGGGGCGGAGAACAAAGAAAUGAUGACAUCAAGUCUUUCCUAGAGGCCAAGAUCACAAGAUAUGACUCGAGUAAGCAAGAGCGACAAAAGCCAUCAAAGCUUACUAUCAGAGACUCAAACUUUUGAGAAAAGGAGAACUCCAUGAAGAAAAGGGGACCUAUACUUCUCAGGUAAAUAUACAUUCAUUUAUUGAUCAUGAUGCAUUUCUUUCAUCCUUGACAGAUCAGUGUCUCACCAUCACCUCUUUUUUAGUGUGCCUUCGAGCCCUAACCUUUUAGGUAGUGUGUUUUCCAACCCUACCUCCUUCUGAGGGCGUCUUUUAGCCCUCACACCUUAGGUAGUGUGUUUUCUAACCUUGCCUCUUUUUAGGUGUGCCUUAGGGCCAUCAACCCUUAGGUAGUGCGUUUUCCAACCCUAUCUCCGUUUAAGUGCGCCUUAGGGCCAUCAACCACCUUAGGUAGUGUGUUUUCCAACCCUAUGUCCUUUUAAGUGCGCCUUAGGACCAUCAACCACCUUAUGUAGUGUGUUUUCCAACCCUGCCUCCUUUUAAGUGCGCCUUAGGGCCAUCAACCACCUUAGGUAGUGCGUUUUCUAACCAUACCUCCUUUUGAGUGCGCCUUAGAGCCAUCAACCCCUUAGGUAGUGUGUUUUCCAACCUUACCUCCUUUCGAGUGCACCUUCGAGCCCUCACCACUUUAGGUAGUGUGUUUUCAAACCUUACCUCCUUUCGAGUGCAUCUUCGAGACCUCACCUCUUAGGUAGUGUGUUUUUCUAACCCUACCUCCUUUCGAGUGCGCUCUUCAGCCCUUUGUUCUCCAUCGAGUCCUAUCAUGUCGUCCCUUUUAGACAUUUUGCCUUUUCGCCCAGGCAGGUUACCCAUUAUAAUCAGACCUCUUUCAAAACUCUUUUCAUCUUCCAUUUGGGCCGGUUGCCCAUAACAAUGAAACCAUUUUUGAGAAGUCCUUGCAUUUCUCCCUACUUUCAAACUUUUUCUAUUUGGGCCGGUUGCCCAUAACAAUAAAACUAUUUUGAGAAAUCUUUGCAUUUCUCACCACCUUGAAAAAUCCUCGUAUUCUUCACCACCUUGAAAACUCUUUUCGUUUUCCAUCUUGGGACGGUUGCCCAUUACAACAAAACCACUUUGAAAAAUCUUUGCAUUUUUCAUCAUUUUGAGAAAUCUUUGCAUUUCUCACCACCUUGAAAAAUCUUUGUAUUUUUCACCACCUUGAAAACUCUUUUCGUUUUUAAUCUUGGGCCGGUUGCCCAUUACAACAAAACCACUUUGAAAAAUCUUUGUAUUUUUCAUCACUUUGAGAAAUCUUUGCAUUUCUCACCACCUUGAAAAAUCUUCGUAUUUUUCACCACCUUGAAAACUCUUUUCGUUUUCCACCUUGGGCCAGUUGCCCAUUACAACAAAACCACUUUGAAAAAAACUUUGCAUUUUUCAUCAUUUUGAGAAAUCUCUGCAUUUCUCACCACUUUGAAAAUCUUUGUAUUUUUCACCACUUCGAAAACUCUUUUCAUUUUCAACCUGGGCAGGUCACCCAACACAACAAGACCACUUUGAAACAUUUUCAUAUUUUUGAGAAAAUCUUUGUAUUUUCUUCAAAAUCUUUCACGUGGGUAGGUCGCCCAACACAACAAGACCUCUUUGAAAAAUCUUAGUAUUUUUCAGCAAAAAAAAAAAUUUUUGGAAAUCAAAUUUUUCAACAAGAGAAUAAAGGCUGGCAACGUCGAGAAAGUAUGUCGGGAAAUCAAAUUGCAAUUUUUGGAGGAGAUUCAAGAUCUAUUGGCGCCCCAUUGUGCCCAAAAUUGAAGAAGAAAAAUGCAAAUUCAAGGUUAAAUUAAAUGAUUAUUGGACGAAUUUGCAUAAAAAUUAAGUCCAAGGACAUAAUUAAAUUUUUAAUAGAUCAAUUUGAUUUUAAUCAUGGGCCAAAUUGAAUUUUAAUUAUGUUUAAGAAUUAAUUUGGGUCCAAUUGGAGGAUUUAAUUAAGUGCAAGGACUUAAUUAUACUUUAAAUGGGUCAAAUUAAUUUUAUCUUGGGGCUUAAUUGGUGAAAAAUUAAGUUUGGGAGCUUAAUUUGGGCUUAAUUGAGAAGAUUGGAAUUUUAAGAGACCAAAUUUAAUUUUUACCAAGUUGAUUGAUUGAAAUCAGGGGUCAAAUUGCAAGAAAAUUGAAGUUUUGAGGUCAAUUAGGGGUUAAAUUGACAAAAUCCAAAGACAAGGACCAACUUGCAAAAGGCGCCGAACUAGAGGGGUCUAAUUGACAAAAUCCGGGGGACAAAUUGAAAGAAAUUGAAAGCUGGAGGGCUAAAUUGAAAAUCAGCAAAAAUUCCUAAUUUUUAUCCCAAACGGCGUCGUUUUGGUGUUGAGGGAAGGGACCAGACGACACGUCGCCUGGUUACUGUUCAUCUUAUUCCUCACAAAGCUGUCCGAGUGGCUGCUUUCCAGGCGCGUUUUCUCACUCGUGUGGCCCCCAAAUCCGACAAGGCGUGCACCAACAUGUUCCCUUGAAACAUCGUUAUCUCGUAUAGUGGUCUGGCCGGGUCGAACAACUUGGAAACAACUCUGUUUUGUUGGCCUAAAGUGGCACCCUCGGGCGGUCUGCAGCCUUGGAUUGCCAAAUUUGGCAGUUCGAGGUGCACACUUUGAACCAACGGAUUGGAUUCCUCGAGUCGAAUCAAGGGAAAACGGAACCCAAAGUUGGCCGAAAAUCAGCUUUUCCUGCUACCAGUCCUCUCUCUUUUUUUUUUCCUCUCCGCCGUGGCCUCUAGUUUCCACCACUGAUCUCACCACCAUCCUUCCCCUGAAACACCACAUCCCAUCCGUCACCCAGCCACCUCACUGAAGCCAGCAACAACUCUUUCUCUCUCUCUCCCUCUCUUCCCGGCAAAACGUUUUUCUCUCCACCACCGCGACCCCAGCAGCGGCAGCCACCUCGAACCGAAUCUUCUGCCCUCCCCAAAGACAGCCAGGACAACUCUCUCUCUCCAGCCGCUCCAACAGUUGCAACAGUGAGCUUCCCUUCUCCUUUGCAGUCGUCUUCUUCUUCCAGCUGCAACCGUAGCUCACCGCCGGUCUCACCACCUCCAGUCGUACCGUCCGCCACCAGUCAGUCUGCGGGUUCCUUCAGCGCCAGGUGAGUCACCCUCCUCUCUUCUUCUUCCUUUUCUGCUUCGAAGAUGCACGUGAACAGUGCAACGUGAACUUUAAUUCACGUUGCACCGUUCCUGCAGCUUAGUCACUAGGUUGCCCAAUGACUAAGCUGCUAUGGGCCGGACCUGCCUUGGCCCAGCCCAGUCGGCUGGGCCGGGUCCAGCCUGUCCGAAAAUGCAAAAUAUGUUGGGCCGCGCUUGGCCCCAAUUGUUUUUAGGCCUAUGAUCAAUACAUCUGUUUCUGGGCCUGUCUUGGGCCCAGCCCACAUGCUUUAAUGUAUUAAAUUACUUAGUCCAUAGUUAAAAAUAAAAAUAAAAUAAACAAAAAUUUUUCCAAAAAAAAUCCUUUCAAAAAAAUUUGUAAUUUUCUCAAUUAUUUUUCAACUAAUUUUGCUUAAUAUUGGGUUGUAUACUUACAUUGUAAGAUACAAGCCCGGUAUUAAAAUACCCGGUUUUUUCGAAAUAUUUUUAAAAAAUAAAAAAAAUUUCAAAAAAGAAAAAAAUAUUUUAUCGCAUAUGGCCAAGUCCUAAAAAUUUUCCAUGCAUGUUUUUUUAAAAAAAAUUGCAUCGUUCUCAUGUUUUGAAAAUAAAAAAAAAUGGAUAUCAUAACUAGUUUAUGAUUAUCCAUUAGGGUUCGGCCAAAAUAUCAAAAACUUUUUUUUCAAUCUUUUUCUAGGAUCCAAAUGUAGACUUUAAUAUUUGAAAGGUGUAAAAUUACACGAUAAAGUACACCUUCAAGUAUUAAAGAUAUAAAAGGGGUAGAUAAAUGUCAUUCGGACUUCAGAAUGGUUAAGAUUUAACCCAAUAAGGUAGAGACUCCCUCACGAAGAGAGAUCUGCCUUGAACCUUAGAAAAGACCAGCGAAUAGAAACUCGACCUAGAAAAGCAAUGAAACAAUAAUGCAGCUUACCUUAGGUAGGGUGCACUGGGGGUGAUGCGUCUUCCCCUUGCACAACCAGUCCCUUACUCAGACUCUCGCAGACCAUAGGUUCCUAGUGACCAUAACACUAGGUGGCGACUCCUAGCAAAACAAAUCAAUGCAACAACAAUGAGAGACAAAUCGCUAGUGGACGCCACGCGGAUUUCGACGUGCGACAGUGAUGGCUUGACUUGCUUUGUCAAGGCAAAGGGGAAUCCGCCGUAGCCUUUUUUUGGAGGAGAAGUGAGAGGCGACUCUGUGUGCAGGCGGCUGUGCAAGGGCUGAGGAGGAAGAGAAUUAAAACUGGGGAGGGGCUCAGGGAGCCCCAAAAAUGAAAACCAGCGGGGGGGCGGCUGGUAUCAAGAAAAAAGUCUUUUUUUGGCAAGGAAAAAAAAAUGGUGAUGGCUUCGGGUAGUUUUUGAAAGAAGGGUGGUGGCAGCCGGUUCAAGAGAACCGGCUGAGGGAGAAGAGAAAAUAAAUCAAAAGGGGAGCUGGCAGCUGUUAUCGGAGAAGAAGGAAAAAUUUCCCAAAAGGGGGGGGGUCCCCUGGUUUCAGUAUGGAAGAAGAAAAGUUUAGUUUUUUAGGGUUCUCUCUUUUCUCCCAAAAUUACAAAAUGAACCUCCCUUAACUUUGAGUUAAAAGGUGCUAUUUAUAGGCAAAAAUAUUUUUUCGGGCUUCCAAAUUGGUCCCUCAAUUUUUAUGUUCAAUUCACUUGGUAAAAAUUAAAUUUGGUCUUAAAAUUUCAAUCUUUUCAAUUCAGUCCAAAUUAAGCUCCCAAACUUAAUUUUUCACCAAUUAAGCCCCCAAAUUAAUUUGACCCAUUUAAAGUAUAAUUAAGUCCUUACACUUAAUUAAAUCCUUCAAUUGGACCUAAAUUAAUUAUUAAACAUAAUUAAAAUUUAAUUUGGCCCAUUAAAAAUUUAAUUAUGUCAUUGGACUUAAUUUUUAUGCAAAUUCAUCCAAUAAUCAUUUAAUUUGACCUUCGAAUAUGCAUUUAAUUUGACCUUCGAUUUUUGCCUAUUUUUGUAGUCUUUUUUUAUCAUCUUUCUCCACAUUUCCAGCCUUUAUUUUAUUUUUUGAUUUUUUAUUUUUAAAAAAGUGAAAUUUGGGGAAUAACCCAAAAUUGGGUUAUGACAAUUACAUUCAUAAACUUGUUUUAUUUAAAUAAAUACACAAAAUAAUGAUAAUUCAUAUAAUUAGAUAAUAUUCAUAUAAUAUGAAUACAUGAUGCAUGCAUUUAUUAAGUUCAAUGUUUUUGAAAAACAAAUACCUUGAUAAUGUUUUUUUGAUUGAUUAAUGCAUAAAUUUAUUUAAUAAAUAAUAUCUUGAUCAUUUAAUAAAUUUCAUGGUCCCAAUUAUAUUAAUUUAUGGAUAUUUAACUAUAUAUUGUAUUAAGUUUUUUUUAAAAUGUAUAAAUUUUACAUGACAAAAUUAAAAACCUUAAUUCCAUAUAAGAAAAAUAUUUCUUUUUUAAAACAACAAUACAAAAAUACUAAUAUGUAUAUUCAAGUCUAUCUCUAAUUAGGCAAGAUGCUAACACGUUAAUAUAAUCCCUAACAAAUAAUCUAAUCUCUUUUUCCAACAUAUGAUAAUUUAUUCAUGUAAUUUUCAUUUUGUUGUUAAAUUAAUGAUGAUCUUUUCGCGAUCGGUAAAAAGAUAAUUUAGCUAAGAUGAAUGUUUAUCAAGAUUAGUUAAUAUUAUAUUUUGUGUAAUAUUUGAUUAGUUUAUAUUAUUUAAAAGAUAAGUUCAGAUAGAGUAGAAAAGGUUAUCUCAAGAUAAUUUUAUCAGUAUUUUUGUAAAAUACAUUAGCAAUUUGUUACCAACGUUACAUACUAGGAAACUUGAAAAUUAUCCUUAUCUUUAUCACAUAAGACAUGUAUAUAAGAAAGAUUAAGUUUGAAGAAAGGAGUAGGUUGUGUGCUUCAUAUAAGAGUUUCAUAACAUAAAAGCAUCAAUUACAUUAAAGCAAGUGUGUCCACUAGUUAAGAAGUUUAUGCAGAGUUUCGCAACACAUACUCUUAACACACGAGGAGGAUGUAGGAAAUUCUCGAGAAAAAUUGAUCCCUGAAGAGUUGGAGAGCCUAUAAACUUCUAAGAGAAGUUCUUGUGUGAACUGUUAGCAACUAGAAGUUCUAGUUAGAAUAACAACAGUCUAAAGAUCGUCAGAUGUAUUGACAAGCUACUACAUUAAGAGACAUAACAUGGUUUGUUAUCUUAUUAGGUAAGGUGGUACAGACACAAAGAGUUGUGUUCAAAGAUAUUGCUCUUAUAAUCAUUCACACUAAUAAAAAAAAUUAUUUAUCCUGGAUUUAGCUGCCUUGGAUGAUUUUUUUUUUAUCUUUUAAAUAGUUCUUUAAAAGGUUUUCAAUACAUCAUAUAAAAUAUAUAAAAAAUAAAAUAAAAUCACCCUAAAUUUAUACAUUAUCUCAUGAAAAUUUUAUUUUGAUUAUUAAAACUCUAAAAAUGCUUAAAUAAUUAAAAGCUAAAAUAAUAAAAUUUUAUCAAAUUAUUAAAUCAGAUCCUUGAUUAUUAUUUUUAUGUUAUAGUUGAAGUAUUUUUAUAAUUAUUACUAAUAUUGAAGGAAGACUCCUUUAAGCGAAAUGAUUCAUGUACUUCUACUUUUUAUUCACCCCUAUAUAAUUAAAAUUUAAAAUUAAAUAAAUUAUUUUAAUUUUUUUAUAAAAGACUAUGUUGCAAGUUGAAUCUUGAGAGAACCAAUUAGAAGAAAACUCAAUUGAUUAGUUAGAGUGGCCGGGGCCUUUCCAACUAACAUAAGAGUAUGAUGAAUAACAGAAGGAUUGAGGAAAUUAAGGAUGUGAGGAGAGAAGAGAGAGCAAGAAGGAAAACACGUUGAUUGUAUUAUAUUUUGUUAUCCCUUCUGUUACAUGAAUUGCUACAGAUAUAGUAACGAAGAGUAGAUUCUAGAAUAGCCACACGAGGCUCUCACUAUAGUAACAACUAACAGAAAUAACAACAGUAAUUAACACAAGGCUAGUGCUGCAAUGGUUUUAUUUAAACGGUGUGUGUAAGCUAAAGGGUAGUGAGCACUAUUAUCAAAACGCCAUUGUUUCGUCAGUGCUACUUUUGGUUUGAAAAUCUUUUUUCUGCUACUGUUCUUCUUGGUUCAUAACAAUACUUCCCCCUUUUGAAAAAUGUUCCUUGUCCUCAAGAAACAACUGUGGGUACCUUAGAAGAAGAUCAUCAGCAAAUUCCCACGUAGCUUCAGAUGGUGACAGGGUCUUCAAGUGAAUUAAGACCUGUGUUGCUGCUUGGUUGUGGUGUUUAACCAUUCUUCUGUCAAGAAUGGCUUGGGGUUGCAACCUUGGCUCUGCAUUCUGGGCUGGUAAGUUGUCAUAUACUAUUUUACGCCCCACAUAUUGCUUUAAUUGGGAGACAUGGAACAUUGGGUGUAUAACGCUUGAACUGGGAAGGCCUAGCCGAUAUGCUACCGCCCCUAUGCAUUCAAUGACUUGAUAAGGACCAUAGUACUUGGCUGCCAGCUUGUAUGAAGCCCUCCUGCUCACCGUUUGCUGUCUAUAGGGUUGUAAUUUGAAAUAAACCCAGUCCCCCACCUUUAAGAUGUGUUCACUACGCUUAUUGUUUGCUUGUUGAAUCAUAUGGUGUUGAGCUAGCUUGAGACAAUCUUUAAUAGUCUUGAGCAUGUCUUCCCUUUGUGUUAAUUGUUUAUCAAUGGCGUCUAUAUUAGAAUCCUUAGGAAAGUAAGGUAUGUGGAUUGGAGGGGCCUGGCCAUAUAGAACUUCAAAAGCAGUAGACUUGAUGGAGGAGUGAUAGUUGGUGUUGUAUCACCAUUCGACUAAGGGCAACCAUCUGGACCAAUGAUCUGGUGUCUUGUUUGUCAUGCAUCUCAAAUAUUGUUCCAAGCACCUAUUCACCACUUCUGUUUGCCGUUUGUUUGGGAAUGAUAAGCUGUAGAAUGUAACAAUUAAACUCCUUGUUAGGUGAAUAGAUCUUUCCAGGACCUGCUUAGAAACACAAGGUCUCUGUCACUGACUAUAGAGGCAGGUAAGCCGUGUAGUUUGUAGAUGUUGUUCAUGAGAGCAUUUGCUACUGUGGCAAAUGUAUAGAGCAAUGAAAUGGACAUACUUGCUAAACAUAUCUACCAUGACCAACACCACAUUUUUCUCUUUGGAAUUCGGUAGCCCUUCAAUGAAAUCCAUACUGAUGUCCAUAAACGGUGCCCGGGGUAUAGGGAGAGGUUGAAGCAAACUUGGUGUUAGGACAUUCUCGUUUUUGUUUUUCUAACAGGUGUGACACUCCCUCACAUAUGCUCGCAUAUGCUUUUAUUGUUUCUUCCAAUAGAAUAAUGAUCCCAACCGUCUGGCAGUAACAAUAAUACUAGAAUGGCCUCCUAUGGUAAAGUCAUGAUAGAGUGAGAUUAGUUUGCCUUGCAAGUCAGGGUCAUUACCCAUUACCAGCUUGCCCUUGCUGUAUAUAUGUCCAUUCACCCAUGCAUAAAGUGGGUGUAAACUAGGGUCUUGUUUCAAUUGAGUUAUGAUCUUUAAUAGGUUGUUAUAUGUCGCCUAAGAUGCCUGAACUUCUUCUAACAAGUUGGUCGAAAUGGUGGAGAGUGUAAGGGAAAACAUCUCACUACUAGUGCACCUACACAGAGCAUCAUCAACAAUAUUUUCCUUUCCUUUUGUGUACUCAAUAUCGUAAUCAAAGCUUAAAAGCUUGGCUAGCCAGAUGUGUUGAGAGGGGUAGGAUACCUUUUGUGCCAACAGAUAUUUGAGGCUAACAUGAUCUGUCCUGAUUGUAAAAUGUCUUCCUCAGAGGUAGUGUCUCCACUUGGUAAUCACCCGUAGAAUGGCCAACAUCUCUCUUUCAUAGGUCGAUAACGCUUGUUGUCUGAGUCCUAAAGAUUUGCUGAUAAAUGUGAUAGGGUGUCCCUCAUGCAUUACAACACCUAGACCAGAUCCUGAUGCAUCUGUUUCAACCACAAAAGAUUUGUUAAGAUCGGGCAGAAAGAGAACUGGGGUUGGGUCAUGGCCUUCUUUAGGUUACUGAAGGCUUCAACUGCAUCUUCCUUCCAGGCAAAUGCAUUUUUCUUUAGUAACUGGGUGAGUGGAUAGCUAAUGAAUUCGUAGUUUUUGACAAACCUACAAUAGUAUCCAGUAAGGCUUAAGAAUCCUCGUAGCUGCUUGACAUUUUGUAAAUACUAUUUGUAAAUGAUGCAGGUGUUCGGUUAUUGACUGACUGUAUAUCAAAAUAUCAUAAAAAAAGACUAAUACUAACUUCCUGAGAUGUUUCCUGAAUACUUCAUUCAUCAAGCUUUAAAAAGUAACAGGGGGCAUUGGUAAACCCAAAUAACAUUACCAAGAAUUCAUAGUGGUUGUUAUGAGUUUGAAAUGUUGUCUUGAAUACAUCCCAAGGAGUUAUUCCAAUAUGGUGAUAACUAGAUCAUAAGUUCACCUUUGAAAACACUGUUGUACUCACCAGCUCUUCUAAUAACUCGUUUAUUAUAGGUAUUGGAAAUUUUUUCUUGAUGGUAAGUUGAUUGAGAGCCCUGUAAUCGACAUAGAGUCUCUAGGAUCCAUCCUUCUUCUUAACCAAAACAACAGGGGAAUCAAAAGGGCUGGUUCAUAACACUCUAGGUUAUUGUGUAACGUUAUCUUUAACUUUUUUUAUAUGAAAUUAUUUGAUAUUAAGAAAAAAUUAAAUAUAAAGAUUUUAUUAGUAUCUAUAUCUUUAAUAUAUCUUUAAUACGUGUUUAACAUAUGUUGAAAAAAAAACUCUCUAAAAUAUAACGAUCUGUAGAAACUAUAUUGCCAAUAUAAUAAUGUUAAAAGUUACAUCAUAUAACUAUAUAUUUCUGUUAUUACAUGUAGAGUCUAUUUGAAGUAAUUCAUAAAUAUAAACAUACCAAGCCUACAGCUCCACUGGGACUUGCAGAAUUUGUCGCCAUCACAUGACAUCUCAUGAACGCUAAAGAAUCAACAGAUUUGUCGCCAUCACAUGAUACUACCUAUGGCUUUUUCACUAGAAAUAGUUGCUAAAAUUUGUAGAGGACAAAGAAGAGCCUCCCCAUUGUUUCUCCCUUCUUGUUUAGUCCUAACGCUCUUAAUAACAGGUUCACCAGCAGGAUUGGUUGGUCUACCAUCUAAUAGGGCAGCAUAUUAACCAAAAUUAUUAGAUCUCUUUUUUUUUCCAUACCAUUACUGGGAACAACAUAAGCUACCCAGGACUUUGUUUUCAGUUGAAAAUUGUUGCCAGCAAGUGAUGCGUGCAUACGGUUUCCCGAGAUGUUGAAGGCUUUCCAAGUUCGGUAUCUCUCCAGCAAGUGAUGUGUUUUCAAAUCCCUAAAACAAAUUGCAAUGGAAUGAGAAAUGAAGUAAAAAAAAAAGGUGAAAACAAAUCCGAGGAGAAAAUUCACUUGGACCCAAAUUUUAAUAUUUUUCUUGUUUUCUAAAUCAAAAUAGAAAAAACAUUAAAGUAAUGAACAAACACAACACAACACAACACCAGAAGUUGGAACACAAAAUGGCCAUAUCCUAAUUGCUUCGACCUCAUAAGGACUCUGAUCUACAUCAAUUUCUCUCAUCCUUUGGAUUUCCAAUAAACUUUAAGAAAAAGAAAACAAAAUAUUGCAAGGAAAUCAACUCACAGGCCACAAGAGAGACUGAGAAGCACCUACAAAAUGAAUCUAGGCAUAGGCAAUGAAAGACCAAUAAAUCAUGCACAGUGGAAGAAAAGGAAAGGUAACAACAGAAGCACCAUGAUCAAAAGCCAAGCAACAAAGACCAAAAUAACACAGAAAUAAAAUAAAAAAAAUAGCAUGAUCAAAAGGUAAGCAAAUAACAAUGUGAAGAACAUAUAAAGAAGUGUAAUCAAACUAACGGGGGACAAAAAAUAAACUUAGAGGGCAAUAAUGGAAGCUAAAAACUGGGGGAAAAGGAAGCAACGAAUGGACCAAGAAAAAAUGUAAGAAAUUCUAAGGAGAGAACCAAAAGAUAUGACCUGUUAAAUUGUCCCUAAUUACUUUUUCCACAAGCAAUUUAAAUUCACUUUCUUCUUUUAUGCCUUUGAUCUUUUUUUUUUUUCAUUUUCCCUUAUUGUUUUUUCCUAUUUAUUAUUGUAUUUUGACUCUUUUUUUUUAAAUAGCAACAUCAACACCAACUUCAUGAGAAAAAUUAAUCAAAGAUACUGAAAUAAACAUGUUACUAGUUGAAUGCAUUAAAACAAUUUUUUGAAUUUUAAUUUUUUUUAAAAAACAUUGAAAAUAAUGGGAAUACAUCAAAAAUAUAUUUUUAGAGUUUUUUGUUGUUUUUUUUUUUUUUGCUAUAUUUAGAUUUAAAAAAAAAAAUAUUUUGGAAAGGGGAUCAAAAUUAGACUGUGAUAAUUGCCAUAUUUUUACAACACUUACUGUAUAAAAUCAUAUGUUAGGAAAUUUAGAAAGUAAGUUUGUAAAGAAAAAAAAAAAGUGUAAAAGCCUUUCCAGUUUAGUAAAGAAAUCCACUAAGGAGUUUUGAUAAGGAGUUUUUAAAUUAACAAAUCAUGAGGAGGUGGUUAUCUUUGUAGAUGUUUCGAAACUCAAUUGUUUUGAGAAUUAAGGGUUUUCUCUUUGUUUUUCUCUUUGUUUUAAAAAAUGGUGUUGUUAUUGACGGACUACCUGUUGUGUGAAGAAUAUAUAGAAUUCUUUAUGGAAGGUUUGUAUUGGGGUAACUUGCUCGAGAUUUGUGAUUAGAUGACCGUUGUGUGAAAAAUAUUUAGGGUUUAACUGGAGAAUCAUUUGUGGUUGCCAAACAAGUGGAUUCCGUAGUGUGGGUUGGAACUAUUAACUUAAAUGGUGUCAAUACUUCUCUCUGACAGACACUCUAUGCAUUUUGGCUUUAUAUCGUAGAAAGAAUAAACACUAUGAUUCAGAUUUCAAACACGCAUGAAUUAAACAUCUAUGAAAUAUAACUUUCAUCUUGAAAGUUUUUGGCAGUUUUAUAAAAUAACCGCGAUUCCUCUCAAUUUGUAAUCCAAUAAACAAAUGAAUCCGUUCUUUUAAACUAAUGAUAUUUCAUGUGUUAUAACCCAAAUUUGACUGAACCGUGCUAAUCUCCACACUAUACCUAGAGUCACUAGACAAACAUUUCCUUUUAUUCUGUUCAUCCAGAAAACACUUUUACCUUGUUAUGGUUCUUCCAAGAUGAGGUCCUGAUCGGAAAGGAUGUUGAGACAGUCUUAAUCUUUAUAGUUUUUGCAGGAAGCAGCUGUACUUUAAACUCAAGAUGAACUCUUCUUUUCAAAUUUGUCAGUCACCAGUAGCAUUGAAUUUUCAAGUUUGCAUGCAUGUUAACUAGGAUGGAAUGUCAUUAACAUUGUGGAGUCUAAAGAUUUAAGUUUUUCUCAUUCCUCACUUGUAUUUUAAAGUUAAACUUGAAAUGCUUGAUGUUAUCAUUGAAUCUUUUAUUGGGAGUAGGUAUGCAUAGAUCCCUCGUUCAAGGCAUCAAGGUUAUCUUUACUAGCUUGGGGUUUUAUAUUCGUGGAGGUGGUGGAAUGGGAAGGCAGUGGUCCGAGAAUCGGAAGUACUUGAAGAAAAAGAUUACUUUCACAGAUAUUAUUGCUUGUGCUGAGUAUUGAAUAGAACAGAGGUUCUGUCCAAAGGAAAAACUGUGUAUUGAAGGAAGGAAUGCAGGGGGGUUGCUUAUCGGCUCCGUCCUUAAUAUGAGGCCUGAUUUGUUUUUAAAUUUGCUUUUGCUGGAGUACCUUUUGUAGAUGCUUUGACUAAAAUGCUUGAUCCAACCAUCCCUCUUACAACUUCCCUUGUAAAGAUAUGAAAUUUGAACUGUAUCCACCUUUAAAUCUGGCUUCCAGUGGAACGUGAUUUUCACUUCUUUGUUUACUGCAGGGUACAUUUAUGCUCCUACUAUAGUAUGUGUCGGUGGCUAGAUGCUAGUACUUGCUUAUCACUUUUUGUUUACUGCAGGAAUGGGGAGAUCCUAGGAAGGAGGUGUUCUCCCACUGCAUGAAAUCAUAUUCUCCUGUUGAUAACGUAAGUAUUAAGCUUUGAAUCGGUUCCUCAUGUUCAUGAUUAAUAGCUUUGAAUUGGUUCCUUCUCCUGUCGGCAUGGUAUUUGGUAUGACAACUUGACAGUAGUGGUUCGUGGAAGAUGCUGCCAGCAACCAUCAAUCAAUUGGGGAGGAAGGACCCUCAUGCAACUAUGCUCUAAAUUGAAUGUAUCUCAUCUUUCAAACACUUCGUUUCAUCUUUUAUAUUUCACACCAUACUUCUCUCUCUUUUGUGCUCAAAAUAUCUUCUUUGAUUCCCCAAAAAAAAAAAAUGGCAGCAGAGCUUCUUCUUACGUUUGCCAUGGAGGAGACUUUGAAAAGGCUGAGUUCCAUUGCUGCUGAAGGGAUCAGACUUGCUUGGGGAUUGGAGGGCAGCUGCGAAAGCUCAACCAGUCCUUGACCAUGAUCAAAGAUGUGCUCCAAGACGCAGCCAGAAGGGCAGUAACAGAGGAGUCUGUGAAGCGUUGGCUGCAGAACCUACAGGUUGUAGCUUAUGAUGCUGAAGAUGUUCUAGACGAGUUUGCGUAUGAGAUUCUCCGCAAAGAACAAAAGAAGGGAAAGGUACGUGACUGCUUUUCACUCCACAACCCGUUUUCCGUUUAUUAUGGGUCAAAAAGUUAAGAAGAUCAAUGAAGCCCUGGUUGAAAUCCGGAAAGAUGCAUCCGGAUUUGGGCUUGGAUUGACAUCUCUACAUGUAGAUAGUGCUCAAGAAGUUAGUUGGGGUCCAGAUCGAGAGACAGAUUCCUUCCUUGACAGCUCAGAAAUUGUAGGAAGGAAGGAUGAUGUCUCUAUAGUUAUGGAUAUGCUGACUAGCUUGACCAAACACCAUGUCCUUUCGGUUGUCCCUAUAGUGGGGAUGGUUGGCCUUGGAAAGACUACUGUAGCAAAAAACGUUUGUGAAGCAGUGAGGGAAAGAAAACAUUUUGAUGUGACUCUAUGGGUUUGCGUUUCUAAUGAUUUUAAUAAAGUGAAGAUUUUAGGAGCAAUGUUGCAAAUGAUUGACAAAACUACGGGUGGGUUGAGCAACCUAAAUGCAAUUAUGGAAAACCUUAAGAAAAAGCUGGAAAAGAAGACAUUUUUUCUUGUUCUUGAUGAUGUGUGGAAUGAAGACCAUGAUAAGUGGGAUGAUUUGAAGGAGCAACUGUUAAAAAUUAACAGCAAGAAUGGGAAUGCUGUUGUUGUUACAACCCGCAGUAAGAAAGUAGCAGACAUGAUGGAGACUUCUCCUGGGAUUCAGCAUGAGCUAGGGAGACUAUCAGCUGAUCAAUGUUGGUCCAUUAUCAAGCAAAAGGUGAGUAGAGGUGGACGAGAAACAAUAGCUUCAGACUUGGAGGUUAUUGGAAAAGAUAUCGCAAAGCAAUGUGGAGGGCUUCCGUUGCUUGCUACUAUUAUGGGAGGAACGCUGCGGCAAAAGGAGACACAGGAGUGGAAGUCAAUUCUAAACAGUAGAAUUUGGGAUUCUCAUGAUGGAAAUAAAGCUUUUCGCGUAUCAGAUUAAGUUUCGAUUACUUGUCAUCGCCAACAUUGAAAAAAUGUUUUGCAUAUUGUUCCAUUUUUCCAAAAGAUUUUGAAAUUGAAAGGGAAGAUCUAAUUCAACUUUGGAUGGCUGAAGGUUUUCUAAGGCCAUCAAAUGGGAGGAUGGAAGACGAAGGCAACAAGUAUUUCAAUGACUUGCUUGCAUAUUCCUUUUUCCAAGAUGUUGAAAGGAAAGCGUAUGAGAUCGUAACAAGUUGCAAGAUGCAUGAUCUUGUGCAUGACCUUGCAUUGGAGGUGUCAAAAUCAGAAACGUUGAAUCUGGAGGCGGAUUCAGCUGUAGAUGGCGCAUCUCAUAUUCGUCAUCUCAAUCUCAUUUCUUGUGGGGAUGUUGAGUCAGCAUUAAAAACGGGUUAUGCUAGAAAAUUGCGUACUGUUUUCUCAAUGGUUGAUGUAUUAAAUGGGUCUUGGGAAUUCGACAGGUUGAGAACUCUCAAAUUGCGACGGUCUGAUAUCACAGAGUUACCAGAUUCAAUUUGCAAGCUGAGACAUUUGAGAUAUCUUGAUGUCUCCGAUUCUGCUAUUAAAAUAUUGCCAGAAUCCAUCACCAAGCUCUACCUUUUGGAAACAUUAAGAUUCACUGAUUGCAAGUCACUAGAAAAGCUUCCCAAGAAAAUGAGAAAUUUAGUCAGCUUGAGACAUCUUCAUUUUGAUGAUCCAAAGCUAGUGCCAGCUGAGGUGAGACUCUUAACACGCUUCAAACUCUGCCUUUUUUUGUUGUGGGUCCAAAUCAUAUGGGUAGAAGAGCUGGGAUGUUUGAAUGAACUAAGAGGAGCAUUGAAGAUAUGCAAGCUUGAGCAAGUUAGAGACAAAGAAGAAGCUGAGAAGGCAAAACUGCGUGAAAAAAGAAUGAACAAAUUGGUGUUUGAAUGGAGUGAUAAUGGUAACAAUAGUGUUAACAACGAGGAUGCGCUGGAAGGCCUGCAACCUCACCCAGCAUAAGAAGCUUGACUAUUAAGGGUUACUGUGGUGAAUAUUUCCCAUCAUGGAUGUCUACAUUGCAACUCAAUAAUCUGACGGUCCUAACGUUGAACGGUUGCAGCAAGAGCAGACAACUCCCAACACUUGGAUGUCUUCCUCGCCUUAAGAUUCUUCACAUAACUGGAAUGCCUAGUGUGAAAUGUAUAGGCAAUGAGUUCUAUAGUAGUAGUGGCAGGGCAGCAGUGAUGUUUCCAGCACUGAAAGAACUCACUCUAUCCAGUAUGGAUGGUCUUGAAGAAUGGAUGGUAUCAGGUGGAAGGUGAUCAAGUAUUCCCUUGUCUUGAAAAGUUGUGCAUUGAGGGGUGUGGCAUGUUGAAAAGCAUUCCGAUAUGUCACCCUUCAUCUCUUGUACACUUUGUAAUUCGAAAAUGUGAUGAACUGAGAUAUUUAUGUGGUGAAUUUCAUGGCUUCACAUCUCUUAGAAUUUUGAUGAUAAUUAAUUGUGAGAAGCUGGCAUCCAUUCCAAGCGUACAACACUCCACAGCUCUGGUGGAAUUGACCAUAUGGAACUGCCCUGAGUUGAUCUCAAUUCCUGGUGAUUUCCGAGAAUUGAAAUAUUCUUUGAAGAAGUUGUUUAUUUAUAGAUGUAAAAUGGGAGCUCUUCCAAGCGGACUACAAUAUUGCGCAUCUCUAGAGGAAUUGCGGAUAGAGGAUUGCAAAGAGGUUAUCCAUAUCGAUGAUUUGCAAGAAUUGUCUUCGCUUCGAAGAUUAGUGAUUAAAGAUUGUGAUGAGCUCAUCAAUUUGAUUGGCAUGCUUUACGACAAUUACCUUCUCUUGUUCUUUUAGAAAUCAAUGGGUGUCGGAGUUUGAGUCAUUUCCCAGAGGAGGAUUGCUUAGGCGGCUUCACCUAACUAAAGGAAUUGAGCAUCGGUGGCUACUCAGAGAAGCUGGAGGCUUUUCCUGCCGGAGUUUUAAACUCAGUCCAACACCUCAACUUGAGUGGGUCCCUUGAAAGACUAUGGAUACGGGGAUGGGAUAAACUGAAGAGUGUACCACACGAACUACAACACCUCACUACCCUUGAGUCACUGUGGAUAUGUGAUUUCAGGGGAGAGGAAUUUGAGGAAGCAUUGCCAGAAUGGUUGGCCAACCUUUCUUCUCUUCGAUCUCUCUGGAUUUGGGAUUGCAAGAAUCUCAAGUAUAUGCCAAGCUCAACAGCCAUUCAACGCCUCUCCAAAUUAAAGGAAUUGGGGAUUUCAGAAUGCCCACUUCUAUCAGAAAAUUUAGAAAGGAAGAUGGCUCCGAGUGGCCCAAGAUUUCUCAUAUCCAUCAAUCAUCGUAAGAGGGUACACGUGUACAGGUAAGUAGGAUUAAAUUUUUAUGUUACUUUGUAUGCAGUGGAGGAGAAUUUAAUAAUAACUCAAGGAUAGUGGAAACUAAACGUCGAUAAUCCAAGUCUCCAACUCACUAUGGCAUAUUUGAACCGCUGAACACUUGAUUUGUGCACUAAUUUUCAUUCACUUCAUUUUCGUUGAAUAAUUUUUUUUAUUGCAUUCGUUGAAAUAUAAUUACUGUACAUUCAUAGUUUAUAUAUACUACUUAUCAUACAUGCUUUGCUGCAUUACUUGAAAAUGGAUAGCACUCAUCUUGUGAAGACUGCAGAAACUAUGAAGCAGUCUCGUUUUUUUUUAAAAAAAUAUCCCUCUAUAUUGUUUUUGUUUCCAAGACUAAUAACAAAUUGGCUCUUUUAACAAUUGUAUAUGCAGUAGAAACUCCAAGACUGGAGAAAGCCGUGGAUUGGUCAUUUAAAGCUUCUGCAGAAUAGUGUUUGUCUUGCUGCAUUGUGGAUAAACGUGUGGUCUGCACAGUUUUCUGUUGUUUUCGCCGAUAAAUAUACUCGUCAGAAUCAAGAAAAUGGACGAAGCUCACAAAAAUAAUAGAGCUUAAUAUGGGAAUGGAUAUGAAUUCUUACUGUGUUUAUAUGCAAUGUAACUUAACAAGUAAUUAUUUGUCAGAAAGAAAGAAAAUGAAUGCAGGUGGCAGCUUAUUACCAAGAUAGUAGUGCUUUAAUAUAUAUGGGCAUGGAUGUGAAUUCUUACCUGAAUGUAAUGUAUCGUCUGCUAUUUUGUAUUGUAUUUCUUUCUUAACAUUUGAGAAUUCAAUUUUUAUGAAGUUAUGUAUAUUUCAGAGACUAAAUUGAAGUUCCCACCAUAUAUUUUAUGCCCAUAUUUGCAUCUUCUGAUGAGAUUGAUUUAUAUAUAAUUCUACAUCACAUUAGCAAACUACAAAAAAAAAAAAAAGAGAAAAGAACUGGGCAGGCUCGAGGUGUUAAUUAACAUAUUAAAGAAGAAUAGUCCUGGAAAUACUAUAAUGAGCAUAGAUUAAUUAAUCCACAUAUUUUUUCAAAGCGAUAGGAUACAAACAAAUCAAUAUCCCUGACGAAUAAAUCCUUGCAAGUGUGGAUGUUAUUUGUUAUCUGGGCUUUGCACUUUCCUAAAUUAAUGAAUUUUGUUACUGUUUAAAAAAGAAUACAAAAAUUAAUAAAAAAUUAAUGGUAGCUUGACAUUCUUAUGGCAUAGACUGAACCAUAUUCACCUAAUCCUCAGAAAAAAAUGUGUCGAAUUGUCAAGAACACCAGAGUGUUCUGCCUUUGGUGUCGUCUGCACAGCAUUAUAUGUUCGUAAGAGAGUACAAUAAUCCUUCCAUCUUCAAGCCUCUGAUGAUAGCAAAGCUCAACAAAACCAUGAUUUCUUAGCUUAGAUUUGACGUGUUCAUACUUGGCAUUAAUCGCUGCAAGAUUUUCGUUUCCAAUGUCUUUAAAAAUGUCCCUGAAAACAAUCUUGAUAAACUGCUAGGACCAUCUGGAGCAGCUGCUGCACCAGACAUCCAUUACGCUAGCAAACAUCAUUUCACUUUUGAUGGGUCGUUGGUGAUUGUAUUAAUUUGGCUACAGGCUUACAGCAUUGUAUUAAUUUGUCAAAUCUCGAUCCAGGGGUUUGUUACCACUGCCAGUGGGUAUGGUAUUUUGAGAAUUGCUCUCCAUUGCAAGCAUCACCUAUUGCCCCCAUCAGAGUAGUAGAAUAAGGGAGAAAAUGGGUUUAAGAAGGAUAAGAUAAAUUGUUGUGUGUUGUGAAUCUUUAACAGUUGCUGUUUGUUAUUUUUAUUGUAUAUAUAUAUAUAACUCUAAUGAAUUUUCUAUAAUAGAUUUUAAUAUAACAAACACACAAGAAUAAACACACAAGAUCAUAACGCUUCAAUACAGAGGACCCAUCUGCAUUCUAUUUAAAAGCACCUCAUGGAGGCCUACUGCAUUGGGUAAUUUUCCAGCAGUUAUGAAACAUCAUCGAUGCAAUGUUUACAAUGACAAACUUGCAUUUGUAUUCAUUGUGGUAUUUAAUGUUCCAAAAACACUGUAUACUCAUUUAGAUGCUUUACUUCAAUAGAUAGACUAAGUUAUCUCUCUAGAUAUCAGUAUAUCACAUCUUCAAAGAUAGAUUAGGGCAUGUUUGAAUUUGAAGAAGACGUGUUUAUUUGCAUCUUCUCUGUCAGCGUGUGUUUCCGCAGCAACUAAAAUGAAAACGAAGAACACCCAUCAUGGUGUGGAACUAACUAAUAUACUGUUCCAGUUGUGGGGUCGGUCAUUAGUAUCAGAAGACAUUAAACCAUUUUGGUGUCCAUUGUUUUGAUGCACUGAAUACAAUCUGGACCUGUUAACUACCAAGAACAUCUAUUUUCCAGGCAAUCAAUUUGAAGAUGAAAACUCGAACGCACAACUGUAACUGACACUGAUUUUUCAAGAGACCUGCAAUUGAUUUAAAAUUUAUUCUUUCAAGGGCUCACAAGAUUCUGCAUGCAAAUGGAAUGGACUAGUUCCGAGUUGUUGAAGUUGUUUUCUUGACCUGGAUUGUGAGUUGUGAUCCACCAGCUUGAUCCUUCUCUCUAUCCAAGGCAAUUUCUAUUGCGUCGCCGACCUUGAGGUCCUUUGAACGAACCAAUCCCCAGAAAGGUCCGCACUUGGCCUCUCGGGAAAUCUCUUAUACUGUACUGUUGAGUUUCUUCGUGAAGUUUUUUUUGCAUCGCUUAUCGCGAAGAAGUAGAUGGGCAAUUUACGAGGCAACUUGCCCCUUGCAAGAGGAUUUAUAUAGUGCCGCACUCUACAAAACUGUGAAAAGGAAACGAGCGUUAAGGUCCUCUCGUUCUAAUAAGUGAAUGGUCGAUCCACAGACAGAAAGAAAAGCCAGAAUCAUGUCAUCAUAUGUUCAUCUUUCUGACUCACUGUGAAUUGUGAUCGAAAUAAAAAUAAGAAAAGAAAAGAAAUAAUCAACAUUCGUUUGAUCGGUUAUUUUAAGAACCAAAAAAGAAAGCAUGAUUAAAGAUCCAAUGUUUCUGCAAGAUAUCCCUUUCAAGGGUCCAUUAACAUCACUAUCAUUUCUUUCACUGUCAAACCCCCUCCCCCUCCCCUGCUGUUCUUGUUAUUUAUGUCUGUGUUAACUUUUCUGAAAGAAUAAAUGUUGUGUUACAAGCAGAAGAAGAAGAAGAAGGAGAAGAAAGGAUCUAAAGCAGGCCACGAAAUCAAAAAUUAGUUAACAGUACACACGCGAGCCAUGCAUUCAAAAGUUAGUUGAAAAGCCAUACGCACCGUUUCAUUUAAUUACCAAAUGCACCGUUUCGAUUCCAUAAACAGCUGCACGUUAGUUACCACACAGCCUGCGUGCUGAGGGUGUUGUAACCAAUUGCUUGCAAAGCUUUAUAAAUAAGCAUACGUAGAGUAAACAAGAUAACAAGAAAUAUAAUACACAGUUUGUUUCCUUCUUAUCAGGAACUAAAUAUCAGUGUUGUUGGUGUGGUAUCAACAGCCUCUCUAACAUUUCAUUCUCGUUAAAUUCAUUCCACCAUCACUAUCACUGGAUAUCAUCCAAUUCGGUUCUAUCCAUACUUCACCCUUAACAUUUGGUAUCAGAGCUUCCUAUCCACGGAUUGCCAUCAUGCCACCAGACACCAGAACAACUGAUCUCAAACGUAUUGAAGAUUCCAUUGCAGCAGUCUCGCAGGAUCACAAUCUCAAGUAUGAAUUGAUGGCAGAUUUACUGAAAGGGCAAAAUGUCAAGCUGGAUCAAACUAUAGCCAACCAAGGAGCUCAGAUCAGAGACAUGCAAGGUAUUAUGAGCACCAUGGCACAACAGCUAGACUUGGCUCUGCAUAAGCUUUCUUCUCACUCUGGCAGCCCAAGUCAGGGCAGAGACAAGCAAGUAUCUGGCAUGGACGGUUAUGAGUCAAGACAUAGGAACUCACAGGAGGAAAGAAAUCAUUCAUACAAAAUUCACAAACCAAAACAUUUUUUCCCAGUCUUCAAUGGUGAAGAUGUGCACCGCUGGCUCUACAAAUGUGCUCAGUAUUUUGAGAUUGAAGAAAUUACCAACACUGACAAAUUAAGGAUAGCAUCGUAUUAUCUUGAAGGGGUUGCAUUAUAUUGGCAUCAGAACUUCUUAAGGAGUACAACCAAUCAAGAAACCACUUGGGAGGAGUAUAUGGAGGCUAUUAGCUGCAGAUUUGGAGGACAACAAGAUCCCUUGGAAGCCAUAAUGGAGCUUAAACAGCAAGGGAACCUGGAGGAAUACAUCCAGGACUUCGAUAUAUUGUGGAACAAGGCAGAAAUCAAUGAAAAGCAAGCACUGGUUAUUUUCCUUGGUGGUCUGGAGUUGGAGAUCAAAAAUACGGUAAAAAUGUUUGAACCUAAGACUCUUAAGCAUGCUUACAAUUUGUCCAGGCUACAAGCAAAAACAUUAUCAUACAAAACACUGUCCCCUCCACCAAAACGUUACAGCCCUCUUUUCAACACCUCACAAUCACAAACCUACAUCCCUCCAAACACACAGAACCCCACGAACAUCACAAAUACCACAAAACCUGGUCCAGCACCAUGGCACAAUAAUCCUGCAAAUACUGUUCACAGGAACCAGGUUAAACCCACCAAAUCUAUAAAGAACCAAGACUUUGAAGAGAGGAGGUUAAAAGGCUUAUGUUUCUGGUGUGAUGAUAAGUUUGUUCCCGGUCAUAGAUGCAGAAGUAAAAGGCUGUAUUCAUUGAGUGUUACAGAAGAAGAAGAGGAAGUAAUCACUGAAGAACUGCCCGAUCUCGACACUCUAACCAGAGAACUACCACCGCACAUAUCCUUGGAUGCAUUGGAAGGUACAGUAGGGCUUAACACUAUCAAGGUCACGGGUAAAUUGGAAAAAACCUCUGUGAGCAUUCUAAUUGACUCAGGAAGUACUCACAACUUCCUCAAUGCGGAAUUGGCUCUCAAACUCCAGCUUCAUUUAGUCAUCAUUAAGCCAAUGAUGGUGCAAGCAGCUAAUGGUGACAGGAUGAUUUGCAAAUCCAUGUGCAAAAACUUGAAUUGGAAAAUGCAGGGGAUAAGCUUUGUGGCAGAUGUGUUCAUCAUAGACCUAAGCAAUUGUGAAAUGGUGUUAGGUAUCCAAUGGUUGUAUCUACUGGGAGAUAUACUUUGCAAUUACAAACAUUUGUGGAUGUCCUUCGACUGGCAAGGAAAAAGAGUGCUACUCAAGGGAGAAAACCCACCCAAACUGCAAUAUAUAGAACUUGAGCAUCUACAUUCACUAGCGGGCAGCCAUGACAUGAUAAAGGGUUAUCAUCUUUGUAACUUACAAAUGGUGGACGAGAAGGAGGCAGGAGUCUCUCUGGAAUCCACCACUGUCACUAUGUCCUCAACUGAUAACCAGGACACUCACCUAAAAAACCUGCUAGCAGAAUACACUGAUUUAUUUCAGGAACCUACAGGUUUGCCCCCGCUCAGAUCCCAUGAUCACAGGAUUCCUCUCAAGGAAGGAGGAGAGGCAGUUAAUCUAAGGCCGUACAGGUAUUCAGGUCUUCAAAAAGAUACACUGGAGGACAUGGUAAAGGAAAUGCUGAGGGGCAAAAUCAUAAGGACCAGUAACAGUCCCUUUGCUUCUCCAGUAAUCCUGGUGAAGAAAAAAGAUUCAACAUGGCGUCUCUGUGUGGAUUACAGAGCCUUGAAUAAACUCAUCAUCAAGGAUAAGUAUCCUAUCCCCAUGAUUGAGGAACUAUUGGAAGAAUUGGUGGGAGCUGCAGUGUUUUCCAAAAUUGAUUUACGUGCAGGCUACCAUCAAAUUCGCAUGGCAAGGGGAGAUGAAUUCAAAACAGCUUUUAGAACUCACAGCGGCCACUACGAAUUCUUGGUAAUGCCAUUCGGCCUAACGAAUGCACCGGCCACUUUUCAGAGCUUAAUGAAUGAAAUCUUCAGGGAGCAUUUGAGGAAGUUCAUUCUUGUGUUCUUCGACGACAUCCUCGUGUACAGCCAUACUCUUCCUGAACAUUAUAUUCAUCUAGCUACUGUGCUGAACUUAUUAAGGGAACAUCAUCUGGUGGCUAAAGCCAGCAAGUGCUUCUUCGGCAGGGAUCAAGUGGAAUAUUUGGGACACAUCAUUUCCAAGCAAGGUGUGGCGACAGAUCCCUUCAAAAUACAAGCCAUCCAGGAAUGGCCAAUACCUACAGGAUUGAAGCAGCUGAGGGGGUUCUUGGGGUUGACAGGUUACUACAGACGCUUUGUCAAAGGCUAUGGCAGCAUAUGCAAGCCACUCACUCAACUCCUUAAAAAAGAGGCUAAGGGCUGGAAUGAUGAGGCUACCACAGCUUUUAAUCAGUUGAAAACUAUUAUGACUAGUGCUCCAGUAUUAGCUCUGCCAGAUUUCAACAAGGUGUUCAUCGUGGAGACAGAUGCAUCAGUAAUUGGGGUGGGAGCAGUACUUAUGCAAGAGGGGCACCCCAUUGCAUUCAUUAGCAAAUCCUUGGGUCCUAAACAACAGGUAAUGUCAGUAUAUGAGAGGGAAAUGCUGGCCAUUCUUCAGGCAGUUACCAAGUGGAAACAUUAUCUUUGGGGACGCCAUUUUAUCAUCAGAACAGACCACAUCAGUUUGAAAUAUCUUCUACAGCAGAAACUGACUACACCUGCACAACACGUCUGGCUGGUAAAAUUGUUGGGAUACGACUACGACAUUGAAUACAAGCAAGGCCGCGAAAAUAUUCCUGCAGAUGCCCUUUCCAGAAUUCCUAAUAAAGAGGUUUAUGCCUUGACUACUUAAACCAUCUCCACUGACCUCCUGGCAGAGAUCAAGAAGUCCUAUGAAGAAGACGUUACAGUUCAAGGAAUUAUCAAACAGUUACAAGAAUCAACUACUACCCACCCACACUAUACUUCGGUAAAUGAACACCUAAACAGAAAAGGAAAGGUGGUAGUCGGGAAGAAUACUGCAUUACGAGACAAGCUCAUUUCCAUGUUUCAUAGUUCACCCGUGGGAGGACACUCUGGCAUGACAGUAACAGCUAAAACAAUCGGGGGGUUGUUUUAUUGGAAGGGUCAGCAGAAACAUAUCAGGCAAUUCAUCAGAGAAUGCAAUGUUUGCCAGAGGAAUAAACAUGACAACGCAGCCAGCCCUGGACUCCUUCAACCAUUACCCAUUCCUGCAGCUCCAUUCAUAGACAUCAACAUGGAUUUCAUUGAAGGCCUUCCAAAAUCUGAAGGGCAGGAGGUGAUAUUAGUGGUGGUCGAUCGUUUCAGCAAAUACGCCCACUGCAUGGCUCUCAGCCAUCCUUACACUGCUUCAGGGGUGGCCAAGACAUUUAUGAACAAUGUCUAUAAACUGCAUGGUUUACCAGCUUCUAUAACCAGCGACAGGGAUCCAGUCUUCUUGAGCAGCUUUUGGAAGGAAUUAUUCACCAGUCAAGGAGUCGAGCUUAACUAUUCCUCAGCCUACCACCCACAAACGGAUGGCCAAACCGAAAUUGUGAACAAAUGCAUCGAACAAUACUUGAUGUGUAUGACUGGUGAUUGCCCGAACCAAUGGGUCAAGUGGUUACCAUUGGCGGAGUGGUGGUACAAUACCAACUACCACUCAGCCACCAAAAUGACACCCUAUCAAGUUUUAUAUGGUGCUGUUCCACCCCUCCACAUUCCUUAUUUCCCAAAAGAUUCACCUGUGGAAUCGGUUGAUGAGUAUCUAUCUGCGAAAGAAGAAAUCAUCAAAAGGGUCAGGGUGCAUCUCCAAGCAGCACAGAACAGGAUGACCAUGGUAGCUAACAGGAAAAGGAGUGAUCGCAGUUUUGAGAUCAAUGAUUAUGUAUUCCUCAAACUCCAACCAUACCGGCAACAGUCAUUGGUGCGCAGAUCAUCACAGAAGUUAGCAGCCAAAUAUUAUGGACCUUAUCGGGUAGUAGCCAAGAUUGGGAAGGUGGCUUACAAACUGGAAUUACCAGCUUCAACACUGAUUCAUCCAGUAUUCCAUGUGUCUCAGCUUAAAAAACAUAUUGGGAAUCACAUCAGCCAAGGCACUCCUCCGAUGGUACCAAAAACAGCUGCCUUACAGCCUAGAACUGUGUUAGACCGAAGAAUGGUGAAACUUCACAAUCAAGCUCACACAAGUAUUAAUACUCUGGGAAGGACUAGCUCCUACUGAGGCUACGUGGGAAAACUUGGGGGAAAUUCAGCAACGUUUUCCACUGUUCAACCUUGAGGACAAGCUUGGGUUCAAGGGAAGGCAAUUGUUACAAGCAGAAGAAGAAGAAGAAGGAGAAGAAAGGAUCUAAAGCAGGCCACGAAAUCAAAAUUAGUUAACAGUACACACGCGAGCCAUGCAUUCAAAAGUUAGUUUUUUUUAAUUACCAAACGCGUUUCGAUUCCAUAAACAGCUGCACGUUAUUACAACACAGCCUGCGUGCUGAGGGUGUUGUAACCAAUUGCUUGCAAAGCUUAUAAAUAAGCAUACGUAGAGUAAACAAGAUAACAAGAAAUAUAAUACACAGUUUGUUUCCUUCUUAUCAGGAACUAAAUAUCAGUGUUGUUGGUGUGGUAUCAACAGCCUCUCUAACAUUUCAUUCUCGCUAAAUUCAUUCCACCAUCACUAUCACUGGAUAUCAUCCAAUUCGGUUCUAUCCAUACUUCACCCUUAACAUGUUGUAGGGAGCAAAUAGUGGUAAAUAGAAAGAGGAGAACACCACAUCCCCAAAAGAAUAAAGAAAGAAGAAGAAAACAAAACAAAGUAAAAAAACAAAGCUUUUCAAUUAAAUAAAUGAAAACGCAGACGUAAAUUUUAAAAAUAAAAAACAUGAUAGAAAAGGAAGCACCUGGUGUUGAUUUGAAGCCUUAUUGGUUGAGGUGGCGGCGGAGGAAGGAAAGAGAGAGAGCUCAGGUGGGGAGAGGUGAGGAAUGUCGGACCAAAGUGAACAGAGCUUGAAAGAUGGCUUUAUUCUUUUCCAGAUUCGCUAACAAACUAAAAGAAAUGUAUUCUUGUGUUGCUUCACUGAUCAUAACUAACAAACUAAUAGAAUUAUAAAAACCAAGAGUGCUUCACUGUGUGUGAAUCCUGUGGCUUCAGUCUUUACGUUUCUUCUCGGCUGCUGAGACUCCCUGGCGUCUUUUCAUCGACUUUGUGUGUUGCAUGUUCAGAUUGAGGCGGUUUGGCUGGUGCUAGGCGCGCGAGGAGAUGUCAGCCGACGGGUAAUCACCUGCCUUGGCUUCAUUGAAGCUGUCCUCUUGGUUCUAUAAAAAAAAUAUGAAAAACCAAAAAAAACUUCACUAAUAAUAUCAGGCUUGACCCUAUAGCUUAUGUUUCAUCACAGCAGAUUAAAUAAGGUUCUAGAUAACAGGAUAUAGGAGUUUACUUGGCCAUUCUAGUCUAGCUUCAUGGUUAAUUUUCUUGAACCAGAAGAACCUUCCAUUUAUGGCUAUGGCUAUGCUCCAAGAUAUAGAAGUGAAUUACUUGCAAACCAGGGGAACUCUCUGAAAACAUUACAAUAGCAUUUACUCUGAGUAAGAAAACUUGUAUGCAUGCACUGUAAUUGACAAAGAAAAGAAGAGAAAUCCCUUUAAUUUAUGAAAAUGCAACGAGUUAACCUUAUCUCACUCUGCAAUAUAUAUCAGUGCUCAUUGGCUACUGCAAGUGCCAGCAGUAGCUGUCUAUAUGAUUUUGGAUGUAGAGAGGUCAACAAAACAUUCAACUUUAUACUGAGAAACUAGGAAACCAUACACUAUAUAUUGUGGCUAAUUGAUUUUUGUCUAAUGCUUUUGUACUUUUAAUAAGAUCACUAUCACCUCAACCCUGUACAAGUUAAAACAAAUAGAAGGCCCCAAAUCCAACACCAUUCAUUUAAGUUCAGUUGCAACUCAAGUUUCAAAUUGAAACACCAGUGUUCAUAGCAAUAGAUUAACCUUGAAAUUUAAAGCGGAACAAGCUUCAUGCAGCCAUCCAAGAGGUCAUCAUCGAAAGAAAAUUACUUCCCAGCACUUUUUAUUCCCUCGAGUUCCCAUCUUGUGAGAAACACGUGAAAAAUAAAAAAGACAAAAACGAAAGAAGAUGACAUCCUGUCAUUGCUACCAAAUCCUCACCAGCUGCAGCUCUAGAUCCAUUACCAGCUGCAGAACCAGCAAUUCUGUCAAUCAUACUGACAACGGAGCCAAUAUCACCGACAGAUGCACUAAGUGCUUUGGGAGACAGAGAUUUCACCUGGGAAAAAAAAUUACAGCAUCACCAUCUCAUUAACAAAGAAGUUUUCUUUUUCAGAAACCUCUAAAAUAAGGGUGGGGUGGAGUAAAACCAAAAGGAGAGCAUCACUAACCGCUUCAAUCAAGUAUUCAAGUGGUUGCUCUGUAACAUUUGACUUGCCAGAAAUAGUUGUCAAAGCACUGCCAUGAGAACCAUCAGGACUGGUAAAGUCUGCAAGCAAAGGUGAUGCAGAUAUCCCAGGAGUGCCAAUUGCAAGGGAGGGAGCCAGUGCUUGUGCAACAGAUGGUUGGUGUACAAUAGGAGAUGGAGCUUGCUGGUGUAAUUGCUGCUGCUGCUGCAUCUGUCGAUUCUGCAUUAAAU